Molecule: long non-coding RNA, 163126 nt
Filed under: Lactuca sativa (garden lettuce)
Lineage: Eukaryota; Viridiplantae; Streptophyta; Magnoliopsida; Asterales; Asteraceae
Source: RNAcentral
CUUUCUUUUCUAUAACUUAUUAUGCCUCCUAAAAUAAAAAAAUAUGCAUCUGGAUAUGAAAAACGUAAGAAAAAACAAAAAAUUGAAGAAGAUAAUAAAACUCAAGCAGGAUCUAUGGAUAAGUUUAUAACAAAAAAAACACAAAACUUUACGAAAAAUGAAACACAAAAUGUUAAUGAAGCUAAUCUUGAUAAAAUGAUAAUGUUGAUGUUGAUGUUGAUGUUGAUGUUAAUGAUAAUGUUGAUGUUGAUGUUAAUGCUAAUGUUAAUGUUAAUGUUAGUGAUAAAGUUGAUUUUAAUGAUAAUCCUAAUGUUGUUGUUGAUGAUAAUGUUGAUUUUCACACUUUUGAUAUAUUUGAUCCAAGAAAUCGGGAUGCUCUUGAUUCUAGUAUGAUAAAUAUUUUAGUGUUGAAAGGUCCUAAAAGAGAUUUGUCUCUUACAAAAGGUCCUAAAGAUAAAUAUUUAAGAAGAUUUUCUGCAACAUAUUAUACUAAAACUUUACCAAAUGGGGAAAAAUGUGAUAGAGAUUGGCUUGUUUAUUCUAAAGAAAUUGAUAAAAUUUUUUGUUUUUGUUGUAAAAUAUUUCGAAAAGGGUGUCGGAAGGGUCAAUUAGCAAAUGAGGGUUUUAGGGAUUGGAUACAUCUUAACACUAGAAUUAAAGAGUAUGAAACUAGUAUGAAACAUGUUAAAACUAUAAAUACUUGGUAUGAUUUGCGUUUAAGAUUACAAAAAAAUGAAACUAUUGAUAAUGCGGCUCAAAAACAAUUAGAAAAAGAAAAAGUUCAUUAGAGACAAGUUUUGUUGAGAAUUAUUUCUAUUGUGAAAUUUCUUGCUAAACAUAAUCUAGCUUUUCGUGGUACUAAUGAGAAAUUGUAUGAAGAUAACAAUGGAAAUUUUUUAGGCUUAUUUGAAAUGUUGGCUGAAUUUGACAUGGUUUCUUAUGACCAUAUACAACGUAUUACAAAUGAAAUUGGUAUCCAUAAACAUUAUCUUGGGCAUAGGAUACAAAAUGAAUUAAUACUUUUGCUUUCUUCAGAAAUAAAGUCUAUGAUUAUUAAAAAGAUAAAAAAUGCAAAAUAUUUUUCUAUAAUACUUGAUUGUACUCCUGAUAUAAGUUACCAAGAGCAAAUGACUAUUAUUUUAAGAUGUGUAGAUGUCUUGUCAAAUGUUGUUUGCAUUGAAGAGUCUUUUUUAGGGUUUUUAGAUGUAAAUGAUACAACCGGCCAAGGACUCUUUGAUGUUUUACAAAAUGAAUUGAAUUUGCUUGAUCUUGACAUUAAUAAUAUACGUGGCCAAGGUUAUGAUAAUGGAUCAAAUAUGAAAGGAAAACAUCAAGGAGUGCAAAAAAAGCUUUUAGAUAUAAAUUCAAGGGCUUUUUAUACUCCUUGUGGUUGUCAUAGUUUGAACUUAACUUUAUGUGAUAUGGCUAAUACUUGUGGUAAAGCUAAAGGUUUUUUUUGGAACAAUACAACGUAUCUAUACAAUUUUUGCAAAUCCCACUAAGAGAUGACAAAUUUUAAAAGAUAAUGUGAAAGGGGUAACUCCUAAAUCGUUGUCAUCCACUCGUUGGGAGAGUCGUGUUGAUAGUGUUAAAGCUAUAAGAUUUCAUAUACAAAAAGCUUUACUUCAAGUAGCCAAAAAUGAUAAUGAUCCAAAAAUAACAAGUGAAGCUAAAUCCUUAGCAAAAAAUGAACUUGACAACUUUGAGUUUAUAUUGGCAUUAGUAAUUUGGUAUGAAAUGUUAAACACUAUUAAUUUAAUUAGCAAACAAUUGCAAUCAAAAGAUAUGUUUAUUGAUGUUGCUAUGGAAAAAAUAAUGGGGUUAAUUUCGUAUUUUAAGGAAUAUAAAGAAAAUGGGUUUUUAAAUGCUUUACAAACCGCAAAAGAUAUUGCCUUAGAAAUGGGGAUCGAUCCAAUAUUUCCUAAAAAACGUGAACCUAAAAUAAAAAAACAUUUUGAUGAGAUUUCAAACGACACUUCUUAUAGUUUUUCACAAUCCGCCCAAGAGAAAUUUAGAGUUAAAUAUUUUAUUUAUAUUGUUGAUCAAGCAAUUAGUUCUUUAACUACAAGGUUUGAACUAUAUCAAUAAUAUGAUAAAAUAUUUGGCUUUUUAUUUAAUUCAGAAAAAUUGCUUUCAUUAGAUGAUAUAACAUUAAAGUCUUGUUGUAUGUCUCUUGAAACUUCACUCAAGAAAGAUGAGCAAUCGGAUAUUGAUGGAAAUGACUUAUAUGUUGAAUUAAAAUUACUUUUACAUCUCUUGCCUAAGGAAAAAUUGACAGCAAUUGAUAUUCUAAAUUUUUUAAAACGUGUUGAUUGUUUUCCUAUUACAUCUAUUACAUAUAAAAUUAUGUUGACUAUUCUUGUUACUGUUGCAUCUGCAGAACAGAGUUUUCCAAAAUUGAAGAUUCUGAAGUCCUACUUAAGAUUUACAAUGACUCAAGAACGACUUAAUGGAUUGGUUUUGAUGACGAUUGAGCGUAAUAUGUUGGAUAAAGUUACUUAUGAAGAUGCUAUUGAAAAAGUUUAUUUCAACGAAUAUUAGGAGGAUGACUGUUUUCAAGUAGAAGCUAAUUUUUUUUUGUAUUAUUUUGAAUGAAAUUUUAAUUUUAUGUAUUUGCAAUAGAAAAUUAAACUAUAAUUUUUUUUUUGCUUAAAUUUUGAGAUCUUUCAAAUUUUAGAGCCUAUUUUUUGUUAAAUCGCACAUGGUCUUCAAUAUCUCAGGGCCGGCCCUGCCAUGUAGACCGAGACCCCUACUUGUAACUAACCUUUUCGGUCCUAAUAGAUACACAUGUAAAAAACUAAUAACUACUAACUAACUAUUAAUUAUUUAAUAUAAAAUACAAAUAGAACAUCAAUGAUAAAUAUUAAAAGGGUGUUGCUAAAUUGACACCCCUUAGACACCCUAUAAACACUUUUAUUAAAAGUCAAUUUAUAAUAAACUAUUCACAAUUUACUUUUUCAAAAAACAAUGCAAAUUAACUAAUAAAAAAAUCUUAAAAAUCAAAUAAGGUUUCAACAUGAGAGAAAUUAUAUUGCAAUAAGUUUGUUGUCAGGUGAGGAAUACAAUGCAUAAAUGAUUUACAAAAUCGAAAGUUCCAGACACAAGUUAAAACUUAAAACCCUAAAAGACCACACAAAUUUCAAUCGUCGACAUACCCCACCACAAAGGCACAAACAAUCAAUGAAACAAGUGUAGAUGUAGAGGCCUUUUUCACCACAAUCACCCUUCAUCGGCCAUUUCGAAGGCCACGUGAAAUGUCACUAACGUGGCCCUCUAAAUAUCCACUACUUUGUCUUUAACCCCUCCCCCCUCCCUUAUAAAACACUCCAUCCUCCUCCUUAAUCACCAUCACCAACAACCUUCUCUCCUCCCUCAAAAGUACCACCAUCUUUUCCGACAUGGCUACUUCUUCAAUCUUCAUGGCAACUCCCAUCACACUCCUCAAGAAAACUCCCACCUUCUCCGUCAAAUGUAUGUCACAAACACCUCAAAGCGGUGAACCGGAGGUUUCAAAACCAGCAACCACCCCAACACUACCACAGAUCAACAUUCCUCCUCCUCCGCCACCUGCUCCAAAGGUCAGCACGAAGUUCUCUGACGUGUUGGCGUUUAGUGGACCUGCACCGGAGAGGAUCAACGGAAGGUUAGCCAUGAUAGGGUUUGUGUCGGCGAUGGCUGUGGAACUGAGCAGCGGUCAAGACGUGUUCACCCAGAUCGGCAACGGCGGUGUUGCGGUGUUUGUCGGGACAAGUGUGGUGUUGACGUUGGCGUCGUUGGUGCCGUUGUUUAAAGGAGUGAGCGUGCAGUCGAAGUCGAGUGGACUGAUGACAUCAGAUGCAGAGCUUUGGAAUGGGCGGGUUGCGAUGUUGGGUCUGGUGGCUUUGGCUUUUACUGAAUAUGUUAAAGGCAGUGCCCUUGUCUAGAUAAUGUAGCAUAAACUUUUCUAUUACAGAAUUACAUCUAAGAUAGGCAAAUGUAUAUUCUUUUGAAUAUUUAUGUGUAUCGAUUUACCAUACAUAGUUCAAAUCAUGAAAAUCAUGUUUUUUUGAUAAUAUAGUAUAAAACAAAUAUGAUCAAUCAAAUCGAACGAUUGUGGUAUCUUUCAAUAUAAAAUUCUUUUUACAAAAAUAAACAAACAACAUACUAAGAUAAUUUUUUGAGGAAUGAACCUAGAUUAGCAAUAUAAGAGUCAAAGUCUACAAAGAUAUUGACAUCCUAGUUUCACAACUUCCUCUUUGAAUGUUGAAGGUGAUCAUUAAUUCAGACUGAAUAUGUGGCUAAGUCCAGCCUAGUCAAUUAGCCAAUUUAAGUUGACAAGUAUCCAAAAUUCAAAUAAACUACAUGGCUCAAUUUCAAAGAAAACUGAAAAAUGACUAAUGCUCACAAAAUGAUCACCGAAUCAAUUUAGGCUAUGAGGAGUGGUCACAUUCAAACCACCGGAAAAACGCUGCAAAGUCAGUGAUAUGUCAACUCCAUCACCUUCUAAACAUUGGAAACAAUUACCACUCCGUGUCAUUUAUAUUUUCAUUUUUUUUACAUUAGAUUAAAUAAAAAACAUAAUUACUAACUUAAGUAAUCAUUUUACUAAUUAAAAAAUCAACUAAACAUAUAUUAAUUUUCAAAAUUAAAUAAACAUAUAUAGUAUAUAUAGUUGAGGGUUUAACUUAAUUCAAAGAAAAGUAAGAGGGUAUAAUAAGAUUAAAAGACAUAAUUUUAGAGACCAAAUUUGUAACUUUAGUUAAAGCAAAUAUGAAUGGUCUUCUUCACAGGUCAUUGCUCAAUACCAUUUUUUUUCUUUUACUUCGAUGGAUACAAAGGAAAAGGGAAAAAAAGGGUCAAAUAAAUGACCGUUAUUGUUCUUGCUUUCUUAUCCGUCGUCUUCAUCCGUCUUUGCACCCACAUUACACCCAAACCACCGGCCUUAGGGGUGGUGGUGUUCACGUGUCCUUAGGCCGGACACAUCAGCAAGAUGUGUGAGUUAGUCCUCCCACUCCGAUUAGCCUUAAGCACUUAUUAAAAGCUAGUCUAUUUCUUGUUAGGUUGAAAUCUAAUGUUAUCAUCAAAUCUAUACAAGAUUGAGAUUGAUAUUAUAGUAACAAUCUCCCAAAGAAAAAUAAUAUAUUUAAAAGAAUAUAUAUAUANNNNNNNNUAUAUAUAUAUAUGAAUUAUGCCCCAAGAAGUACUAUGCAUGAGUAUAAGAUUACUAUUAUCUUUGGAUCCAUUAAUUGAUAACUAAGCAUACUUCAAAGUUACUAUAUGGUCGUAUGAGACCCGCGAAUAGGAAAUUGGCUGCACCCUUGGCCCGAUUCGAAGGCUAAAACCCAAAAGAACCAUGCACAUGAUUCGAACCAAGUGCUCUAAUGCUAUUUUGCCCAACUUACAUGAACUACCUCCAUACACAUACUUAAGAAACCCAUAAUCUCAUCCAGAUAGAGCAGGAAUGCCAGAGAUAAUCGGAAUAAUACCUCAAUCAAUUACAAAAAACAUCCGCAUUAUCGGUUGAAACAAGAUCCCAUACUUGAUUGAGACUGAACGGAUUCCAUCGCUACACAACUAGCUCGAGAAGACUUCCACGGAUCUCGAAAGUUGCCUAAACCUGAGUCUGCUAUGAAAUAGGUUCCCACUCCACCAUUGAGGGUAAACACACUUGAAGCCCCAAUGGACAUAGAUCAUACUAAGCUUGAUAACAGAUCAGCCUGACCACUACAUCUCGACUGACACAAUUAAACUUCCAAGUGAACUUUUAUUGAUUGAUGAACCCCACAACCAGUGGUCGAGGACACUUUAACACUUAGUCCAGAGAAUCAAGACCACAUAGAACUGAACAUACCCACUCAUGGAAAGAUCCAUCGACCAACGUCUGCCCAACUAAUAUGAAAAUAGUAAUCCAACAACAAACUGGGAAAUCCCUCAACAGCUAAAAAUACUCAACCUGAGAAUCCCGAUUCUCCUCCACUUAGGGCUUAAACUACCAUUCACUAGCGCUAAAACCAAAUCAUAAAUCAAACCAUAUUGAGGAUAUACUCCCUUCCUAACCCUGGAAGUUACGAGCCUCUUCACUCCUUCCCCGAACUCGGAAAAAAUGAAAGGGCAUAACCCUAGCCAUUGAUAAUGACGUUCCAAACCAACAAUCAACCACUUCCAACUGUAAAACCCAAGUCAAUCUUAAUCAUCGUCCCCUUCACGAGUCCCGCGACUCGAAUACCCGACCUCAAGCAAAACCCCCGAGGCCUCAAACAAAAAAGCUCCCUAGGUCUGCACCAAACAAACAAAAUCACUAACGCCACUGGGGCUCAAAACACUUACCAUAUCCAUCCGCAUGUCGGAGCAUCCACAAGCAAAAUAUUAACAGGAACAUAAACACUGCCGCGAAUCAUGGUAUCCAACCAUGCUAUCUUCACCGACCAACCCUUAGAAUCCCCAAAACCUUCCUUGAUUAGAUUAUGGAUCCUGUGCUUCAAGUAGUACUGGCCCAAUACUACCUUCCAUACCUAUCCAUACUUUCCUCAAGAAUCAUCCCAAGUCUUUUAAGUCCUAGUCAUAAAAUACUCCUGAAACUUGCUUAACAAUGAAGCAACCACGCUAAAAUACUCACCUACACUCCCUCUGCCAUCAACUGCUGAUAAACCCCUACCAAUGCCAGCUAACCACUUCAUGAAUACAAUUACACACAACCAAGCUUAAAUAAUCCUUCGAAUAAAGGGCUUAGCCCUACAACGAUUGGACUCAAACGAGAGCUGCACAAUAGGUUUGAGUCCUUCAUUCUAAGAUUAUUUAACCUUCAUAGCAUGUAAUUUUAUUAUAUUCACUUGAUGGUUAACUCCCAUCAACAUGGGUCCCACAAAGCACAAAGCAAGCAACAUUCGGGUAGAGAAGCCGACUGCGACUAAAACGCAACAAAAUCAGACAUAUCCUCAUAGAAAAUCCUCGAUCUCAAACUCCUCGCACCACGAGUGCGCCUUCACCCUGCUCUCACUCUCCCCAGAGUGGUUAAUCAUUCCUCGUGCUUACCCGCUAUACACUGCACCCACUCAUGAAACUUCCACCAACCCUACAACACUCGUGUAUGCUAGCCGUACAUAACACUGGAUCCUAUAGACAGUCGAAUAUCUGAUCCUACUCUAAGCCCUUCAUCAAACAAGAACAUGAAAUAAGGCCAAACCAAACAUUCUCAGGCUAUAGAAUCUUAGUUAUGUACAACUAUGAUGUAUACACUAAGUAACUGUAGUAGAUGAUGUCAAUUUCAUUUAAGGAAGAACCCUAGGCUAUCAGACAUCAUAUAAUCAUGCAACUUUGUCAUGCAAUUCCUGAAGAUCCCUAGCCUAUCACUACCAUGCUAUUCUAAUAUUUCACAAGAUCAAAUAAAGUGUGGUAAUUUGGGGUCUACUUACUAGCUCCGACUGAUCAUACACAUCGUAUCCUCUUUAGUUUGAAAGUUAUUUUUAAAACCUUUACUUUGAAAAUUACUUUUUUUAAAACACCUUUUCCUUAGUUUGAGACCGGAUUCACACGAGUUUUCCUCCCAUUCACUCAAACCAAGGCUCUGAUACCAACUAGUAACGUCACAAAAAUUUCAACAAAUCUAAACCUUUCAAAACAACCCAUAUGUUAACAAAAGUGAUUUGAUCCGCAGGCACUCUGCACGCCUUGAACUCCCGUAAUGAGGGAGUUCGAGCCCCAAUCUGACCCACAGUGAUCUCAGAUCGGAAAGAACAAUCCGCUCCUCCAUAUCCUCCAUGAUCCCCUCCUUGACGGUACUGAACCCGAUCUCGAACCUGAACCUCCUCGCGUAGCCAUCAUAAUCUUCAACUGAAAAUACAACAUAGAAAGAAAUUGAUAAGGAAGUUCAAAGGGAUUUCUCCCCACUGGACUCCUUAAAGCCUUCAGGUAUGUCCUUGUCUCGGGUACAAGUCUUGUGCUUUUAGUAGUACGGACCAAAUACUACCUUCCACACCUACCUGUACAUUCCCCCAAGGCCAUACCUGAUACCUCCAAUUCACCAAACCAUAGAUAAAACAUGACCUACGAAACACAGCACAUACACAUAUCUUAGAAUCUUCGGGGAUUUCUCAAUCCUCAUAGAACCAGAAACCUCAAUCAACACCGCAUGUUGCCUUAUGCAUGCAAGUUAUACAUUAAUAGAAUCAUAGAGACUGUCAAAUAAAGUUUCUACCCUAAGACCACAACCAAACAAGGAACAAGAAGUAAGGCAGAAUCCAUCGUUCUAGGGCUAUAAAAUCCUAAACAUAUACAACUUUGAAAGCAUACACUUAGCAAAUAACAACGUCAACAUCGAUUCCAAGCAUUAUAUUCAUAGCAUUGAACUCUCCUAGGCUACAAGGCAUCUCACAAAUCAGACAAUUCUCAUAACACCUAAAGGUAUCCUUAGCCCUAUUCUAGCAUGCAUUUCACACAUUAACAUACUAGUUGCAAUUCAUAAGCAUGGUUAAAUUUUUGGAAACACUUACUUGAGCUUGGCUGAUUUCGCGCAUUGCGCUCUCCCUUUUUACUUAAGAAAACCGGUUUAAGAAAAACUUGACUUUUGUUUCUUUUUUUAAAAAGGUUUACCAUUUCCUCAGUUUGAGUUGUGACACAUAGUGUGCCCGAAUUCCUCAAACCAAGGCUAUGAUACCAACUUGUAAAAGCCCAAAAAUCCAGAUAAAAAUUUUCAUUUAAAAAAAAAUAGAAAUUACAAUCAUAAUUUGUUUCUUAAAAUCCAUUACAUCAUUUCAUAUCAAAAUAUCAGAGUAUCAAUAUCAAUAAAUGAGGAAAUUCUUGGGAGUGAAUGUUGCGCCAUCUAGCUAGGCCCUUCCCCUUAGUACCGAAAGUACCUGAAAACACCUAAAUAAACUGUAAGCAAAAACUUAGCGAGUUCCCAAAAUACAACAUAACAUAUAACCACAGAAUACCACGCCACAUACAUAAGAUUGCCAUGGACAACCCCAUGGUCUUUACUUGGAAUGCCAUGGGCUACCCCAUGGUAUUUACCUAGAAUGCCAUGGGAUACCCCCAAGGUCGGAUAUCCAAGUGCCAUGUGCUACCCCAUUGGUCUUUACCUGGAAUGCCAUGGGCUACCCCCAUGCUCUAAUAUCCAAGUGUCGUGCGCUACCCCCAUGGUCUUCAUAUAAGUGCCACAGGCUACCCCCGUGGUCUUCACAUAAUGAAUUGCAUAAAAACUAUCAAUCCACAUGUCAGGCAAUGGGCCGCCAUUGGUGCCUUCGACCCAUUGAUAUAGUGAGAAGACUCACCUCAGACUGCUGAUAAAAAUACUGCUCGGCUAACGCUCUAGAUAUCUGACACUGAAUAUACACAAGUUAACCUAAUUAGAAUUAAGUCACAAACUCAAGGCCUAGGCCAAAACCCUAAGUACAAACUCCUCCAAUAAGGCCCAAAGUCUUUUUCCUUUAAUGGGCCUAACAUCCAAGAUCCAAAAAGGGGCAUAAGGCCCAAAAGGCCUAGCCAUGCCACUUAUGGUCCAACAACAAGUUCAAAGGCCCAAAUACUAUAAUAGAUCCAGGCCCAAGUCUAAGUAGAGCCCAAAUAGCUUAAAGGCCCAACAAAAGCCCAAAACUCAUUGGAAGCGUACGCCCAACGUACAUCAUCAGUACGCUUAGCAUACUGGGUUCUUUGGCGGUUAGCGUAGUGUACAAGCUAGUAUGCCCAACGUACAAGCUACUUUGCACAAAAAGCCAUUAAGUGCUUAAUUCAUGAAGCCAUUUCGUCCGAUUCCAGAUCUUGGUCAUCUUAAAGGUCCUAGGGCAUAAAGAUGGUAACUUUAUGUGUUUACAUGCCAUAUGGGAACCCAACACCUGAUUUUAUCCAUUAAGACUCCCUUUAAGAUCUUAAACUCAUGCAUGGUGCCAUAACAACCAUCAAGUUAGCAUUUUUAUGCUUUUAACAUGCCAAAGGAACUAGGAUCUAACAUUUAUAAUCUCUGGAGUUGUUCAAACUUACAAAAGAGGAUCCAUGGACCAAAAAUGGACUUAUUACCAAACCCUAACUCAAACUAGCGAAAGGAUAAGCAAGUUCUGGACUUUUUACCUCCAAAAGUUUUCCAAGAUGAAGUAGAUGCAGGAUCUAGAAGCUCAAACACGUCUAAGAGUUGAUCACAACCUUCUCCUUCUUACACACACAUUAAAAUAGCCACCAAAAUCACUUUUAAGCUCAAGAAUCACACUCACUUGCAAACUAGGGUUUAGGGACGAUAAGAGGCAAUAAAAGCUAUGUAGGGUUAGGUCCAAAUGUCAUAAGAGUGUUAAAAUAGGGUUCAUGCGCAAAAAUUAGGGUUUUUGUCAUAUGCCACGUACUCCUCGCAUACAUGGUGCAUGUACGCAUCUAAACCACCCUAGUACGCUAAGCGUACACGUAUGUACGCCCUGUUGGAUUAGUGUUUAAGUCCAUAACUAUAUUUGGUAUGUAUUUGACCAGGUUGUGCAUGGUCCUUUUAGGUUGCCUUCACCGAAGCAACUUGACUAGAGGAAUUAUAUAGAAAGAGGUGAUUAUGGUUUAUUAAUAUAUUAUAAGAUUUAUAUAUUAAAAGAGAAAUCAUGUUUGAUUAAUUAACAUUGGUCAAGAGUUAAUUAAACAUUAGUUUUGUGAUCAAAAGAAGUUAAUUGAACUUAAGGGGCUGAACUGUAAUUAUGUGAUAGUUACAAAGUUAGGCAAGGAAACCCUAAUGGAUAGGGUGGAUGAAUUCUAGGGAUAUAGCCUUAAGAAUUCGCCCAUGAUAGGGAUUCUAGAAUUAUCUUAUGGGCUGCUUGGUGGCUAAGUAACCAUAUAAGAAUAAUGAAUGAAACCCUAAUUCCUAAACCUAUAUAAAGGACCCUUGGUCAUGGGAAUUUCGGCAACUUGAACCCUAGAAGUCCUAGAGCCGAAAUUCUCCUCUUCCCUCUCUUGCUUCCUCUAAUUGCUAUUGGUGUUUGUUAUUAAUUAGAGGCACAACACUUGAGGUGCUAAAGUUGUCAAGGCUUCAAGAUCUUCAAUCAACAACGAGGUAAGCAUCUUGAUAUACUUUGCUAAGUUAAUUUCAAUUAUAUACACUAGAUCUAGGGUUUGAAAGUCUUGGAUGAAUGCACGUACAAUUAGAGAAACCUAGAUCCAAGCAUUAGGGUUUGCAUGAGCACAUAGGAUGUUCUUUUGGCUCAAACCUAUCAGUGGUAUCAGAGCUUUUGUUUGGUUUCUAUUGUAUUGAUGCCUUGCUUGUUCAUCCUCUCUUGAAAAUCGUGAUUUUGUGUUCUCUGCCUGACGAACUCGAUGAGUCCCAAUGUGGGCUCGACGAGUAGGAUGAACUCGACGAGUCCAUAAGGGCACUCAACGAGUCGGAGCGUCAGACAUAGAUUUUCGGGAUUUCUUGUUGUUUUGCUUAAUGAUAAUUACCUAAAUCGUUUUUGACUAAUAAAAUCUGAAUUUUAUUACUGCUUUAUGUUUAUCCUUUCCAAAACAAAAGAUAAUUUCCAUUUAUUUGAAUAAUAAAUUCCUUAUAUGAUAAUAAUUGAUUAUUUAAAUUAUUUGUUGAAUUAUCUUAUGAAUAAAAUUGAUUAGGUCAAAUUUAGAUAAUCAUUAAAUUAAUUGUUUAAUUUAAAUUAUUUGCUAUUUGAUCCUUUAUGUUUUGAAAAGUUCAAAACUUGUCCUCAAGUUUUGAAAUUUAAAUUUGUGAUUAAAAGUUUAAUUUAAACUAUUUAAAUUUCAAACCCUAGAAUUUUACAAGUUUAAAAUUCAACCUUAUACUUUACAAUANUUAAACGCUAGUCUUACUGUUAGUAGGCCUCAUUCACGAAGCCGAUCUAGAAGGAGGUAUAAGGUUAUGACCUAUAAAAUGGCCAUUUAAUGGGUGUCCACUCUCACCCACCACAUCCUUGAUUGGUGGAGGGUCGUUAGCCGAACGGGUAAGAUAGGGCAACCCUUUCUCAUGAAUAAGUAUAAUGAAUUAUAAAAGUAACUAAAUGUUUUACAAAAUUCCCAAUCUUAAUUACUUUAGGCAAAAGUGAAAUUGAUGCAAUUCCAUUAAAUUACAUUUUGUACCCGUGCUAAGACGUUAGUGGAGCGUGUGUGGUUAACUGGCACACUAAUUCGGUUCUAAGAAAAGGUGGUAAAGGGUGACUCAUUGUUUCUCAUUGUUCGAUGGAGCAUGUGUGGUUAACCAGCACAUCGAAUAGGUGACUGUAACAAUGAGGGCACCAUGUAUAUUUGCAUGGUUAUUCAUACCCACUUUGUGAUCCUCAGCAUCCCAGUCACAAACUAGAGGGGCAUAUCAAGAUUUAUACAUGCCAUUGAAAAGUUCAAUGAAUCUCAAAAUAUCUAGGAGUUUUCAAUACAUUUAAAACUUAAUCUCUUUUUCGUUUUUCAUGGUGGAGAAUUAGUGAAUCGUCAUUCACUUACCUUCAAAUUAUUUGCAUGUUAGAUUACGACACCCCUCUUCUAAUAUGUAAAUAAUGUUGUUGGAUCCUAGCCCUAAUUUCUCAUUUAGGUGUUUCAUUAGGGAUUCAUUUCUAAUCAAACUUUGUUCUUUUUCCUUUUCAGAUGUCGAACAACAACAAUGCUUCCGGAUCGUUCUCACUCAUGAACUUGUGUGGGAGAGUGAUCUUUGACGAGUCCAAUUUCAAUGAUUGGAUUCGCAACAUCCGAAUGGUCACUCGUUACGAGGACAAAGAGUAUGUCCUUGAUAAGAAGCUGAAGGAAAUCAACCUCAACACUGCUACUACUGAAGAGAUCGCCACCUUUAAGGCUCAUGAGCGUGAUGCCACGAAAGUCCAUUGCAUCAUGCUAGCGACCAUAACUGCAGAACUCCAAAAGUCCUAUGAGGACAUGUAUCCCUAUGAAAUUCAUCAAAACUUGUUGGACCGGUACCACCAAAGUGCAAGGCAAGAAAGGUAUGAGAUCAUCACUUCGAUGAUCACUACCAGAAUGGGUAAUGGAGAGUCCCUUACCGCCCAUCUGCAAAAGAUGCAGAGAUAUGUUGAUCACCUGCUAAAGUUGAAAGUUAACUUUGAUGAAGAGAUGGCAAUCGACAUUAUCCUUCACUCCUUACCUCCCUGCUACAACCAGUUCCGCAUGACUACCACAUGAAUAAGGAAGAGGUCACCUUGAGCAAGCUUCACGGCUUGCUAAGAACUGUUGAGAGCAAUUUCAAGGAUAAGUAUGUUGCAUCAACUCCAACUCCCACUGCUGCCCUUGUCUUGGAAAAAGGGCAAGGGAAGGGUAAGAAAAGGAAGGCUCCCUCAAAUAUCCACCACAAGGGAAAGUCCCAAGAUGUUACCUCUUCUAGUGGAACCAAGGCUGGUUCUGCUAAACCCAACUCUAACCCUAAUGAGCCAGAGUGCCACCACUGCCACAAAAUAGGGCAUUGGAAGAGAAGCCGCCCAGAAUAUCUGCAAGCUAUCUAGGAUGGGACGAUCAAGCCAUCCUUCGCAGGUAUUUACACUAUUAAAUCUAAUGAUUCAUCGCAUGCUAUUUCUUGGGUUAUUGAUACAGGAUGUGGUUUUCACAUAUGUUCUGAUUUGCAGGGACUAAGAAGAAAUAGGGAUGUGGAGCAUGGAAGAAUAAACCUAAUAAUGCGAAACAAAAGAUUGUCGCCUGCCACCAAUAUUGGAGUAUAUAUAUUCCUUAAUGCUUAGUAAUGGAUUAGGUUUUGAUUUAAACAAUUGCUGCUAUUCGCCAGAUAUGGCAAGAAACAUCAUUUCAUUUCAUGGUUUAUAUAGGCAAGGAUUUAGAUAUUCAUUUGAUAAUGAAAAGGGUUCUAUUUAUGCUUAUCUUAAUAGUGUUUUAUAUUUUGAAGCAUUGCCUUGUAAUGUAAUAUAUGAAACUGUGAUGGUUGUAGAUAACUUAGGAAAUGAUGUAUUGUGUGUUGAUUCUUCCAACAAUAUAGAUAAAGCAUGCUUGUGGCAUUGUCGUCUUGGACAUGUCAACAAGAAACGCAUAGCCCAACUCUAAAAGGAUGGAGUGUUGGAGUCAUUCGACCUUAGGGAUGAUGACGUGUGUGAGUCUUGUUUACUUGGAAAGAUGACCGAUGUGUGUGGGCACUUGUGAAAGGGGUGAGGGUUUAUUGGAUCUCAUACACACCGAUGUGUGUGGGCCCUUUAGAUUACCACAAAAGAUGCAAGCCACUUCUAUGUGACUUUUACCGAUGAUUAUAACAGAUAUGGGUAUAUCUACUUAAUCAAGCACAAGUCGGUAACCUUUGAAAGGUUCAAAGUGUUUAAAGAAGAAGUGGAGAAUCAUUUGGGCAGGAAUAUCAAGAUGCUUCGAUCCGAUCGAGGAGGAGAGUACCUAAGUCUUGAAUUCCAUGACUAUCUCAAGGAAUGCGGAAUCGUUUCACAAUUGACGUCACCUAGGACACCGCAGUUAAAUGGUGUGGCUGAGAGGCGUAAUCGAACCUUGUUGGACAUGGUUCAUUCCAUGAUGAUUCGUGCUUCACUACCUAUCUCAUUCUGGGGGUAUGCCUUAGAGACUGCCGCCCAUAUCCUUAACUUAUUCCCUACGAAGAAGGUUGCCAAAACACCUCACGAGAUGUAGACAGGGAAAGCUUCCUCGUUAGCACAUAUCAAGGUUUGGGGGUUGCGAGGCUUUCGUAAGACGAGAGACUCACGACAAGCUCGAACCUCGUAGUGAGUGGUGUAUUUUCACCAGCUACCCACAAAAGACCUUUGGAUAUCUCUUCUAUAGUCCGAGUGAGAACGUUGCCUUCAUUGCGAGGAGAGGGGUUUUCCGUGAGCGAGAACUCAUAAGCCUAGGGGACAGUAGGAGGCAAAUCGAUCUUGAAGAGAUUCAAGAGUUGAGCGAUGAAGGAACCUCCAACACCGGGGCUUACCCGAGGAGGAAACUCCGGUUGAACCGAUUGACGAGUCCUUACCUCUUAGACGUUCCGAAAGAGUUAGGUUUCAACCCCAGUUAUAUGGCUUUCAUAUUACUACAGAAGGGGAUACGUAUAUUAGUGAUAUUAUACUAAUAAAUUUGGAUGAACUUAACAGCUAUAAGGAAGCCAUUGCAGGCCCAGAGUCUGCAAAGUGGAAAGAGGCGACGGACAGUGAGAUUCUGUCCAAGUAUGACAACCAAGUUUGGAAUUUGGUUGACAAUGUACUAGGUCGUAAGAUGGUCUGGUGCAAAAUGAUCUUUAGGAAGAAGGUACUAAAACGUUUUGUGACAACCCGAAAUUUCCAUUUUGUACGAACAUUAGCUAUUCAAUAGAAGCUAGUCCAAUUUCAAUGAAUUUCAGACUUUUCUAAAUAAAUUUGUGUACAUUAGGGUUUACGUUUAAGGAGAUAUCAGGAGAGUGGAUGCUCAUGGGUUUGUGAAACUUGAGCAUUUCAAAACUUCAUAAUGUUAGAGUCCAAUUCCGGAAUAAAAAUAUUUUCUGCCAAAAUAUUUCAGGACUAUAAAUAGAUUUCUGAACUAAAUUCAUUCAUUAUUCACACUUCCAACUAGAGAAAAGCCAUUUUCUCUCUCACAGAUCUUCGGGUUUUCAUCCCAAAUCGUGAGUACACUUCUUUAGUUGUUUUAUAAUGCUUGUUAUAUGCUUAAUAACAUAGAUUACAUGUCAAAUAUGUGAGAUCCGGGAGUUUACCGCCCAAGAACGUUCUUGGGGAGUAAACUCGAAAAUAAAGCUUUAAGGCUAUCUAGUCCCAUUUCCUUGUUAGGUAACUAGCUUAGGAUAAUAUGUAGGAUCAUUUGAGACAAGAAAACAAUCCAGAACACAUAGCUUUAGGAGUUUUCGGCCCAAGAGUUUCUUGGACCGUAAACACCAAAUACAAGGGCUUAAAUGUGCCCUAAUCACUCCCAAAGGCUUUAGACUUUAACCCUAAAUUACUUCUAGCUAAUAUGGGGACAUUAACACAUCAAAAAAACCCCUAAAAGGGAGUUUACGGCCAAGAAAUGCUCUUGGGCCGUAAACACCAAUUAAGGGCACCAAAGUGUGCCUAGGGCCCCCCUUAGCAUAAAUCAAAUGCCUCGAAAGUAUUCUACUUGUGUUUGAGACUUGAAAGAAUUAAAACAUCCAUCCCAUGAGAGUUUACGGCCGUAAACUCUAAGGGAUAUGGCCUUUUGGCCGUAAACUCCUCAAAGGAGUGUUAUCUAUGCCCUAAACUACCCAAAGGAUUAAACCACCAAACUAGGCUUAUUCUAGAAAUCAUUUAGCACUUUAAAACACCCAUUACCACCAAGAUUGGAGUUCACGGCCGUAAACUCAAGGUUUUACGACCGUAAACUCCUUGUGUGGGGUUUAUUGGGUAGUAAACUCUUAUACAAAGUCCUUGGAAGCUUUAAACCCCUUUAGCUUGUCCCAUAACAACUUAGAUGCAACCAUUAGGACCUAUAACACUUAUACAAGGUGUUUACAUGUUCCUAAGUGUCCCAACUUAUUUCAUUAAGUUAUUAUUUGGCUAAUUAGUUAUAUAUAUGCUCAUUAUAUGAUAACUAGGCUCGUGCGUGUGAACAAGUCUCCGUUUGCCACCUAGCACGGUAUCCGACACUACAAUCCAAACCACUCACCACAAGUGAGUUCAUACCCCUUUAAUUAACCUUUGAAAUACUUUUAAAUGUUUUAAAUACUUUAUGGGGGGGAUACAAGUUAAAUGCUUAUAGUUAUUGCAUCAAUCACAUGUGAUUACAUUAAUCAUAUGUGAUUAAUAACUAGAAAACCAAUGAUCUUAUCACUGUUUAAACUGUUUAUCAAACUGUUUUACUUCAAACUGUUUUACAAACUCUUUUACUCAUCAAAUACUUUUAUUUAAACUUUGUUAUACUUCUUAUAAACCGCAUGCCCAUAUAUGUAUAGAUAUAUAAGCAAUGUUUAAAGGGUUUAGGAAGGUCAUCCGCCCUAUUUCCUUUUUCUCGAUUUGGAUGUGGUCUGGUGGGAUUUCGGGUAACCAUCCGAAGGUCGUUUCAAUAUUAAUUAUAUAUCAAAUGUACAUAUAUAGACAUAAAAGUACUCCUUNUAUACUAGGAGAAGAACAUAUACAACUAUACUAGAGGAAGAACAUAUACAACUAUACUAGAGGAAGAACAUAUACAACUAUACUAGAGGAAGAACAUAUACAACUAUACUAGAAAGAGAACAUAUACAACUAUACUAGAGGAAGAACAUAUACAACUAUACUAGAACAGUUCAUUACAUUACACAUACUAGAAUACGUUCAUUAUUGUGAUAUGAAUCGGGGCAUGACUUAAAUGCCAUGGCCCGAGUUGUAGCCAGAGUCUCUUGAAGGGAGAGCGUGAGUUUGCGUAUAGAUCUAUACUGGAUUGACUAUCCUACACCUUGCUGCUAGCUACAGCCGGACCUGCAGGUCUGCGGGUGCCAAACGUCAUUCCGUUAUUACGACCAUUCGUAUGUCGUUGUUACCAGUCGAUAGUAUGGUGCAAUUAGUCACAUGAUACCUUAAUAUAAAUCCGGUUUAAGGUAGUUAGUACAACAAUAGUUCCUAUAAUACAACACUACAGUACUACAAUAAUUUACCCAUUACAUAUAUUUAGUGAUUAUUUCACUUAAACAUUAAUGUACAAACUAUAUUUUGUUAAAUGAUAGUUACACUUGGGAAAUUACACACUUUUACAACAAACGAGCAUACAAAACAGUUAAGCCUUGGUAGAAGGCUACUUUAAUAGAAAAUAUAGGUUUUUCUGAGAGAUUCAAACUUUUACAAACACUUACAUACAUUUUACAAACUUACACUUGAGACACGUUCAAACGUUUUGAUAACAAACAUCGACACUAAAAUACUUAUGAACUCACCAGCUUAAUGCUGAUAAACUCUUUCAAAAUAACUUGUAUUCUCAGGUCAUCAAUAGACAGGUACUUAGGCCAGCUUUUGAGAAGAUGGAGCGCAUUCAAGACUCAUCUUAUUAUUUUGAUUUACAUUAUAUUUUGGUGUCUAAAACUGUACAGAACACGCUUGUAUUAAAAUUAUAUAUUUAAUGCAAUGGAUGAUGCUGUUUGCUUAUUUACAUUUACUGUGUUGUGAUACUUUACAUGACGUCCUCCGCCCCACAACGUUUCCGCCGUUCUUGGUUUUGGGGUGCGACACGUUUUAGUAUGGAGAAUUCAAAGAAGGCAGAGUUACCAAUCCAAAGUAAUGCGAAGUUGAGUACGACUCAAAGUCCGAGUACUGAAGUCGAGAUAGCAGAAAUGAGCUAAGUACCUUACGCUUCCGCAGUUGGCUCGAUCAUGUACGCUAUGACUUGUACUCGCCCUGAUGUGGCCUUCGCUUUGAGCAUGGUCAUUAGAUAUCUAGGGAACCCUAGAAAAGCACAUUGGACCGCAAUCAAGAAUAUUCUUAAGUACCAUCGAAGGACCAAGGAAUGGUUUCUAGUCCUCGGUGGGAGUGAUGACUUAAAGGUGCGAGGGUAUAGUGACGCCAGUUUUCAGACCGACAGGGACAACUACCGUUCGCAGUCGGGCUGGGUCUUUACCCUAAAUGGUGGAGCAGUGACUUGGAAAAGUUCCAAGCAAGAGACCGUAGCUGACUCAACAUGUGAAUCAUAGUACAUUGAAGCAAGCGAAGCGUCAAAUGAGGCAAUAUGGUUGAAGAACUUCAUUGGAGACCUUGGAGUUGUGCCGACCAUACAGGAGCCUAUUGAGAUUUUCUGUGAUAAUGAAGGAGCGGUUGCCUUGACCAAGGAACUGAGGGAUCACGGCAGAUCUCAACAUAUUGACAGAAAAUAUCACUUUAUUCGAUAUCAGAUGGAAAAAGGACUCCUCGUAGUGAAGUGCGUAUCGUCAGAAGAUAACCCAUCAGAUCUGCUUACGAAGGGACUGAGCAGGGUUAAGCACUUGCAGCAUGCUAGGAGCAUCGGGCUGAAGGACGAUAUUAGUUUAGAUUAGAUAGUUUGGAAACGUGUAAUAGAUAAAUUAUAAUUAACAUCUGAUGAUUAAAUAAAAGAGUAUUAUUUAUUAGUAAUGUUACUAUCUUAUGUUAAUUGUUUACCUAUUGUUUCAUUUUGCAUGUUUUGACUUCCUGAAUAAUAAGAAUUAUUUAAAUGGUCUACAGUUGUUCAUAUGUUGGAACUAGGUAUGAAUGAAGACUGUCAUGAAUUGGUGUGUAGAUUGUCUAAAGUGUAUUAGACAUAGCAAAAGUUUGCUACAACAUUCAUGAGUGCUUAUGAAAAGUUUUGAGCAUUGGAAUAAACCCAUGCUUGCUGGAAUCACUUCAUGGAAUUCAUCAUGAGUGAUCGCAAGACGAUAAUAUAUCAUAUGGUCUUAAAACAUAGAUAUAUGGUUUAUUGUUUUCUAAUUGGUUGUGCAUUGAUAAUGCGUAAACACAUCAGUAACUUGAUGUUAUAAAACGCAUUGUUGUGUAUGAUUUGAUUAGUGGAUAGUAAAUGCAUAUAAGUCUAAGUUCAUCUGUUCCUUUUAUCCUAAUAGGUUAAAAGUGAUAUCAGGACCCCUUGAUGAUUUGAUUUGACUUAUGUGUCGGGCCCGGUCAGGACUGAAUUGAUGUGUUCAAUUACGUUCUAUGUCAAAUGAAUCAGAGAUUAAGAAACAAACUGUUGGAUAAUAAGUAUGACUAUGUUCCAUGUAAUUGUCCGCAUGAUAUCUAGAACAAAGGAUUAUACGAUCCCUUAUCUUAAGGACAAGUUACUGAUAAGAUCAAGAGUUUUGAGAACUGUGAUUGCUAAUCGAAUCCAGAAGUUGCAUUUGCAUUUAUAGUUAUUAUCAAGGUUGUAAAAAAUUCUCGACGUUAGCUAGUCGGUGGACUGGGGUUAAGAGAUUAAUCGGGUAGGCGGAGAUUAAUCGGGGGAUUAAUGGAGACCAUUAAUUGAUAAUUUGUUGAAUUUUAAAAAAUUGAAUAUGACUAAUAUCAUAUCAAAGUCCGUAAGUACCACUAAUAUCAUAACAAAAUAGGUUGAUAUGUUUAAUACAACAUUAAUCAUGCUUGAAAUAGUUUCUAUUGAGAUAAAACUUCUUAAAAAUGUUUAAAUUUCAUCGUUUUAUACAGUUUUACUCAUUAUUUAUGCAUGGAUUAAUCGCUAGGUGCCAUCUAGUUGGUUGAGUAAUGCCUAGGGAUUAAUCGGAGAUUAAUCGGGACCUAGUCAUGAUUUUUACAAUAAUGGUUAUUAGACUUAUCCAAGUAGGGGAAUGUUGGAUUAGUGUCCAAGUCCAUAACUAUAUUUGGUAUGUAUUUGACCCAGUUAUGCAUGGUCCUUUUAGGUUGCCUUCACCAAAGCAACUUGAUUGGAGGAAUAAUAUAGAAAGAGGUGAUUAUGGUUUAUUAAUAUAUUAUAAGAUUUAUAUAUUAAAGGAGAAAUCAUGUUUGUUUAAUUAACGUUGGUCAAUAAUUAAUUAAACAUUAGUUUUGUGAUCAAAAGAAGUUAAUUGAACUUAAGGGGCUGAACUGUAAUUAUGUGAUAGUUACAAAGUUAGGCAAGGAAACCUUAAUGGAUAGGGUGGACAAAUUCUGGGGAUAAUGCCUUAAGAAUUCGUCCAUGAUAGGGAUUCUAGAAUUAUCUUAUAGGCUGCUUGGUGGCUAAGUAACCAGAUAAGGAUAAUGACUGAAACCCUAAUUCAUACACCUAUAUAAAGGACCAUUGGGCAUGGGAAUUUCGGCCACUUGAACCCUAGAAGUCCUAGAGCUGAAAUUCUCCUCUCCCCUCUCUCUCUUGCUUCCUCCAAUUGCUAUUGGUGUUUGUGAUUCAUUAGAGGCACAACACUUAAGGUGCUAAAGUUUUCAAGGCUUCAAGAUCUUCAAUCAACAACAAGGUAAACAUCUAGAUCUACUUUGCUAUGUUAAUUUCGAUUAUAUACACUAGAUCUAGGGUUUGAAAGUCUUGGAUGAAUGCAUGUACAAUUAGAGAAACCUAGAUCCAAGCAUUAGGGUUUGCAGGAGCACAUAGGGUGUUCUUUUGGCUCAAACCCAUCACGCCCAAUGUACGUAGGGACCUCCUUUACAAAUAAGUUUCAUUCCAAGGGUUAAAAGGGUAAAUACCUACAUUCCGAAUGUUACAUAUAGAUAGUAAAAUACUUGAUUCUACCCUAAGCCCUUCAUCAAACAAGAAAAUGAAAUAAAGCUAAACAAAAAUUCUCAAGCUAUACAAUCUUAGUUAUGUACAACUACGAUGCAUACACUAAGCAACUACAAUAAUGACGCUAAUUAUAUAUAAGAAGUAAUCCUAGGGUAUCAAGCAUCCUAUAUCAGGAAAUCCUUUCAUGUAAUUCCUGAAGAUCCCUAUCCUACCACUAGCAUGAUGUUAUAUCAUGAAAAACAUAUCAAGUAACCGUGUGGGUAACUUUGGGUAAAUUUUCUUGCUCUGGCUGAUCAUACACAUCGCAUCAUUCCUUGGUUACUUUUGAAAACAAUUUUUGAAAACCAUUAAAAGAAAACUUUACAGCUUCCUAGUUUGAGUUUGGAUUCACACGAAUGUUCAUCCAGUUCUCUCAAACCGAGGCUCUGUUACAAACUUGUAACACUCCAAAUAUCAUAGAAAAUUAAAAAUUUUAAAUUUCAACCAUUAACCAACAUUUUUUACAAAAAGAGUCAUUGCUUCAAAAGUAUUAUUCAAAAUCAUAGUUUUUCCUAAGACCUAAUAACACAAAAUAGGAAGAUGUGCACGAUCACGCCUUCUCCUUCCUACGAUCAUCCGAAGUACCUAAAACAAUAAACUGAAAUUGUAAGCCAAAGCUUAGUGAGUUCCUCCAAAGUACCAUCAUGGAACAUAUAAAAUACAUAGAUUAACAUGUUGGGUCCAUAACCUCCCAGUUGGAUUACCUUGGCUCACAACCUCCCUGUUGGAUUGCCCUGCAUACCACAUACUGGGUCCACUACCUACCGACUGGGUUGACUUAGAUGGUUUGUGGAGUUUGGCCUAUUUUGACCCAAGGAUAUUUUGGAUAAGUUGGUAGUUAUUUAAGUCGACCAAUAUUUUGGGAUAAUAGGUGUCGAGUAGAGCCGGUUGUCAGGGAAGAGAUUUAUUCAGCUUAUGUUCAGACUGAGAGGUGAGUUUUCCUCACUGUACUUACGGGUCGAAGGCACCAAGGCCGACCCAACGAAUUGAUAUCCUGUCUAUACUGAUUGAAGAUAUGUUGAGUAUGCGAUAGAUCUGAAUGAUUAUAUGAUAGUUAUGAUAUACGUUAGACUGGUAGAUCUAUAGGGCUACCUAUGAUUAUUGGUUGUAUAAUCAUCUGUAUGUUGUAUAUAUAUUAUAUGUUAUAUGCCGACAUGUUACAUUGGGGUUGAGACUACUGCUUUGUGUCGUCAGUCAACAGACCAUGUCAAUCCAAUUGGGAUGUUGUGGGCUAGGGUAAUUCAACCAGGAGGUUGUGGACACAAUAUGCUAAUCUGUGUAUUUUAUAUGUUGCAUGAUGGUACUUUGGUGGAACUCACUAAACUUUGUGUUAUAGUUUCAGUUUAUUUUCAGGUACUUCUGAUGAUCGCGGUACGAUGAAGGUGUGGUCAUGCACAUCUUCCUGUUUUGUGUUAUUGGGUCUUGGUGAAAACUCUGAAAGUCAUGACACACUUCAAAUUGAAGUAUUUCGAUGGUACAAUCAAAAUCUCUAUUGGAUAAAAUUUAGUGACAACAACAGAGAAUUAAAAGGUUACGAUUCUUGUGUGUACCAUAUUCAAAUACCCAAAAAGGGAUAUAACUCCUUGUUCGAAAUAAAGCUAAACCAAAAAUUCUCAAGCUAUAGAAUCUUAGUUAUGUACAACUAUGAUGCAUACACUAAGCAACUACAAUAAUGAUGCCAAUUCUAUAUAAGAAGUAAUCUUAGGGUAUCAAGCAUCAUAUAUCAAGAAAUUCUAUCAUGUAAUUCCUGAAGAUCCCUAGCCUACCACUAGCAUAUUGUUCUAUCGUGAAAAACAUAUCAAAUAAUAGUGUGGUUAACUUGGGGUAUACUUUCUUACUCCGGCUGAUCGUACACAUAUCAUCAUUCUUUGGUUACUUUUGAAAACCAUUAAAAAAACUUUUACAGCUCCCUAGUUUGAGUUUGGAUUCACACGAAUGUUCAUCCAAUUCGCUCAAACCAAGGCUCUAAUACCAACUUGUAACACUCCAAAUAUCAUAGAAAAUUAAAAAUUAAAAAUUUCAACCAUUAACCAACAUUGUUUACAAAAAGAGUCAUUGCUUCAAAAGUAUUAUUCAAAAUAAUAGUUUUUCCCAAGACCCAAUAAUACAAAGCAGGAAGAUGUGCACGAUCAUGCCUUCGCCUUCCCGCGAUCAUCAGAAGUACCUGAAACAAUAAACAGAAACUGUAAGCCGAAGCUUAGUGAGUUCCCCCAAAGUACCAUAAUGCAACAUUUAAAAUACAUAGAUUAACAAAAUGGGUCCACAACCUCCCAUUUGGAUUACCUUGGCCCACAACCUCCCCGUUGGAUUGCCUUGCAUACUACAUACUGGGUCCAUAACCUUCCGACUAGGUUGACUUGGCUAGUUUGUGGAGUUUGACCUAUUUUGACCAAAGGAUAUUUUGGAUAAUUUGGUAGUAAUUUAAGUCGGGCAAUAUUUUUGGAUAAUAGUUGUUGAGUAGAGUCGGUUUUCGGGGAAGAGAUUUAUUCAGCUUGUCUUCUUACUCAGAGGUGAGUUUUCCUCACUGUACUUAUAGGCCAAAGGCACCAAGGCCGACCCAAUGGAUUGAUAUCCUGUUAGGUACUGAUUGAUGAUUUGUUGAGUAUGCGAUAGAUCUGUAUGAUUAUAUGAUAGUUAUUGAUAUACGUUAGACAUGUAGAUCUAUAGGGCUACCUGUGAUUAUUGGUUGUAUAAUCAUAUGUCUAUUGUAUGUAUAUUAUAUGUUAUAUGUCAACAUGUUACGUUAGGGUUGAGACUACUACUUUGUGUCGUCAGUCAACAGACCAUGAGAAUCUAACCGGGAGGUUGUGAGCCAGAGUAACCCAGCCGGGAGGUUGUGGGCCCAACAUGCCAAUCUAGGUGUUUUAUAUGUUGCAUGAUGGUACUUUGGAGGAACUCACUAAGCUUUGGCUUACAAUUUCAGUUUAUCGUUUCAGGUACUUGUGAUGAUCGCAGGACGGUGAAGGUGUGAUCAUGCACAUCUUCCUGUUUUGUGUUAUUGAGACUUAGGAAAAACUCUGAUUGUGAAUAAUACUUUUGAAGCAAUGAAUCUUUUUGUAAACAAUGUUGGUUAAUGGUUGGAAUUUUUUUUUUUUUUUAAAUUUUUAUGAUUUUUGGAGUGUUACAUUGGUUUUGUCUUAUAACUGAUCCAAACCCCCACACACCCUUGUUAAUCAUCAAAGAAGAAUCCAAUUAGAACUAAUUCUAUUCAACAAUAACAACCAUAGGGUGUUAGAAAUCCAUUACCUCAAAUGUAGGGAUCUUUUGAUGUCUAAGAACAUUAAUCAAGAUAAAUUAAUAAGGAUAUUCAAUUAAACCAAAGGUCUUUUGGCCUAGCACUAUCAUAUGUUGGAAAAAUGACCCUUCCUAAUGUUAGAAAAACGGGUUAUUUCGAUUGCUUGGAUUCCACUGAAAGUCAUGAUACACUUUCAAAUUGAAGUAUUUCGGUGGUACAAUCAAAAUCUCAAUUGGAUAAAAUUUAGUGACAACAAUAGAGAAUGAAAAGGUUAUGAUUCUUGUGUGUACCAGAUUCAAAUGACCAAAAAGGGAUAUGACUCCUUGUCCGAAAACUGUCAUAUUAACAGUUACAAACUGCCACAAAGCUGUCACUAAACUUGUAACACCCCAAGUUCAGAAGUGCAAGUUCAGGGUUCUUGGUGUAAUUAAGGAAGAUCGACUCGGCGAGUCGAGUCGUGAUUUGGCCAUGUGCUAAGUGACUGACUCGGCGAGUAGGCAGCUAGACUCGACGAGUCAGUGCUGGAGUGAGAAACCCUAAUUCAUGGGGUUUGCACCCUAUAUAAGGAACCUUAAGUCCCACCCCAGCCUCUUUAGGACUCCCUCUGAUGUCCAGAAACUUUCCACAUCGAUUUCAAACCCUAAAUUGAGAGUGAGAGGGAUUUAAGUGUGUUUUGGAGCUUGAAGAAGAAGGAUACUUGAAGCAAGAGUUGGUGGGAUCAUAGAGGAGCGAAGUGGAUCUGAUUUCCUUGCUUCUUGGCAUCAGCAUCAAGGUAAAAAGUUGUUGCCUUGACUUUGUUGUGUUUAGAUGGUUCAUGAAUGAAGUUUUAGGGCCAAUUUAUCAUAUAUGAGCCUCUUUUCGAGUAUUGGGUUUAGAUCUGUGGUUGCUACUACAGAUCUAGACUGGUCCUGACUCAUGAAUCUGGAAAGUGAUAGCUUUGGGGCUUGAUUGAGAGUGUCCUUGCCUUAAAACUUCACUUUAGCUUGAGUAGAGCUUGUUGAGCCUUGCAUGCACGUAAAGUUGGAAACUUUACAUGUAGAUCUUGCCCUAGGAGUCCAGAUCUAUGUAUUGAAAGCAAUAGUUUGGCCUGUGAUCAUCUGAAUGAAGGUAUUACGUAUGGACUCGGCGAGUCUGGGAGAUGACUUGACGAGUCGGACAAAAGAUUUGGAAUGAAUCGCGUAGUAACUCGGCGAGUCACAUGGGUGUACUCGACGAGUUGGAUGAAGAUAGGCAAGAACUCGACGAGUUGGAAGAACAACUCGACGAGUCUAUUGAAGAUUGCCUUGGGCUCAACGAGUCUGUUCUUGGACUCGGCGAGUCUGGUCGAGGAGUCCUAACCUUUUCUGGUUAAGUCGUGAAUCGGUGAGUCGAAGGAUGACUCGGUGAGUUGAGCAUGAAGGGACUCAGAGUUUGUUGGACUCGGCGAGUCUUGGGGCAACUCGACGAGUUGAGUCGUAAUAUGAGAGUUUUGAGUAUGGGAACUCGAAGAGUCAACGAGUUGACUCGGCGAGUAGGGUCAACCAGGAAGGUUGACCUUGACUGAGGACUUGGACUUUAACCAAGGGUUGACCAGUUGACUUCCGGGGGUAUUUUGGUAAUUAUUGGUAUUUAUUGAUUUGGUUUUUGGUAAUGAUCAGUGGCGGAGUUCGUGCUGGUGGUUGGAGCAGCGUGAUCUUAUUCUUCAGUCGGCAGUGACAGUUGAGUUAUCCUCACUAUACUGACAGGGUCUACGGCACCAAGGCCGACCCUCCAUCGGAUGGAAAUCCGGGUAUUGUUGUUAUGUUAUUGCUAUAUGGAGAUCCUUGUUGAUGGAAAGGCGGCCGACGAACGCUCGGUGGACUCUAUAUCCUCAAGGAAUCAAUUUGGAACCCGGAAAAUCAUAUUUAUUUAGGAAUGUAGCAUAUGGUUUUAGAGGUUGUCCUAAAUGGGAGGAUGUGGAUACGGUUAGUUAAGUUUAAUAAUUAUUAUUUUAUAUAUAUAAUAUUACUGAAAUUACUAGUAUUUAAUUUAUAUUUUUUUUGCAGGUUAUAUCUGUAAUAAAUGUUGUGCAUACCCAUUGGUUUUUGGUGGUUCUACAUUUAGAUACCUGGAAAGUAGAAAUUUUUGAUUCAGCACAAGUUGCGGGUUACUUCUCAACAUACAACACUAAUGGAGAAUUCAAAAGUUUUGGAGAUAGUAUUAUCUCAGAGUUGGAUGCCAUUGAUUACUGGAGCCAUUUCCCCCAUUGGACACAGAGACAAGCAAAGGUCGAGUUUUUUGAUGUUUNGACACAGAGACAAAGCAAAGGUCGAGUUUGUUGAUGUUGUAGACGCCCCACAACAAGAAUAUAGUCUUGAAAGAGGGGAUUGUGGAGUAUUUGUAUGCAUGUUUAUGGAAAUGAUUGUUUCUGGGGGUACCAGUGGCGAUUUCAAGGACAUGUAGAGAAGCUGCAUUUCUCUAUAGAAAUAAGAUGGCAAAUGUUAUUUGGGAUACUAUAUAAGUUGAUAUUAGGAACUUUGUAUAUAUAUUAAUAUUAAAUACUUGUUUCUAGUAUGUAAUCGUGUCACUUCUGGUAGUAUGUAAUCUUGUAAUUAUCUUUUAUAUUUUUUAAACAUAAUUCACCAAAAAAUGUUACGAAACCAUACAUUCAAACAAAAUAAACAUUACAAAUAACAUGAAUACAUUACAAUAGAGUCGUCUACAUAAAAAUAAGGUUUCUUACGACUAACAAACAUUAGAUAAAACAUUGGAAAUAAAAUACUCAUCUACUUGAAAAAAACUUUAUCUUUUACCAGAUUCCAAACGUCCGUAUACUCGAAAUCAUGUCCAUCAAACUUGCAUAGGUAAUAUCCAUUCACAUCUUCAAGAAGUUCUUCAUUAUCUGCUUGAGAGCGUCGCAUUUUCUCAGGAUUGUAGCAUCGAUUGAACCAUGUGACCUUAAACUUUAAAUCCAUCCAUUUACUAACAAUAGCAGGUUUUAGUCGUUCGUGUCCUUGCCCGACUUGAUAGUUGAACAAAGCUAUGAGGCGGGACCAUUCAUCACCUACAAGGCAAUUCAGGGGAGCCAUCACUGGUAGACCCUCGUAAAUGGUAAUCCAACUUUGUAUUAGGACCAACAACUCUGUUGGCGUCCAUGGAGAUGUACAAUUUGUUGGAGAGGCUGCAUUAGAUGGAUUUGUUGCAUUCGAAGAACUUGGUACAUUGGACGCCAUUUCUUAAUUGAUCUACUAUCAACUAAAGAAUUGAAUUUCGUAUAGACACUACGUUUAAUAUAUGUACAAACAUAUGUUAUACAAAGAUAUGUCAGUAACGCGGACUGACGAGCCAGUAACGCGGACUUACGAGCCAGUAACGUGGACUGACAACGAUUAAUAUAUAUAAAUAGUUUCUUAAUGCGGACUGACGAGUCAGUAACGCGGACUUACGAGUCAGUAACGCGGACUGACAACGAUUAACAUAUAUAAAAAGUUUCUUAACGCGGACUAACGAGUCAGUAACGCGGUCUUACGAGUCAGUAACACGGACUGAAAACGAUUAAUAUAUAUCAAAAGUUUCUUAACGCGGACUGAUGAGUCAGUAACACGGACUAACAAUUACUAGACAAAACAGUUUUGCGGACUGACAAGACAGAAACACGGAUUGACAAGUCAGUAACGCGGAGUGAUCAUUGGCUUUGCGGACUCACAAGUCAGUAACGCGGACUGACAACGAAGUAACACGGACUAACAACCCCGUAACGCGGAUUGAGAACGCAGUAACGCGGACUAACAAGUCUAUAUAAAACGACAAACAACAAUGUAUCACUUCAUCUAAGGUAUUUUAGUUCAUGUGCUUUGUAUGUUUUACAANUUCAUGUGCUUGUAUGUUUUACAAUGGGUUCAAACCAAUGGACCGCUAACGAGUAUUUCCUUCUAGCUCGUGCAUAUAUUAAUGUCAAAGAGAACACCAGUUUGGAGGAUAUAAUGUUUUUCUCCCAACUAACGAAUACCUUCAACACUGACGCUGAAACCACCAUACAAAACCAUCGCAACACGCUUGAUAUAGCUACAAAAUGGUAUGAAUUGAAAACGGAAGUUGUGUUAUUAAACGAUCUUUAUAAUAAGAUUGAAGAUGAUCAUGUCAAUGAUACUGAGGAAGAGAUCUUGGAGGUGUCUAAAGAAGAAUACAAAUCCAUUAGCAACGGACAGAGUUUCGAGUUUGAAGCCCCUUGGAAUCUUUUGAAAAAUGUACCGUUUUUUUAAGUAGAACUGCAUUUUGUAUUGUUCUUGUAUUUCUUUAUUUAAAUGUAAUAUGGUAUUUAUCCUUUAUUUUAAAAAAAAAUAUUUGACCAACAAAUGUUACAAAACCAUACAUUCAAAAAACAUUAUCUGACAAACAGCUUACGCGGACUGACAAAUAAGCUACGCGUAAUGACAACACAUUUACGCGGACUGACAAGUAAGUUCUGCGGAAUAAUGUAUACUAAUUCCUUAUAAAUUUUGACAACCAUGACGAAAAUUUACAAGGUGUCGAAAGUUGUGAAAAUGAGUUCAGUCAAUCAGGUAUUAAGGAAAAGUUUCUCCAGCCUACCGACUUUUUUCCAUAAGCUGCAAAGAAGCAAUCCUACCACCUUCACGUACAUUACGAAGGAUCGGUACAAUCGUUUCCAAAUUUGUUUCGUGGCAUUGGGAUGCGUGGUAUGUAAUCCCUUAUAGUAAAUAAAUAUUUAGUUAUUUCAAGUUGGUAUAUGCCUAAUAUUCUUAUGUUGACUUACAGAUUCGUACAUUUCUCACGUCUAUGAUAUCAAUCAUAUUCGUUGGUCAAGUACCUCUAAUUGGGGCAUAUGUAACAUCCAUGUACAUUGCUUUUGCUUUAGAUGGAAAUCAUGAACCCCUUCUCAUAGUGUUUGCCUUGGGAACCAUAAAUUGUGACAAUUCAUGGUUAUGGUUCAUAAGGAGGCUUAAAGACUGUUUAGGUGACAAUACAUAAUUUGGUUUCAUAAGCCAUAUGUCUGAUUCUAUGGACUUUGCAGUCCACAGAGUCUACCCUGAUUCAUAUCAUGGCUAUUGUUGUAAAAAUAUAGCCAAGAAAAUACGCGCUUCCAUCGGAACCAAUACAGUCGUAGAACAGUGGUUCUGUAAGACGUGUAAAGCAUAUAAUUUAUCUCAAUUUUAUGCAUGUUUGAACAAUUUAAAAAAUGAGGUAAAUGGGAAUGAUCUUCAUUGGCUUGACAAUAUUCCCAUUGCAAAAUGGGUACGGGCUUGUUUUCCAAGAGUAAGUUUCAAUGUUAAAUUCAUUGACAUUCCCGAUGUUUUCAAUUGGUUUAAAACAAACACGCAUGAGUUUCCAAUAACAACAAUCAUUGAAAUGGUUCAUGACUCGAUGUAAGAAGUUUAUCUUCGACGUGCUGUUUUUGGAGGUAAUUAUAAGUUAUGACAUCAUUAAAACGGUGAAUUGAUAUGUUUAUUAUACGUUAUGACCUUAUAAUUUUUUUUAUUGAUUCAGUUGAUUUCACAGGGGAUAUCCAUAAUCUUCUAACCCCUUAUGCACUUAAGGUGAUUCAUAAAAGAUUUAUCCACUCGGAUGGUUGUAGGAUUACGCAUAUUGUUGGCGAUAGAUAUGAAGUGACUAAGUAUUCAACAACCGAAUAUGUACAACUAGACCGUGGUAUUUGUAGUUGCGGUAAAUGGCAAAAAUGCGGUAUACCUUGUGAGCAUGCUAUAGCUUCACUACACAGACUCGAAAUUGCAGAAAUCCAUCAAAUGGUAAAUUUAAAGUUAAGUACAGCGGUGUAUCGAAAUGCUUAUCAAACUGAGACGGUCUAUCCUAUUCCAACCCUUAGGCAUUGGGAAAAACCAGUCGAAAGUGUUGUGGUCUUACCUCCACGCCAAUUCAAUUGAACUUUAUUGUAUGGAUCACAACGAAUAUUAGUUUUUAUUCAGUUCUAUGUUAACCGUACUUGUAAUGGUUUGUUGGCAUUCUUUACUUUUUAAUAAAAAAAAUGUUUACCUUUAAAUAAAUAAUUGUAUUUUCAUAAUUGUAAUAUGUAUGCAUGACAACGACUAGACAAAAAAACUAUGCGAACUGACAAACGCAGUAACGCGGACUGACAAAAACCUCUACGGACUAACAACAGCUCUCUGCAGAGUGGAAGGGACUAUAUAUAGUCAUGGAUGGUCGUCGGAUUUUUCGUAUAGAGUUAUAAUUUUUUAAAUUUAAAAUGACUUCAUCUUCAUCUUUGUAUAUUUGCUCGUGCAACGAAGUUGAUUGUUUCUAUUGUGAUCCGAUCGACCCUUUUCUUGCACCAUCACCAAAUUUAAGAGAGUCAUAUAUGUCGGAGGAUACUUUGCAACAACUACAAUGGGCUGAAGAACAACAAAAAAAAAGAUAAAGACUCGUCUCGGGCUCUCACUGAACGACGUGACCUCAUUGCGGCGGAGUGCAAAGAUGUUGAGGAAAGGAUGACGAUUACAAAAAAAAAUCAAAAAUCAUGGGGAAUGGAAAAAAAAACNCUAAGAAGAAUCUCAAACUGUCUGAAAAAUGGCUUGCUGACAAGGAUGCAGAAAUGAUAGAACUUGGUAGGCAAAAGGACCGUAUGGAAGAUAAAAUAAGAAUAAGGGACGACUACAUAACAAUGGAGAAAGAAAAGUAUCCUUUGCAAUUCCCUUAAGUUAAUUACCGUUGUUGUACGUUUACUAUAUGUUUCUAGUUUGUUGAAUGUAUUAACUUCGAGUAUUAGUUAUUAUUCUACUAGUAAUUAUGCAGUAAUAUAAUCAUAAUAUUACCCAUCAUCUUUAAAAUAAACACACCAGCUCAAAGUAGACAAAUUAAUGUCCUCUAAAACAAAACAUAAUUAAUUAUAAAUACAACAUCAAUCAUUCAAAUCAAACGUUGAACAAUAGUCUUCUCUCUACGUCCCACUCGUCCAACGCGUGUCUUGUGUCCCGUGCGUCUCUAGCGUCUCCUGAGUCCCUUCUGUCCCUUUCCCUUUUCCUUUUGUGUUACUACUUGAUGUCGUAUUAGUUUUUCUAGCCUUUUUUUGUUUCUUUGGGACCAAUGUCGGACAAGUCGCUGCAUUAUGUGUUGUACUAUCACAUCUACUACACCUUCUUAUUAUAGGUUCCUCACCUUGUGACGGAAUACGAUUUCUGUUUCUCGGUCUACCAGCUUGACGUGUAUCCAUUAUCGGGGGUUUCACAACCAUCAUGUUAGCAGGAAUCUCCCAAUCACACGGUUCUGGAAGGGGGUAAACCGGCUCCUCAUACGUACUUCGGUAUGUUUCCAUUUUGUAAGCAUCUAUAGCCAGAUGUCCGAAGUUAGUUUUUUUCAAGUGCUUCAAGACCAUUAUCACAUGACCACAAGGCAACCCAGUUCCUUCCCAAUAUUUGCAUGUACAAGUCUCUUGCCUCAGAUCAACUAUGCCACCAUGUUUGAAAUCAUGAACUUCAUAAAGUGCAUCUGAAACACCAGAAAUGGACCAUCCUGUCGUACGCUCUUCAUUUUUACUAACUACUUUUUCAGCCCACUCGGUUAGCACUGUUGAACGUUUCCCUAUAAAGAAGAUAUAUAUAAUUAACUAAUUAUUCGACCUAAUUAAAGACAAAAUAAAAUUCAUACCUCCUUCGAUGCGACGCUUGUAACACCAUUCCUGUGAAAGACGUCGGAAGAACUCAAGAAGGGGUAUUAUAGGCAUCUUCCUUGCAUCUACAGAUAAAGCAUUCAUGAACUCUGCACUGUUCGAGGUCAUGUAAUCGUAACGUUUCGAUGGCGAAUAUGCUCUAGUCCAUUUAACACAGGGAAUUUCACUUAGAUACGCUGCUACUUGCGGCCUAGUAGAACUAAAUAUAUACCACAAUUCUUCAAAAACAUUUCUUUUGUAAGCUUUCACAAGCCUCCAAAACAACCCUUUUGUUUUAUCAUUUUUCCCAAACUUGUGUACUAUGUUUCCUAGUGUGACAUCCCCAAAAUCUUGGCCAGAAAAGACCGAUUUCAUUGAUGCUUUUUAAAAUAAUUUCAGAGUAAAUCCUUUUGAUUUUAAAAGAGAUGCGGAAUUUGUUCCCAAAAACAAAACAUGAUAAAAUAGAUCUUUUAUCAAAACAUUUCAUAAAGAAAUAUAAUUUCAUUUCAUAAUCAAAACCGGGAUGUCAUGUUCCGAUACAGACCAUAAAGCAUAAACGAUAACAUUACAAGUCAUUCAACAAAUAUUAUACAUAUGCAGACUUGUAAACAAAACAACUUGAUGAUUCAUCCAUCUUAUGCCCUUACGCCACUUCCUGUAAUACAAGUAAACUGAGUGGGUCAGGCUUGGGAGCCUGGUGAGCAUAUAGGGUUUUCAACCCACAAUAAAUAAUUAUAUUUAAUUCAACAAUCAACAAUAACCCGAUUACCCAUUCCCGUUUUCCUUACUUUACGUCCCUAAAACAACAUCUAUUAUAAGGGACCUAAUCUAGGAGUUUCAUCGGGACAAACAUUACUGCAAAGGGGCUUCCUUAGCAAUAAAUAUCCUAAAGGCAACCAUGAGGGGGAUAUAGUUCACCGGUGAACACGUCGUUCACAAGACCUACAGGUUAUGAGCCUACUAGUGUUCCACAGGACUGUCUAGAAUAGUCCGUGGUCGUCAUCCAUACUCUGCUGAAUGACUAGAAUAACACCAACAACAUCGAGGCCUCUCAUCUGUUUAUUACACACCAACUAUCUACCCAUGUUCUACCCAACAUAUUAGUAGAUAAAAAUAUACAUUUGUAUACAUAGUUUAAAACCUGUAUAGCAUGCUCAAUCAAUACAUUUUUCCACAUAACAGAUGAGGUACACACACAUAACACGUAUUUCAUAGAGAAUAAAUCAGAUCUAUGAGAUAGAAGAAAGUGAAUAUACAUCCACACAUAUAGUCAACAAAGUAUACACGUAACACGUAUUUCGUAUAAAAUACUUCAUAAUAAUGUGUUAGAAGAAAAUGACUACACACUCACUUGAUCAGAAGAUGAUCGGGCAACACUACGACUUGUAGAAGUAGUGUUUCUCCGUAGAUCUGGAAGAUCUUCACAUAAACCGGGCUCCUCGCGGGCAGGUCUUCGGCUCUGAAAUCUCACUUCUCGGGAUUCUCGGGACUUCGGAUCUUGCUUCGGGGCUCGCGAAUAAUAUUGGGGCUUCGGGGUAUGAUUGGCAAGCAAAUCGAGGCAAAAACUAGAGAGAAGAAAGAGUUUGAACUAGAGAAAAUGGUUGAUCUCGCAUUCUAUUUAUAGGCUGCUGGGUCUAGGAUUAUGCCGGGCGUAAUUUCCAGGUACGCUGGGCGUACUAAGUACACUGGGCGUAAUUAGGUUACGUUGGGCGUACUUUGACGUCACUGCAUGCGUCAAUUGGUGGCACUCGAGUAUUGGUCAGACAAGUUGCACCCCUCUGAGUACGCUGGGCGUACUCAAAUUACGCUGGGCGUAAUUUGACUCGUCAAACUUCUAAAUUGCGUAACUUUGGCAUACGAGCUCCGUUUUCGACGUUCUUUAUAUCAACGCGUAGGUUAGACCAUACUCUACAACUUUCAUUUAGACUCAAUUUUUACUUUUAUUUUUAUUAUUUAUUUUUAGUAGGCCGGGACAGGAAAACUUCGUUAUAAAUUCAUAACUUCUUCGUUCGACGUCCGUUCUCGCCUAACUUUUCAUCGUUUCACUACUAACAACGAGAUAUUCGAUUCUCGUUUAGAUUGUUCUGGCUAAAAACCGCUCGAUCUCAAAUCGAGUAUUCGGGCUGCAUACUGCCAAGUCGAAACUUCAGANGAAAAUCAUAUUCCUCAUACGAAGUCAGAUUUGGGCGUUCUAUAUAUAUUUAGAAACCUAGUUUCAACUACUACAACAUUAUCCAAAGAUAUCGAGUUUAUUUUACACUUCAUUUUGACGCUAAUUUUUAUUCUUAAUUCAAUUAAAUUAUAAUAAUUAAGAAAACACACACAUAAUUCACAUAAUUCACAAAUAAUACAUUUUUAUUAUUUCAGAUUGGGUUACAAAGGUUAACCUAGACUAUUACAUUGCUAAAAAUGGCAAGCCCAUAAUCACGGGCGUUACAAUUUUCUCCACCUUAGAAUGAUUCCGUCCCUGGAAUCACACAUCAACAAAUAAAUGCGGAUAGCGACCCAUCAUGUCACUCUCCGUCUCCCAGGUGAGAUACGACCCAUUCGUGUGUUUCCAACGGACAAGCACUAACUCAACCAUCUUACGUCGCAAUUUCUUAGUCUUCCGGUCAACGAUUGCUUCUGGUUCUUCAAUCAAUCUUUUGUUUUCAUCAAUUAUUAACUCUGAAAGUGGAAUCAUGUCGGGAACUUCUCCCGUGAACUUCCUCAAGUAACACAUAUGAAAAGUGUUAUGAAUUCCAUUCAGUUCUUCGAGUAGUUCGAGCUUGUAAGCUUGGUUCCUAAUUCUCUGAAGAACUUUAAACGGUCCAAUAAACCUUGGACUUAACUUUCCCCUUUUACCACAUCUUAUAAGUCCCUUCCACGGCGAGACUUUAAGCAAAACCGAAUCUCCAACUUCAAAAGUCAUCGGUCUUCGCUUUUUGUCAGCAUAGCUCUUUUGACGGUCGUGAGCUGCUAACAUUCUUUCCCUAAUUAUUUUCAACUUUUCAGCCGUUUGAUGGACUAUCUCUGGUCCCAUAAACUGCUUUUCCCCAGCCUCAAGCCAACAAGACUGCGUACGACACUUCUGUCCGUACAAAGCUUGAUAAGGUGCCAUCUUAAUGCUCGAGUGGAAACUAUUAUUAUAGGAAAAUUCUACCAAUGGUAAAUGUUCAUCCCAAUUACCUAGGAAUUCCAAGGUACAUGCUCUCAGCAUAUCUUCAAGUGUUUGUAUCGUUCUUUCACUCUGACCAUCAGUCUGCGGAUGGUAAGCUGUGCUUAAACACAACUUGGUACCCAAUUCCUCUUGUAGACUUUUCCAAAACCGUGAGGUGAAACGACUAUCACGAUCCGACACAAUUGUUAACGGAACACCGUGAAGCCUCACAAUUUCCUUCACGUAAGAAUUCGCAAGCUUUUCCAUAGACCAUUUCUCAUUGGCUGCUAUGAAAUGCGCACUCUUAGUGAAUCGAUCAACGACCACCCAAAUCAUGUCGUGACCAUUCUUUGUUCUGGGCAGUUUAGUGACAAAAUCCAUAGCAAUGUCUUCCCACUUACCCAUAGGCACAGGCAAUGGUUCUAAACUCCCGUACGGUUUCUGAUGUUGUGUCUUGACUCUCGCACAAGUCACACACUCGGCCACAUACUUUGCAACAUCAAGCUUCAUCGUCGGCCACCAGUAGUAGGGUUUCAGGUCCCUAUACAUUUUAGUGCUACCCGGAUGAAUCGAGUACAUGGUCUUGUGAGCUUCUUCCAUCAGAAGAUCUCUGACUCCUCCUGUCUUAGGUAUCCAAAUCCGAUCUUGGAACACCUUCAGUCCAUGACUGUUUACACCGAACACCAACGUUUUGCCCAAACGUUCCUCCUUUCUGUCAUUCUUCUCAGAAGCUUCGCUCUGAGCUUUCUUUAUACUUUCCAAAAUAGUUGAGACAACUUCAAUUCUCAACGCUCUUGGCCUUUUCCUUUCGGGAUUGACUUUCCGACUGAGAGCAUCAGCAACAACAUUAGCUUUACCGGGGUGGUAAAGUAUCUCGCAGUCAUAGUCUUUAAGUAAUUCUAGCCAGCGUCGUUGCCUCAUAUUCAAUUCUUUCUGAUUAAAGAGGUAUUGGAGACUCUUAUGAUCAGUGAAAAGUUUGCACUUCGUGCCAUAGAGGUAAUGCCUCCAUAUUUUCAGAGCGAAAACUACCGCUGCCAACUCCAAAUCAUGAGUCGGGUAAUUCUUUUCAUGCUCUUUCAGCUGUCGAGACGCAUAUGCUAUCACCUUUUCUCUUUGGGUCAAAACACAACCCAAUCCAACACCAGACGCAUCGCUAUAAACAGCGAAGUCUUCAACUCCAUCGGGUAGAGAAAGUAUCGGUGCCUCGCAUAGCUUCUUCUUUAACUUCUCGAAUGCUUCUUUAUGCUUCUCACUCCAAGCAUAAGUAGCUCCUUUGUGGGUCAAAGCUGUCAAUGGAGUAGCAAUCGAAGAAAAGCCUUGGAUAAACCUUCAAUAAUAUCCGGCUAAUCCCAAAAAGCUUCGAAUCUCCGUGGGACUUUUCGGUUGUUCCCACUUCAUCACAGCUUCGAUCUUCGCUGGAUCAACCAUUAUCCCUUCUUGGUUGACCACGUGACCCAAGAAUUGUACUUCUCGAAUCCAAAAAUCACAUCUGGAGAACUUUGCAUACAACUUAUCCUUCUUUAAAACUUCUAACACUUCUCGCAAGUGUCUGCCAUGCUCCUCCUGGCUUUUCGAGUAAAUCAGAAUGUCGUCUAUGAACACUAUNGAACGGAUUACAAACCCUGUUCAUUAAAUCCAUGAAUGCUGCUGGAGCAUUGGUUAGUCCAAACGACAUAACCAAAAACUCGUAGUGCCCAUAUCAUGUUCUGAAUGCAGUCUUCUCUAUAUCCUGCUCUCUUACUUUUAGCUGAUGAUAUCCUGACCUCAGGUCGAUUUUUGAAAAAUAACUUGAACCUUGUAGUUGAUCGAACAGGUCAUCAAUCCUCGGCAACGAAUAUCUAUUCUUUAUUGUUGCCUUGUUCAGUUCUCUGUAAUCGAUGCACAUCCUCAUACUUCCAUAUUUCUUUUGACGAAUAACAUCGGAGCUCCCCAGGCCGAUGAACUAGGUCUUAUGAAACCUUUGUCCAAUAACUCCUGAAGUUGCAUCAUCCGCUCCUUCAUCUCCAUCGGUGCUAGUCGGUAAGGUGCUUUUGCUAUAGGCGUCGUUCCCGGCAACAAGUCGAUACGAAAUUCUACUUGUCGAUCAGAAGGUAAUCCAGGAAGAUCUUCGGGAAAUACUUCCGGAUAAUCACAUACGACAGGAAUAUUCUGCAUCACCUUUUUUUCCUUCUUAGCAUCGAUCACGAAUGCUAAAUAUGAUGUACACCCCUUGGUCAAACAUUUUCUGGCUUUCAUUAGAGAAAUGAUUCCAGAAUUUACUCUGCGUUUAUCUCCAUACACCAUAAACGAUUCCUUCCCAGGCGGGUUCACUUUCACUAUUUUCUUCUUGCAUAAAAUUUCGGCAUCAUUGGCGCUAAGCCAAUCCAUUCCCAAAAUGAUGUCGAAACUGUUAAGUUCGAUAUAAAGGAGUAGUUUUCUACCAAAUUCAUGCGAUAUAAAGGAGUAGUUGGCUCCAGAAUCAAAUAAAAUUUGGGCAGACGAUUUGUUUACGAGAAAGGUACCUGAACGACAUCAGCUUCAUCUUUAGCAGCUUCCAGUGUCAUCUGGAAUGCUCUCGCCUUCGGCUUUGGCGAAAUGUUGGGUUUUGUUGCCUCCUUCUUCUUCGGACAAUCUCUUGAUAUGUGCCCUUCCUCACCACAACCAUAACAAACAUUCUUGGUGAGGGUGCAGUCGUUGGCAUAAUGCCCUGGCUUUCCACAUUUCAAGCAUGUGGCUUCCCCGCCGCACUUCCCAUGAUGCUUCUUCUUGCAUUUGUCGCACCAUUUCGCUUCGCCUCCUCCACCCCCUCUCGAACUAGACUUCGAGAAUUUACCCUUUUUGCUGGACCCUGAAGAUCCCUCGAACUUCCUCUUUUCACCAACCUCUGACCUUUCCAGACCUUUUUCCCUGAUCUGGGUCUCAACAUUUCUAGCAGCCCAGAUGGCGGCUUUCAAUGUGGUUGCUUGCUUAACCAUUAGACCAUAGUCCGCUGGUAGUCCAAGGGCAAACUUGUUGACCUUAGAGAGUUCUGUAGGCACCAAAUAUGGGAUAAACUUCAUCUUUUCUGUGAAACUUGCAGCGUAUUCAGUAACGCUCAAUUUCCCUUUCUUCAAAUUCUGAAACUCAUUACUGAUUUCCAGAAGGUCCUGCUCGGAGCAGUAUUGCAGUUUUAGUUGUUCCACAAAGUCUUCCCAAGACAUUUUGCUUGCUUCUCCCUUGGGCAUAGAGUCAGCUAACAGCUUCCACCAACUCAACACGCCAGAUUUUAGCAGAGGGAUCGCAAGAGCGGUCUUCUGCCUGUUGCUGCAUUCGCAACUUUCAAACAUAGUCUCCAUUUCGGAGAUCCAGUCCAUAACUUGCACCGGCGUCGGGCUUCCGGAUAGACAUGGUGGUUUGGAUGCCAUGAAAUCCUUAUACUUGCACCCACGACCAUCAUUUCCUCCAUACUGGUUAUUGCGUCUAACCACUGGUUGUUCGUCUUGACCAAUGAUCCCACUAAAGUUUUCUCCUUCAGACUGCCCUCCAUUCUCCUCGGGCUCUUCCGCUUGAAUUGACGGUUCUUCACGAUUCUGCCUAAGCAGGCGUCUUGUUUCUUCCAUCUGACGAUCCAACAUCAUUUGAAUCAUCAUUUGUACACCAGCCAUUGUUAUCGGCUCAGGUGCAUCAGCUACGACAGGUACUUGUUGAAUUACAGGCGGUUGAUUCCUGUUUUCAUCAGCAUUUCCAACUCCGCUUCUUGUUCUCACCAUUUUUGAUCUACACACCGAAUAAUUUCACCUUAUUACUCCAAACGAUUACAUGCUAGUUCUAAUAUCGUAUACAUACGCUUAGAAUCCUAAACACAUAAACCUUCAGAUCCGGUUGGCAACAAACCGUAGAUCCGAACAAAUAAUAUCAUAUAUGGCAACAUAUAACAUUUAGCACAUAAAAGCAUUUUAGGCAACUUUCCUAAAAUAAACUAGUGCUCGUGUCUAAAAUUUAUCAGACACACAUCUCACAAUCUCCACUUAGCAUACUAAGUUUAAGUCUAGAAAUCCUACAAAUUCCUAGUUCGCUUAAACUAAUGCUCUGAUACCAACUGUGACAUCCCCAAAAUCUCGGCCAGAAAAGACCGAUUUCAUUUAUGCUUUUUAAAACAAUUUCAGAGUAAAUCCUUUUGAUUUUAAAAGAGAUGCGGAAUUUGUUCCCAAAAACAAAACAUGAUAAAAUAGAUCUUUUAUCAAAACAUUUCAUAAAGAAAUAUAAUUUCAUUUCAUAAUCAAAAAUCGGGAUGUCAUGUUCCGAUACAGACCAUAAAGCAUAAACGAUAACAUUACAAGUCAUUCAACAAAUAUAUACAUAUACAGACUUGUAAACAAAACAACUUGAUGAUUCAUCCAUCUUAUGCCCUUGCGCCACUUCCUGUAAUACAAAUAAACUGAGUGGGUCAGGCUUGGGAGCCUGGUGAGCAUAUAGGGUUUUCAACCCACAAUAAAUAAUUAUAUUUAAUUCAACAAUCAACAAUAACCCGAUUACCCAUUCCCGUUUUCCUCACUUUACGUCCCUAAAACAACAUCUAUUAUAAGGGACCUAAUCUAGGAUUUUCAUCAGGACGGACAUUACUGCAAAGGGGCUUCCUUAGCAAUAAAUAUCCUAAAGGCAACCAUGAGGGGGAUAGAGUACACCGGUGAACACGUCGUUCACAACACCUACAGGUUAUGAGCCUGCUAGUGUUCCAUAGGACUGUCUAAAAUAGUCCGUGGUCGUCAUCCAUACUCUGUUGAAUGACUAGAAUAACACCAACAUCAAGGCCUCUCAUCUGUUUAUUACACACCAAUUAUCUACCCAUGUUCUACCCAACAUAUUAGUAGAUAAAAAUAUACAUUUUUAUACAAAGUUUAAAACCUGUAUAGCAUGCUCGAUCAAUACAUUUUUCCACAUAACAGAUGAGGUACACACACAUAACACGUAUUUCAUAGAGAAUAAAUCAGAUCUAUGAGAUAGAAGAAAGUGAAUAUACAUCCACACAUAUAGUCAACAAAGUAUACACGUAACACGUAUUUCGUAUAAAAUACUUCAUAAUAAUGUGUUAGAAGAAAAUGACUACACACUCACUUGAUCAGAAGAUGAUCGGGCAACACUACGACUUGUAGAAGUAGUGUUUCUCCGUAGAUCUGGAAGAUCUUCACAUAAACCGGGCUCCUCGCGGGCAGGUCUUCGGCUCUGAAAUCUCACUUCUCGGGAUUCUCGGGACUUCGGAUCUUGCUUCGGGGCUCGGGAAUAAUACCGGGACUUCGGGGUAUGAUUGGCACGCAAAUCGAGGCAAAAACUAGAGAGAAGAAAGAGUUUGAACAAGAGAAAAUGGUUGAUCUCGCAUUCUAUUUAUUGGCUGUUGGGUCUGGGAUUACGUUGGGCGUAAUUUCCAGGUACGCUGGGCGUACUCAAUACACUGGGCGUAAUUAGGUUACGUUGGGCGUACUUUGACGUCACUGCGUGCGUCAAUUGGUGGCACUCGAGUAUUGGUCAGACAAGUUGCACCCCUCUGAGUAUGCUGGACGUAAUUUGACUCAUCAAACUUCUAAAUUGCGUAACUUUCGCAUACGAGCUCUGUUUUCGACGUUCUUUAUAUCCACGCGUAGGUCAGACCAUACUCUACAACUUUCAUUUAGACUCCAUCGGCUAAUUUUGACUUUUAUUUUUAUUAUUUAUUUUUAGUAGGCCGGGACAGGAAAACUUCGUUAUAAAUUCAUAACUUCUUUGUCCGACGUCCGUUCUCGCCUAACUUUUUAUCGUUUCGCUACUAACAACGAGAUCUUCAAUUCUCAUUUAGAUUGUUUCGGCUAAAAACCGCUCGAUCUCAAAUCGAGUAUUUGGGCUGCAUACUGCCAAGUCGAAACUUCAGAAAAUCAUAACUUCCUCAUACGAAGUCAAAUUUGGGCGUUCUAUAUAUAUUCUGAAACCUCGUUUCAACUACUACAACAUUAUCCAAAGAUAUCGAGUUUAUUUUACACUUCAUUUUGAUGCUUAUUUUUAUUCUUAAUUCAAUUAAAUUAUAAUUAAGAAAACACACACAUAAUUCACAUAAUUCACAAAUAAUACAUUUUUAUUAUUUCAGAUUGCAUUACAAAGGUUAACCUAGACUAUUACAUUGCUAAAAAUGGCAAGCCCAGAAACACAGACGUUACACCUAGUAUAUGAAAAGCACACAAGCCAUGAUGAGCAUGUGGAAAAACAUUUUCAAUACUAACGCGAAUUGUAUCGGCCCUAUCAGUUACAAAAGUCAAUUCUUGACAAUCACUAACACAUUCAUACAACUUUUCAAGAAACCAUGUCCACGUAAGACCACUUUUUUUUUUCAUAUUCCGUGCGUAAGGGGCAGUAUCUGGUUGUUCCCAUCCAUAGCUACUCCAUGCAAUAUGGUUCCCUUAAAAGCACCCUUCAAAUGGGCACCAUCCAUAAUUAUAACUUUACGACAAAAACUUUUGAACGCUCGUAUCUGCAAUAUAUAAAAAUGGAACACAUAAACACUCUAUAAUUUGUUUACAAAAAUUAUAUAUUAAAUAACAACAAGUUUUUUGUAUUUACCGUGCUCCCAAUGGCAUAAAAACAACACUCGAAACAAUCUUCAGAAUCUGUUUGAAUAUACGCAACUGUACCGGGAUUAUGCCUCUUCAAAUUGUGAAAAUAAAUAGGAAGUUUGGCAAAACAUUCUUCAGAGGAUCCCAACAACAGUUUCAUAGCAUAUUGUUUUGCACGCCAAGCUUGUUUGUAAUCUACGUUGAUUUCCAGCAAAGCAUUCAAAUCCCUUGAUAUUUCAUUAGGCCUCCAAACCUUGGAACGAGUUUUUCCCAUAAUCUCAUGCAAUAUAGUACCCAUGACUUUUUUAUUAGCAUGCUUAUGAUUAGGGUGUAUCUGUAAUGACGAACAUGUGUACACGUUGUUGAAAGUCCUGAUUUCAAAUUCAUCAGUGAGAUCAAGGCGUUUUGCAUACAAACGCCAACUACAGUUCUCAAUUUCACAAUAUACCUCAUAACGAUUUUUGUUAGAAUGUUUGGUCUUAAACUGAAACUUUUCUCUUGUUGCUUUAAGAAUCAAUGCAAAAAUUAGUUGUUGUUUGUUGUCAUAUGUUUGACGAACAAACAUAUCAUCAUUUGGACCUAAACUGUGAAAUGGUCCGGGUUCAACAAUAGGAUCAGGACAAUCAGGUAUGGGAGACAUACCGUAAAAAAUGUCUGAAGCUUUUUUCCCGUAUGUGAACUCAUCUUCUGACCAUCCUUCAUUUGACUCUUCACUGUCUGAGAAAGUUUUGUUAGUCAAUCUUCUAAACCCAUAUAAAUUUUUUUCUUCAACCGUAUUCAGUGCCACCGUUUCUUCUUCUGGACAAUCUUCAACAUUAUCAGAUACAAUGUUAUCAACAUUGUAUGGUACAACUUUCUCAGCUGCUUCUGUCUGUUCGACCAAUCCCUGAAACACCUCUAAAUACAAAUGCACAAUCUCCUUCGUUUCAGAAAUUACAUUUCUGAGUUGAUUAACAUCUGCUUCAUCUAAAAUAUUCAUCACAUACCCAUGAACCGGGUGUUGAAAUGACAAUGAUAUAUUACUAUUGAACACCUUAGCCUUACUUUUGACCAAAUCAAACAAUAUUCGAAAAUCAAAAUUAGGCGGAGGCAGUAAACCCAAGUUGUUUAACUUUGGUCUAACGUAGGUGUUAAUCGCAUUACUUAUCUGCAAAAAACCUCCAGUACAUAAAAUAACAAAACUCAUAUUUGGUUUUGAAAAUCAAAUGAAAACGAACUGAUCUAUCGACCAAAAUAAAACAAACAUAUGAAAAAGAAACUUUUGUAUCAAAAAACUCUUCAAAAUCCGCUCCAACCACCCAUUCCACGGAGGCAUUACUCUCUCCGCAGAGACCCAUUCCGCGGAGCAUGAUUAAAAAGGCUAACAACCUAUUGUUCGACCACUUCGCAGAGAUGACUUCAUUCCGCGGAGGUCCGCGGAGGGUCCUCCGCGGAAUGCAUGUCUAUAGCUGGAAUUUUUUUUUUGUGUCUAAAUUUUUAAAUUUCCCCCUUUUUUCGUCUAUAGCCUAUAUUUUCUCUAAAUGAUUUACAUAUUGAAAGUUCAGAAACAAGUUAAAACUUAAACCCUAAAAGAGCGUACAAAUUUCAAUCGUCAACAUACCCCACCACAAAGGCACAAAUAAUCAAAGAAACAAAUGUAGAUGUAGAGGCCUUUUUCACCACAAUCACCCUUCAUCGGCCAUUUCGAAGGCCACGUGAAAUGUCACUAACGUGGCCCUAUAAAUAUCCACUACUUUGUCUUUAACCUUUCCCCCCUCUCAUAUAAAACCCUCCAUCCUCCUCCUUUACCACCAUCACCAACUACCUUCUCUCCUCCAUCAAAAGUAUCCCCAUCUUUUCCGACAUGGCUGCUUCUUCAAUCUUCAUGGCAACUCCCAUCACACUCCUCAAGAAAACUCCCACCUUCUCCGUCAAAUGUAUGUCACAAACACCUCAAAGCGGUGAACCGGGGGUUUCAAAACCAGCAACCACCCCAACACCACCACAGAUCAACAUUCCUCCUCCUCCGCCACCUGCUCCAAAGGUCAGCACGAAGUUCUCUGACGUGUUGGCGUUUAGUGGACCUGCACCGGAGAGGAUCAACGGAAGGUUAGCCAUGAUAGGGUUUGUGUCGGCGAUGGCUGUGGAACUGAGCAGCGGUCAAGACGUGUUCACCCAGAUCGGCAACGGCGGUGUUGCGGUGUUUGUCGGGACAAGUGUGGUGUUGACGUUGGCGUCGUUGGUGCCGUUGUUUAAAGGAGUGAGCGUGCAGUCGAAGUCGAGUGGACUGAUGACAUCAGAUGCAGAGCUUUGGAAUGGGCGGGUUGCGAUGUUGGGUCUGGUGGCUUUGGCUUUUACUGAAUAUGUUAAAGGCAGUGCCCUUGUCUAGAUAAUGUAUCAUAAACUUUUCUAUUACAGAAUUACAUCUAAGAUAGACAAAUGUAUAUUGUUUUGAAUAUUUAUGUUUAUCGAUUUACCAUACAUAGUUCAAAUCAUAAAAAGCAUGUUUUUUGAUAAUAUAGUAUAAAACAAAUAUAAUAUCAAUCAAAUUGAACGAUGUUGUGGUAUCUUUCAAUAUAAAAUUCUCUUUAUAAAAAUAAACAAACAACGUACUAAGAUAAAUUUUAGAGGAAUGAACUUAGAUUAGCAAUAUAAGAGUCAAAGUCUACAAAUUAAGGUAUUGAAAUCCUAGUUUCACAACUUCCUCUUUGAAUGUUGAACUGAGGUGAUCUUCAUUAAUUCAGACUGAAUAAGUGACUUAGUCCAGCCUAGUCAAUUAGCUAAUUUAAGAUGACAAGUAUCCAAAAUUCAAAAACAUUAUAGAGCUCAAUUUCAAACAAAAGUGACAAAUGACUAAUGCUCACAAAACGAUCACCGAAUCAUUCAAAGCAUUUACUAAAAGCCAGUCUAAUUCUUAUUGGUUUGAAAUCUAAUUUUAUCAUCAACUGUAUACAAGAUUGAGAUUGAUAUCAGAGUAAUAAUCUCUAAAAGCAAAAUAAUGUAUUCAAAAGAAUAUAUAUACAAAAUGAAUUAUGUCCCAAGCAGUACUGUGCAUGAGUAUAAGAUUACUAUUAUGUUGGGAUCCAUUAAUUGAUAACUAAGCACACUUCCAAAUUUACUAUAUGGAAUUUAGUUAAGGAUUAAUGUCAAGUGGGGUGCAUCCACCCCACUCAAAGGCCUUGUAUAUGUUACGGUCCCAAGUGAUAUUUUAUAAGGGUCUUUUUGUAGUUUUUCUUUUCCUAAUAUAUUAACAUUUUUUUUUGAUAUUUUUGGAACUUUUUAUUUUCUGAGAAAAGUAUACAAAAUAAUGUAUAUACAAGCUUACUUGAAGAUAUGAUCGUUUAUGAGGUUAUUCAAGACUUAUUCUCUUGAAGUAUCUAUUCCUAGCUAGAUAUGAACAAAUGUGUUUGCAUUUAUCCUUUUUUGCCCUUUGUCAAUUCUUGACUAAUAAGGUAAUGGUAGUUCUUGGUGAGGGAUUCACCUCUGUAUUGAUUCUUCAUUCUAUUUAAAUGUUUGGAUUCACCUCUGUAUUGAUUCUUCAUUCUAUUUAAAUGUUUGGAUUCACCUCUGUAUUGAUUCUUCAUUCUAUUUAAAUGUUUGGAUUCACCUCUGUAUUGAUUCUUCAUUCUAUUUAAAUGUUUGGAUUCAACAAUGUCUAGUUGAGUAGUUCUUUAAAAGCACAUUCUACCAUAUGCAUCUUUAUGUCAAUAUUAAUUGGGGAUUCCAUAAACUGAAACUCUUGGAGCUCAAUAGUGUAGUUGAAAAACUUUUGUUGAGCCCACCACUUACAUGAAAUAGGAGACUUUUUUCAAUAAACUAAGUGGUUCCUUCUUUAUGGAUCAUCUUUUCGUUUCUCCUUUUGAAAGGUCCCCUGGUGAUACUUUUAUGUGUUAAUGAAACUCAGUCCUUAUGGCAUGCUUUUUGGAUAUGAUAGUACGUGACUAUCAAGAGCUUAUUUCUACUCAGUAUAGUCAUACUCUCAUAAGUCUCUCAAGAUUUUACACUCAGAAGCAUCGUUAGAUUGUAUGGCUACCUACCUUGUACUAUAAGCAUGUUUAUUAACAUUUAGGGAUUUAUUUAGAAGGAUAUCAUUUUUCAUAUUUUUUGUCUAACACCAGAUCUUUUUUCUCAGCUCAAUUGUUUCAAGUAAAACUAAGUGUCUUCUUGAUUCGACAACAAACCAUUGGUCAUCUUUCCGAUUUCAAGUAUUUUGCAUAUCCUCUCAAAACUUCUUUAUUUUUUAACACAAAUUCAAAAACUAUUAGGUAUCGGGAUUUUAAGGCUUCUUUAUUUUCACCCUCAAUUAGAUUCAUAUUUUUCAUUGCCUUGCAGAUUUCCUUUUUAGUUUGAGUCUAUUUAUCACGAGCCUGAAGUCAUUUUCUUCCCCUACCCUUGUUAGUUUUGGCUAUUGCUAGUGCACGUACUUCAUUGGCUAAAUGAGAAGACACCUCGAUAAUGGUGGAUGACUUGGUGAAAUUUAUAGGUUGUUCCUUAGGCUAUCCAAAGUGGAGGUAGAAGAAGACGCAUGAUGCUGAAUGGACAUCCAAGUCAUGCGUGAACACUGCCCGAUGGCUUGGCUAUGGAGUCUCCAUGAAGACGAUGCAUUCGAUUGGUUUAGAAUCUGGUCCCUCAUAUUUUCUCUCCUCCUUUUUGUCCCUUCACUACCAACCCACCGGUAAACACCAUUUCCACAACCUAAUGGGUUGAUUGUGGAAUGGUAAACUACCUAUGUGGCGCUGAGUUAGAAGGUGUUUUGGAUAUAACCACUCCCCACAACCUUAGCAUUAGAACAUCCUGAUGCUCCACAUGAACUAAGAACAUCACUUAAUCUUCAUUAAAUACUUUGGGGUUGUACUCAUAAAGUAAAAUAUCUCCCCCCUUAGACAUAUCAUCAUUUUCCUCAUCUGAUGACCAAGGAAUUUGUGGAGAUAUAUGUGACUUUGGAUUAAAGGGGGUUAUAUUGGUCAUCCUUUUUAGACAACUUUUUAAAUUAAUCAAUCCAAGCUCCUAUACCGACGACAUUUUCUGGAAUCUCUUUAGAUGGGGAUGAUGGUUCAUUAAGCGACGACAUUUUCUAACCGUGUACCGACGACAAGUCGUCACAGACAAGUCAGGAUAGGUCAAAAAAGUCGUCGGCAUAGGUGUCGUCGGGAUAGGUACCCCAUAUACCGACGACAUGACGUUGGUACAAGUACCGUCUGGAAUGAUUUUCGAGAAAAAAAAUAAAGUUUUAUUAAUUACUUGUGGCGACGACAUGUCGUCGGGACAGGUGCCACCUAUAGCGACGCCAUUUUGUCGCCACAUGUUUUCCACAAAUAUCAAUCAAAUACCUAUAGUGGCGACUAGUCGUUAGGAUAGCCACUGGGUGUUUUUUUUUUUUUUUUUUUUUUUUUUUUUUUUUUUUUUAGUUUUUACAGAUUUUGUACAUUUACCAUUCGUGCAUUUUUAACAAAUCCAAACAUUUUGCAGCAUAUAUCAAAUAAGAUACAAUAACUGGGUACCAUUGUUUAAAUUCAAAACAUCAAAUUCAAGUUUAAUAUUACAUACCGAAUUAGAUAAAAUAAGUAGUUAACAUUGUUCAAAAUAACACAAAACAUAAACAUCAUUAUAUUCUUUUUUUUUUCUUCUUCUUCUUCUUCCAUCCUCUCGGGUUCACAUUUUGUUGAGAGGUAUUUCCUUGUGAUGUACUUCCUUCUGUGUUGGAAUUGAAUAGAAAACUAGCAAACGGUGGUGGUUGUGUAACAUCCCAAAAAUUUUAACAAAUAUGAACUUUUCAAAACAACCCAUUUAUUAACAAAAGUGUUUACAAAAACAUGAUUUAAAAUUAGAGUCUCCCAAGAUCCACUUUGUUCUAAAACCGAGGAUGCGUACGGUCACGCCUUUGCCUUGCCAUGAAUCAUUUGAAGAAACUGAAACCAUAAACAAAUCGUAAGCAAGAAUCUUAGUGAGUUCCUCCAAAAUACCACCGCACAAACAGAUAGCACAUAAAUAACGACAACAUGUACUAGGUCCACAACUAAAAGACUGGAUUACCCCUGAGCCUAUAAUAUGAAUCUGGCUUGCCUAUUGGGCCCACAACUCAUAUCUGGUUUGCUCUUGAGCCCACAACAUAAGUCAGACUUGCCCCUGGGGCUCACAACUUAUGUCAGGCUUGCUCCCAACUCAAUCAGUCAUCGGACUAGAAUACCAAUGUUCAGCCCUGUGACAACCUGAAAUUUCCAUUCUGAACAAACCAUAUCAAUCCAAUAGAAGUUAGAACAGUUACAAUGAAAUUCCAGACUUUGGGCAUAAGUUUGACAGUUUUUCAGGAUUUACACUUAAGGAGAUAUCAGGAGAGUGGAUGCACUAGGGUUUUGUGCAACACUGUUAUUCCAAAACUCUAGGAUAUUAGGGUUCAAUUCCGGAAUAAAAAUAUUUUCUGCCAAAAAUCUCAGGACUAUAUAUAGAAAUCUGAGCCAUAUUCAUUCAUUAGUUACAUUUCCAACUAGAGAAAAGCCAAAUUCUCUCUCACGGAUCUUCAGGUUUUUAUCCCAAAUCGUGAGUACUUCUAUCUAGUUGUAUUAUAUAGCUUAGAUUGUUUUUUAUAACAUCAAAAUCGGAUCAAAACCCCAAGAUUUGGGAGUUUACCGCCCAAGAACACUUGGAGAGUAAACUCCUUUUUAAGGGCCAAAAGUGUGCCCAAUGUCCCUCAAAGCCUUGGGAAUGAACCUAGAAGCUACCAUUACAUGUUUAAGACCACAAAACAAUUAAGAAUCAUGGCUAGAAGUGAGUUCACGGCCAAGGAAGUUCUUCGUCCGUGAACUCCAUUUUUAUGUGCCAAAAUGCCCUAAAAGCCUUCCUUAAGCCAAGAGACUAAUUUAGACAUGUACCUAGAUGAGUUUAGGACUAGCAAACACCUUUAGAACACCAAGAGUAAGGUGUUCACGGCCCAAGAAGUUCUAGGGUCGUGAACUCCAAACAAUGGUGCCAAAUGGUGCUAUAAACUCUCCUAAAGCCUUGGACAAUUUCCUUGCUUCAUUCUUAGAUAAAUUAGGGACUUGAAAACACCACAAACACCCUCCUAAGGGAGAUUACGGCCGUAAUCUCCAUGGGAUAUGGUCCAUGGCGCGUGAACUCCUCAAAGGAGUUAAAAGGAAGCCCAAACACUUGUUUAAGCCUAGAAGCACUUCACCACUUAAGUUGUAAUAAUGUUAGGCUUCAUUUAGUGACCCUAUAGAGAGUUUACGGCCAAGAGUUUACUCCCCUAGGCCGUAAACUCCAACACAUAUGGUCUUUUGACCAUAAACUCCCAUAAGAGGUCUUGCACUCCUUUGUUGCAACCCAUUAGCCUCCUAGCACUUGACCAAAGUGUUUUCCUCACAUUAGGAUGUUUAUACAUGUUUAAUUAGUGUUAUAAUCACUAAUUGUUUAUAUACAUAUGUCUUCAUAUGUAAUUAGGACCAUUGUGUGUGUCUAAAGUCUUCACUUGACACCUAGCAGUCCUACCUCUUCAGUUCAUCCGUAUCACCCACAACAGGUGAGUUUAUACCUNGGGGAUACAAGUAGAAUUAUGCUAAUUAUUAUAUCAAUCACAGGUGAUUAAUAAGCAGCAUUCAAAUGAUUAGCUACUCAUUAGCCGUUUUACCAAACCGUUUCCUUCAAAUGUUUUUCAUAAACACCUUAUGUGUUUAAAACUCCUUAUUACACUGUACCUUUUAUUCUGUAUGUUUCAAUUCAAACUUAUUUACAAUUGUGUUUCAAACAAAUGUUUCUUUAUACUAAACUAUUUUGUCAAACCCAUGCCUUCAAAACCGUUUUAUAGAUUGACAUCAAGUCGAUCUUUUCUUAGAUAAUAAUUAUGUUCAAAGGUUUUACAAAACUUAUUUUAUGUUUUUAUAUUAUAAAUUGGAUGCCUAUAUAUGCAUAGUUAUAUAAUAAAUGUUGAAAGGACUUAGGAAGGCUAUCCACCCUAUUUCCUUUUCCUCGAUUUGGAUGUGGUCUGGUGGGAUAUCAGGUACCCGUCCGAAGGUUGUUUAAAUAUUAAUUAUAUAUCAUGUGUACGUAUAUAGUCAUAAAAGUCCUUCCAGCUCAGCCAAUGCCCUUGGGUAGCAAGGGUAUAUUUAACAUCCCCCUCUUGCACGUAUCACAAUAUUAUCCGCUUUGGGCCACUCGGCACGAGGACUUCCCAGGGGGUCACCCGUCCUGGUACUACUCCCGCCCGAGCACGCUUAACUACAGAGUUCUUAUGGGAUUUGCUGCCCUCACGGCUUUAAAACGCGUUGUGCUAGGGAAUGUAUCCACACCCCUUAUAAGGAAUGCUUAGAUCUCCUUCCCAGCCGAUGUGGGAUCAGAUCUAACCCACUUUCACCCCCCAUUAUAGGGUUCGACGUCCCCGUCGAACACAUCGACCCAUGCCCUGGCUCUGAUACCAAUUGUGACAUCCCCUAAUUUCUCGGCCAGAAAAUACCGAUUUAAUUUAUGCUUUUUAAAAUAAAAUCAGAGAAAUCUUUUUAAAAGAUGUUGCGGAAUUGGUCCCCAAACAACAUAUGAUAAAAGUUUAUCAAAAUCCUUCAUUAAGAAGGUAUAUAUUUUCCAUAUAUAUCAAAACCUCGGGAUUUCAUGUUCCGAUACAGAUCAAAAGCAUAAACAAGACAUUAUAAGCCUUUCAACAGUUAUUUACAACUACUGGCCUAUAAUCCAAAAAUUCUCUCGUCGUCCUCCGACUAUGCUCAGGGUCCACUACCUGUAAUCAUAAAAACUGAGUGGGUCAGGCUUGGGAGUCUGGUGAGCAUAUAGGGGUUUCAACCCACAAUAAUAAUAUACUUAUUAAGUUCACCAAUCAACAAUAACCCUGAUUACCCAUUCCCGUUGUCCUCACUUUACGUCCCUAAACACCUAUCACAAGGGACCUAGCCUAAGGAUUAUCAUCGGGAUGGACACUACUGCUAAGGGGUUUCCUCAGCCAUACAUGUCCUUAAGGCAACCAUGAGGGGGAUGAAGUACGCCAAUGAACAUUUAAUUCAUCAACACCUACAAGUUGCGAACCUGCUAGUGUUCGACUGGACUAUCUAGAAAGUCUGUGGUCGUCAUCUAUACUCCGCUAGAUGACUACAACAACAACAACAACAACAUCGAGGCCUCUCACCUUUUUAACACACAUCAACUAUUUCAUCUACCCAUGUUCUACCCAACAUAUUUUGUAGAUAAAAAGAAUAUACAGUUUGAAACUUGUAUAAAACAUCAAAUCAAUAGUCACCUUAGUUAAACAAUUACUAUAUUUACACAUAACACGUAUUUCAAGGUAAAUACUUCAUAUCUAUGUGUAAAUUGAAAGUAACUACACACUCACAUAUUUUGAUGAACAUCGGGCAACAAUUCAUUUCCUAAAACGAUCGUUUCUAAUAAAACCGGGAGUUUUAUUGAGAAACUGGGCUCUGCAAAAGUCGGGGUUUGAAACCGAAAAGAUAAAUUUUCCGGGCUUCACGGGCACUUCGUGGAGUAUUCCGGGCUUUACAAUCGAUACCGGGGCUUUGCGGGAUGUUAAGAUGAAGAAAAUAUGGGUUUAGGGGUUAAAUAUGGCAAAAUUUCAAAGUUACCUGGGAGGUCUCGCACCCUUCUAUUUAUAGGGGCGAGGCUUCUGAUCCAACGGAUAGAAAGAGGACACGCGUCGCAGAUCCGAAGGCUCGCAGGGAAGCCUCGCACGUGGCUGCGCAUGGCUCGCACCUGUGAGGGGCUCGCUGGCAGCUUGUGAUUGGACCGAGGUCUAGGGUCCGAAGUAGAGGGUUCGUGGCAUGUUGCGAGGGCUCGGUCUCGUGCAUGAGGGUACGUGUCACCUUCUCAGUGGACCACUUCGGAUAAGGCCAUGUGCUCGGAUGACUCAGCAGCUCGGGUGACUCAACAGCUCGGAUGACUCAGCAGGACACAUGGCACUUUUUCAGCGAGGGUGACGUGGCAACUCGUGACUAUGCGAAUUUUCUCGAUUUUCGCGCCAAAACUUCUAAAAUCCAUAACUUUCGCAUACGAGCUCCGUUUUUGACGUUCUUUAUAUGCACGCGUAGCUAAAAUUACGCUCUACAACUUCCGUUUAGACUUCGUCGGCUAAUUUUGAAUUUAAAUUUUAUAUUAUUAUUUUUAACAGACCGGGACAGGAAAUCCGUUAAAAAUUCAUAACUUCUUCAUCCGACGUCCGUUUUCAUCAGAAUUUUUACCGUUGUGCUCCUAAUGACGAGACCUUCAAUUCUCGUUUAGGUUGUGUCGGCUAAAAAUCGCUCGAUCUAAAAUUCGAGUUUUUUAGCUGUCUACUGCUAAGCUGAAACUUCGAAAAAUCAUAACUUCCUCAUACGAAGUCAGAUUUGGGCGUUCCUUUUAUCGAACUUCUCAGUUUAACGACUACUACGACUUUCAUUUAGAUUACUAAGGCUAAAAAGUAGUUUAUCGAAAACUCACUUUUUACAACAUUCAGCACCGUGCCGGUUUUGUCGCGAAACUUCGACAUGUCAUAACUUCUUCGUUAUAACUCGGAUUUUGGUAUUCUUUAUAUCCCCGAAAUCCUUGUUUCGACCACUACAAAUUUAUGUAAAGAUAUCGGGCUUAUCUCCCACUUUAAUUUUGACGCUUAUUUUUAUUCUUAACUAAUUAAGCCCUAAUAAUUAAGCAUAAAACACAUAAUUCAUAUAAUAUUCACAUAAUUCCUUUUCAUUUCUUCAAAAUGAGUUACAAAGGUUAACCUAGACUAUCAACUCAAUAUAAAUGCCUAGGAUAGAAACAUGAGUGUUACAAAUUGUAUCAAGACAUGUUAUAUGGACGUGUUGAACUUCCGUGUCCAUUUCUCCUUCUGCUGUUUGUUCUUCUAAAGAAUGAGGAAAGAUAUCCAAGUCUAGCAUAUGCAGAGAACUAGCAACAAGUAGAUCUAAGUCGUCCAAGUUGUUGGCAAUUUCGACUGGACUCGUCGGGUCUAGGAAAGUGACUCGGUGAGUCAGAUCAUAUUUCACCAUUUCCACUGUGUUUUCCGAGUCGGCUCCUUCCAGUAGCUUUUCUAUCUCCUCCAAGUCCUUGUUAACAUCUCCAUCCUCUCCAGAAGGUAGCAAAAGCUUGCUUGGAUCUUCUUCUUGCAAAAGUGCAAGUUCUUUUUGUAGUAUCUCAUCAUCCAAAUCGAUAAAUGAGAUAUCUUCUUUUCCUUCCUCUUCUUGCUUGGCUUCUGGUAAAGCUCUAAAUAUUGCUGACUCGUCUCCUACCCUUAAUGUUAGUGUAGACUCGCAUACAUCAAUUAAAGCACAUGCGGUGUUUAAAAAUGACCUCCCCAAAAUAAUCGGAAUUUCGGGGUCUUCUUCCAUAUCAAGCACCACAAAGUCUACUGGAAAUAUGAACUUGUCGAUUUUAAUAAGAAGAUCCUCACAAACGCCUCUUGGAUGAAUUGUUGUCUUGUCUGCCAAAUGGAUCUUCAUGUUUACCGGCCUUGGCUCCGAUAAAUUCAGUUUCUUGAAGAAAGAGAAAGACAUUAGGUUAAUGCUUGCACCUGAGUCGGUCAACGCUUGAGUGACAAAUGCAUUUCCAAAUUGGCACGGAAUUAUGAUACUCCCCGGAUCGCCCUUCUUUUCGAGUAACUCACUCAAUAUUAUUUCCGUGACUUCAGCCAAAUAUUUCCUAGCAGCAAAGAGACCCUUUAGUAAGUUGAAGUACUUGGGUGUUUUAAGCAUCGUUUCUACAAAUGGCACAUUGACUUGUAGGGAUUUAACAUGCUCCAUAAAAGCUCAAUAAGCUUCAACUUUUUCAACUGGCAUGGCUUUGAUUGGGAAUGGCAAAGGGGGAUUAUAUGGCUUUAAGGGAAUGACGGUUUUGUCAUUAACGCAUGGACUCGUCGAGUCCAUUAGAGGGACUCGGCGAGUCUUGUCGGGCUUAGCUGGAGCCGACUCUUCUGCCUUUUCUGUCUUCCUAUUGGAGAUCCUCUGUGCAUGUGUGAAAAUUUCUUCAUUGCUGGAAGUUACUGCACUCACAUUCUCCAUUCUCGGAUUGUUUUCGGUGUUACUUGGAAGUUGACCCGGUCUUCUUUCGUUCACUUGAUGUGAAAGUUGUCCCAGCUGUUUCUCAAUGUUGAGAAUGGAUGCCUGCUCAUUCCUUAGCAUAUUUCUGGUCUCGUGUAUUGCAGCAUCGUGAUCAUUGUGUCUCUUUUCGGACACGGCUAUGAAUCUAGUGAACAAUUCUUCUAAAUCGGCUUUCUUUUCCAUUACCGGUUCUUCCUUUUGAUAAAAUACCCUCUCCUUCUGCUUGUAUUUCUCCUCCUUAUCCUUCUUGUAUUCUUCGUAUGGGAGCCAUUCCUUCUUCGGUUUCCCCCAAUUCUCGUCGUAUCUAUCGCCACUUGAGUAGAACACUUGAGCCUUCUUGUUUCCAUUUUCAUCCAAAUCACAAUCCUUUGUGAGAUGGGGCCCUCUACAAUUCUCACAUCCAACAUGAAUAGCAUGGAUUGUUUGAUCCAUUUUUGUCAUCCUUCUAUCUAGACUAUCGAGCUUAGCUAUCAUCGCCGCCAUGCUAUCAUUUGCCGAGUUCACUACCCCCCGACUUACUUCAUUUAUUGGAUUGUGGUAUUCUCUAGAAUGCUUAGAGAAUUCUUCAAUUAACUCCUUGAUUACCGGGGGCGCCUUCUUCGUGAGCGGGCCUUGUGAAUCGAGCAAUUGCCUUGUGGUGACAUUGACUCCAUCAUAGAAAAUGGAGACCUCUUGUUGGAUAUUGAGGUCAUGGUGUGGGCAAUUUCUAAGCAAGCUCUUGUACCUUUCCCAAGCUUCAUAAAGAGAUUCUCCGGGUUGUUGCUCGAAGUUGGCAAUGGCUUUCUUUAGUUUAGCUAUUUUGGAGGGCGGGCAAAAGUGGUCUAUGAACUCUUCUUUCAUCUUGGCCCAUGUGGUGACCGAUCCGGGAGGAAGUGACUUGAGCCAAUCCUUUGCAUCACCCUUGAACGUGACUGGAAGCAUGCGAAGUAGUUGGGUCUCGCGAGGCAUAUUUGGUACAUUGAAGUAGUCAGCCACAUCAUUUACUUCAUCCAAGUGCUUGUAGGCGUCUUCGUGGUCCUUCCCAUAAAAAGGAAUCUCCUUGAGUUGAGCGAGAAUAUGGCCUUUUAGUUCGAACGUAGUGGUUGCGGGAAUUGCGGGUUGCACAAGUCCCGAGCCGGUGUCAUCGCGCAUCCUUUUCUUCCAUUACCCCAUGGGGACUUCAUCGAUAUUAGCCAUAGCGAUAGCUAAAUCGUCUUCAAACUCGGAUUCUUGCUCGUAUGUGGGUUCUUCUUCUUCCUCGGUCUCGUACUCGAUGUCUUCUUGAAUUGGGUCUCUGAUUGUCAAAGAGGCACUGGAUGCUCCUGAUUUGCUGCUCCUUGUCUUGCUGAAAACGGACUUGAGGUUUUUGAGUGGUAAGUUCUUUGAAGAAGCGGAUUCUCCAACGGUUUUGCCUUUGCUCCUCCUUAGUGCGGAUUCCGGGUCUUCAAGAGGAGGGACCAGAGGUGUAUCAGAUCCUCAGGUCAUGAAACAACUGUAAACAAAACAAAAAACGCGUAAAAAGAACAAAAAAUAAAUAAAAAUUAAAACUGUGAAUCAGCGAUGUACUCGCCGAGUCGGCACGAGUGCACUAGGCGAGUCUGGUCAAAACAUAGAAAAAUUUUUCUAGUUACUUUAAAAACGGAUUUUUAUUAAAACUUAUACUACUUACUAAAUUACCUUUUAAAUAACUUUGUGUAAGAUAAAUCCCACACAAAUGAUCGAUUAAAUUAGAAUUUAACGUUAAUUUUAGAACCGUUCCCCAGCAACGGCGCCAAAAACUUGAUGUGUGCAAACUCACUUAGUUUUAAACCUACUUUUAAUUUUAAAAUAAACACACAAAGGCAGUGGACCUAUCAAUUGUGGUAUAGUUAAAUAAGUAGGGUAUCGAACACAGGGAACGGCAAAUUAAAACUAAAAACUAAUUCUAUCUAAAUUAAUUAAUAAGUAGGAGGUUUUCUCUAGUUUUUCAAGACUAGAAACUUACUAACUAUUACUUAUUCUAAAACUUAGAAAAACAAAGAAUUAACUAGAUUCAAUAAUGGGAAGGAACUUCUGUUUAGUUCAACUCAAUUGAUCCUAUGGUUGAUAUCAAGGUAAUGGUGCAAUGGAUUAACUCUUUUGUUGGUUACCGAUUCAAGUGAUUAGAUUUGCGUUCACUACACUAAUCCUUAGCAAAUAAACUAACUUAAACAGUGGCCAGUUGUCUAAUUUAAUUAAAUUCACUAGAUUAAUUAUUCGGGUUAAUUUAGACUUGCAAUAGUUAACUAAUUUGGUCCUUUAAUUAACUUNUUUGUUGAUGGUCAUCACAAGCUCACACAUGAAUUUACUCAAUUUUCUUAUUAAUUCUAGUUUCAUGUUCAUUAAUCCUAGACAUAUGACAAAGUGGUCACAUAGCAUAUGAGGUUGAUAAUCAAUAGAUGUUCAUGCUAUUCAAUUACCUUCCUAUUAAUAGAAAAUUAAUUAUCAUUCACACACAAGGUUCUUUAGCAAGCUAAAAUAACAAAAAUCACUAACUUUAAAUUAAUCCUACCAAUAAUCAAACCAUAGUAUCAAUUUUGUAUCCCCAAACAGAAGUUUAAGAGUUUUAGCUCAUGAUUGAAGUAAAUUACAGCAAACAAACAGAUUUUAAUUGUUUAACCAUUAUGAAAAAUAAAAAAUUAAGUAGAAUGAUGAAAUUUGCCUCAAAUCUCCUUCGGAAUUGGAUUCUAGCUUGUAUCUUCGUCCUCUAGGUUUUUUCUGACUCUUCAAUCGCAGCUAACCUCUCCAGAAUCGUUCCAGAAUUCCUCCCCAUCGUUCUCAGAAGUUAUCUUUAUAUAUGCAAAACGACUCGUCGAGUCAGAUGCCGACUCGUCGAGCCCAUCUCUAAGUCCCCGUAUGCGAUAAGUCUCUAGGUCUCCGAGUCUUUAUCUUCUCGAAUAUUCGCUUGGGCUCGCCGAGUAGUUGACCCUACUCACCGAGUAUGUGUUGUUUUUAGUGUUUUUCUUCUUUGUUCGAUUCCCGAGCUCUCAACCGCUUCUCCUGCUUCCUUUUGCUUCCGAGCUUCACUUUUGGACUGAAAACAUAAUUCAAACACUUUUAAGUACCUUUUGUCCAUGAAAUGCAAUAAUUUAGCUAAUAAAUGAAUAAAAAUCUACACUUAAUAUGAACUAAAUAUGCACAUAUCACUUUCCUUAGAUUCAUAGUCUCUCCAACCAAAAUUCCUAGAUAAUUGAAUGGGAUGGAUGAAGGUUCACAUCCAAGAGGAGCUGCCCAAUUUAUUACUUCCAUGUGGGUAGCUCCUAUCCCAUACACCUUCGAUUUCCUAAAGUUCACCUUUAGCCCCGAUGAUACACAGAAGCACCUUAAUAUCCGGGCCAAGUUUGCAAUAUUUCGCCUUGACCAUUAGCCUAUAAACAGUGUGUCAUCUGCAUAGAAUAAAUGAGACAAACAUUGAUUAGAUUGUGAAAAUUUGAUGCCUUCGAAGAUUCCUUUUUCCACAACUGUCUUCAUCGCCUGAUUUAAUCCUUCAAUCACAAUGAUAAAAAGAAAUGGGGAGAGUGGAUCUCCCUGUCUGACACCUUUUGACAUAGAGAACUCCUUGGUCGGACUGUCGUUGAUCGACUGGGAAGGAGAACUAAGCAUUCCUUAUAAGGGGUGUGGAUACCUUCCCUAUCACAACGCGUUUGAAAACCGUGAGGGAAGCAGAUCCCAUAGGAACUCUGCAGUUAAGCGUGCUUGGGCGCGAGUAGUACCAGGAUGGGUGACCCCCUGGGAAGUCCUCGUGCCGAGUGGCCCAAGACGAACAAUAUUGUGAUACGUGCCAGAGGGGAAUGUUACAAAUGGUAUCAGAGCCAGCGCACAGUUCGAUGUGUUCGACGAGGACGUCGAACCCUAUAAUGGGGGGUGAAAGUGGGUUAGAUUUGAUCCCACAUCGGCUGGGAAGGAGAACUAAGCAUUCCUUAUAAGGGGUGUGGAUACCUUCCCUAUCACAACGCGUUUUAAAGCCGUGAGGGCAGCAGAUCCCAUAAGAACUCUGCAGUUAAGCGUGCUCGGGCGGGAGUAGUACCAGGAUGGGUGACCCCCUGGGAAGUCCUCGUGCCGAGUGGCCCAAGGCGGAAAAUAUUGUGAUAUGUGCCAGAGGGGGAUGUUACAGUAUAUAGCCAUGUUCAUACGUACCAGUUAAAUUACUAGUAAGCUAUUGACUAUCCUACACCUUGCUGCUUGCUACAGCCGGACGUCAUUUCUUUCUACAUAUAGAUCAGUUAAGUCUUGGUAGAAGACUCCCUGUUAUAGUAGUAGGAAUCAUAGGGAUUUCUAGAGUUUUUCAAACGUUUACAGUUGUUUUACAUACAUUUUCAAUACUUACGAUUUACAUACAUUUUCAAUACUUACAAAUUCUUACAUACAAAUUCUUACAUACAAAUUAAGACACUAAAAUACUUAUGAUCUCACCAGCUUCAAAGUUGAUACUCGCUUUCAAAAUUACUUGUAUCCUCAGGUCAAACAUAGACAGGUACCGAUGCAAGGUUUAGAGAAGAUGGAGCUCGUUCAAGACUCAUCUUUCAUUUUGAUUUAUGCCUUAGUGUUUAUCAAAAUUUGACAGAACACAGUUGUAUAAUAAUUAUAUUAUUAAUGCAAUGGAUGAUGUUGCUGCUUGUUUACUACUUUUCAUUGUUGUGAUAUUGUACAUGACGUCCUCCGCCCCAGAACGUUUCCGCGGUUCUUGGUUUUGGGGUGUGACAAGCCCUCAGUAAGAGUCUAGCAUACCAACUGGUCCUCAGAUCAUAUCUGGAAUGCUACUAAUCCCCCAGUAUGAGUCUGGCAUGCCCCAUCCGAGACUCAACUCAUAUCUGGAUUUCUCCGAUACCCUCAACCCCUUAGUACGAGUCUGGCAUACCAAUCGGGUCCUCAGCUCGUAUCUUGAAUGCACCUGAGCCCUUAGUAUGCGUAUGGCAUGCCCUAAUCAGCUCUUAGCUCAUAUAUGGAAUGCUCCAGGGUUUGUUGGCUACAGAACGAAGCAGUACAACCUCAACCCAACACAAUAUGUCGACAAAUAACCAACAUAUACAGAUAAUCAUGCACACAUAAUCAUAGGUACUCCUAUAGAUCUACCAUACUAACAUAUCGGCAACUAGCAUACUCAUGCAGAUCUAUUCCAUACUCAGAAUAUUAGUGAAUUGUAGGAUAACAAACCAAUACACCGGCAUUGGUGCCUUCGACUCGUAAAUAUAGUGAGGAAAAAUCACAUCGCACUGCUGAACAUAAAGACGAUCCAUGGUUGAUGGCUGCCAGAUCCCCGAACCGCCAAUAUCAAGACAACACCCCAUCACAGCUGAUCCCAUGAAUAAUUUCUGACUACAGAACCACUAUGAUCCACGUGCUAUCAAAUACUACAAUGACAACCCAUCAAUAGACCUGGCAAUGGAGCGGGUUUGGAGCGAAUCAGCCUUGAUCCAAACCCUUUUAACAAAUUUCAAAAUCCGAUCCAAACCCGCUCCGUAACCCACAGGGUUUUAAAUAAUCAGACCCAUACCUUUAUCCGCCGAAUCAACGAAUAUUCAAGCCCGCCCCAUAACCCAAAGUUUUUUUAAAUAAUCAAACACAUUUUAAUAAACUCCUAAAAUAAAAUUUCUUAAAUAAGAAACUGUAUACUAUAUCUUAAUACUUAAAAUAACAUUUUUUUAAAUAAAAAAAAUUGAUUUAGAAAAGGACAUUACAUACUCGAAGAAUUUCAAUCGGAAUUAAAAAUCACUAUUGCAACAACUUUGAAUUGAUUUAUGACUGUUGGUUGUAGUGAUAGCGAAUUGCAAUUGCCAUCUUUUUUCAUGUUAAAAAUUGAUUUAUUGAAUUAGAAAUGGAUAUGAUGAUUUCUUGAUGCAAAUAAAUUAAAUGACAUUAUGAUUCUUGAUAGAAAUCUAUAAGUUUAGAAUCUGAAUUAUCGAUUCCUAUGUAAAAGCAUUUUUUUUCUUUGGCCUUUGCAUUUUGGACUUUUGAUUGGUAUUAAAAUUAAACGUUAAGAAGUAUAAAAUAUAAAUAUAUAAUUCUAAAUUUAUAUGGGGCGAGUUAUAAAUGGAGCGGAUCGGUGAUGAUCCAUACCUGACCCAUUUAAUAAAAGGGCUAGUGGGAAUGGAUCGUUAACGGGUAAACGAAUCAAAAACUACACUCCAAACCCAUAUAAUUCUUACGAGUUUGGAUCGGAUUAGGGUCAAAACCCACUUCAUUGCCAGGUCUACCCAUCAACCUUUAGCCCCUGACUCACGUUAUGAGUGAAAAUUAGGGUAAAAGACCUUUUUAUCCUUCUUAAGCUUGGCCCGAAGCCAAGGCCCAACUAAAUGGUUAAUGGCCCAAAAUCCAAAAUAGACUUCUAAGGCCCAAAUAUGGCCCAAUUUUCCAAAUUGGGCCCAAUUCCUUUCUUGGGCCUUCAGCUAAGAAAGUCCAUCAAAACAAAAGCCCAAACCAUAAAAUCUAGAUGGCCUAACAUGGCCCAAGACAAUCCGAGCCCAAAACCGGAGCCAAAAAUGAAGGCCCAAUAGUACCGCAUACGCGGGGAGUACUCCAAAGGCACACUUAGCGUACAUGAGGCUGCGUAGAAUCCACCAUUGGGGUGGCAGAUUGGGUAUGCGGGGCGUACACCUCCCUACGCGGGGCGUACCCUCUUAAAACUCAAUUUCUUCAUAACUGCUUAAUGGCUUAGCAUUUGAGCUCAUACUUCAGAUCCAAGGUCCAGAGCCAUACUAUGGCCAUAAAAUUCCCAACUUUAUGAAUUUCCACGUCCAAAAAGUCCUUAAUGAAAGGUCUUAAUGGAUUAAUACUUUCUACAAGAAGUAUGGAGAAAAACUAGCUAAGGUGAUCUCACUUUUAUGGCUUAGAACCCCUCUUAGGGUCUGAAAGGACAGCCCAAAAUGACCAAAACCAAACAUGCAUAACAAUGGGACUUUUGGGACAAAAAGAACAUCAUAAUGCUACCAAAAUGAGAUCCAAGCAAACAAAGCAUAAAGGUAGAAACUUUUUACCUUCUGGAGCUUCCCAAGAAGAUGAUGAUCCAAGAUCCACAAGCUUGCUUCAACUACUAAUCUCCUUGAUGCAACUCCUUCUUCCUUAAGAACACAAAGAACACACUUUUAGCUCAAAACACUCUCUUAUUGGGUUAGGGUUGCCAAAAAUGACUCAAGGGUGUGGAGGCUGAAAAGAUGAGGCUAAAUGAUCUAUAAAGGUGAUUAAAUACCCCACAAACCCUAAAACUUAGGGUUUUUUCUAACAAGAGUACACCCAUCGUACAUAUGAGUACGCCCAACAUACUAGGGUACACCCUAGUAUGCUUAGCGUAUGCACAUGUACGCUUAGCGUACCACUCCUUCUCCCAAAAUUACGAUUUUUCCAAUAGGGCUUCUUGCGACCACUUCCUUCCAAAACAAGGACCAAAAUGGUAUACUCUAAAGCCAAGAGAUGAAUUUGAAAAUGCCUGAAAACUGGGGCAUUACAGGUUGGGAGUUCGGAAUACAUGUCGCCAAUGAUGCAUUAUAUUGUUGCAAGUAUUCUUGCAUUUGUUGUGCAUUAGAUUGGGAUUGAGAUUGGAAAGAUGUGGAAGUUGAAGCACAUUUAUUUGGAAUUAGACCGAAGUUGGUGACUGGUCUCCUACCCACUACGCGAGCCUGCCCUUGUCUCGUCCUGAGGGCACGUGCAAGCCAUUCUUCCUCAUCUACUUCUUCACCUUACCCGACCCCGCUUUGCAUUUUCUCGUAUUUAUCUUGAAUCUUCUUCUAAAAUAAACAAGAUAAUAAACAUACGAUAAUUAAAACAAACAACUAAACUUAAACAUUAAAAUAAUAAUAAUAUACCUUAGACAUAAACUAUAAUUAAUAAUAAUAACAUAUUUAACUAACGUAUUAAUUUCGCUUAUGACUUACCUAAUCUUGUUGUGCUCGACUUGUACACCAACCCUAGCCUUCUUUGUAGCGCAUUUGUCUCCAACCCUCAAUAUGUUGCGGCUUCAGUCCUAGUUUUUCCUGUAAUAUGUAAAAAACAAUAAAUAUAUUUAUACGAGUGAUAGUAACAUUUUUAAAUAAUACUAAUAUACUUUAUUACUUUUAAAUGACGUCGUUGAGCAUACGACCUACAUCCAUGAGAACUUGUGUCCGGAAGUUUAAUUCGACCUAGUAACUUUAUUUUUGGCCGAUGUGUGUAUAUAUUCAUCAGUAAAAAACAACAUGCCAAUCGUCUUAUUCUAAGCUUUGGCAGACCAAUCAAUCUGUGGAUGUUUUUUUGUCCUUUCCACAUCCGCAUAUCCACCAGCUUUUUCAAAAUGAUUUUCCAUGUCAUGCUUGCAAUCUCGAUAAGCUUUUUGCAUACUAUCUUGGGUACCCGCUCGAACGGGUUCCCACAACUCUGUGCCCUAGUGCAUAUCGGGAUCAAAAUAAGUCUGCAAAAAAUACAUAUUUGAUUAGUAAUAAGAAAUAUUUAAUAAGUGUAAAAUUCAAUACAUAUAAAAUAUUUUGUAUAUACUUACUUCUAGCUCGAGAUAUAAAUUAUCUUCGUACUUGGUAGAAACAUGGCGCCAAGAAUGAUAAUGCAACAGUACCUCUGAUCCCACCAGAUUUGAGAUCAAUCUAACAAAUAAGUGUCUGUUGUCCCGCACGAAUCGAUACGUCCUCCUGGAGGUAUCAAGGCUCACAACCAAAGGAUUACUACCUUUAUCUUCAUACUCAUCGUACAAUUUUAAGUUUCUCCAUCUGCCAUGUACAUUCACAUUCUUCACUUUUGUUACAUUUACACAUAGAAUUGGAAAUUUAGAAAUUUAAAUCCAAUACUUAAUAUUUUCAUGUAACUUACAUGAUUGGCAACCCGAUGGUAAACCAUGUGUGACCAUGUGUGGGGCUCUAUCACCACUGUCUCCUCCAUGUUACCUCAUGACUUCUGCCAUUUAUUUAACAAAUAUUAUAAACAUUCAAAAUCUAUAAUAAAGCUACUUAUAAAUAGGCAAAAUUUAAAAACUUAACACAUAUUAUAAACAAUCAGGAUAUAUAAUAACCGUAACAUACCAUCAAUGAGAAUCAUCACUAGAACAAUAUAACAUCAUCAUCGUUAUCAUAGUCUUUGUUAUUUAUUUCUUCUUCUGAAGAGUACGUAUCCCCACCAUCAUCGUCAUCGUUAAUUGUCACACCCCUGAACCAGACGACGGAAACGUCUGGGGGCUCGUGUGACUAACAAUUGAAUUAUCAUCACAAUGAAUAUACAUGAAACAUUACACAUUCAUCACCAACAUUACAUAUUACAACCAGCAUUGUUCACAGCAAGUACAUUGUUAAAGAUUACAUAAAUUCAAAGUAUUAAUAGUAAGAUAGGUGAUGUUACACAAAAUAAAUCGAUACACUUGAAAAUCUUCCUGCUUAACGAUUACCUGAGAAUACCAGUUAUUUUGAAAAACGGUCAACAUAUAUAAUGUUGGUGAGUUCAUAAGUAUGUGUGAAUAAAAGUCUUUGCAUCUUUUGUAAAAACCUAGAAAAUCUGAUAUUUUCUGUAAAAUGUCUUAAAAUGAUGUGAAAAUCAAGUAUAAAUGCAUGUGUGAAUUUCAUAGCAAUAACAUAUAUGAUUUCAGUUUAAAUUUCUUUGUAUUUUAAGUAAGUGAUAAAUGAAUAAUAGUAUUUCCCUAGAAAAUCUGAGUAUUUCCUGAUUUAUAAUAAUGUCGAGGUUCUUGUAUCAUUAAUUAAGUUGUUUCGUAUUGACACAAUCGAAGGGUUAAUCUUCGAAAUGUCAAAUUGGUAUUGGAUCUCUAUAUGAGCAGUUAUAACCAUGUAUGAUAAUGACUAGGUUGUCUUUCUUGGCAUUUUCCAAACGUCGGUAUUUGCUCAAGGUUUUGUCGCCCAAGACUGGCCUAGUCUAGUUGUAGCGAACAACUAAGGCGUGGGGGGUCACCCCAUAUAGAUCUAUACACAAACUCCCGCUCUCCCUCCAGGAAACUCUGGUUAUAACUACAGACUACGAUUGUACACUCAGAGGUGUCAACCGACAUGUCUCACUAGAUUCUCAACUUUUCAUACCAUGUUUAAUGUUUACGUGAAUGUUGUAUGUUUUCAAAUCCAAAGGUAUAUAUAUAAGUAUACGAACUUUAGGGCUGGCAAUUGUUGACACGAUACGCGACACGACAUGAAAUAAAUGGGUUUGGGUUGAGUUUUUCAACCCGCCAACCCGCUAACCCGUCAACCCACCAACCCGUUUAUUAAACGGGUCAUAUAUGGGUUUCUCAAAAAAUAAACGGGUUGACCCGCCAACCCGUUUAUAUUCUUAAUAAAAAAAUUAUUAUAUUUUUAAAUGUAUUUAUGUAUCAAGUAUUAAUAUUUAAUAUGUAUUAUAUAAUAUAUACCAUUUAUUCAUAGACCAUUUGAUUGUUUUGACAUUAUUACUCGUGGUGGAUGGUCUAAGGUCAUAAGUCGUAACCUAUAAGACUAAGUCUGUAACAUGUUUCUAUGAAUGUUUUUAAUUUUCAUUUGGAUGUUUAAGACUUAAAUAUCUAAAAUUUAGACCCACGAACCCAAAUCUGACCCACGAACCCGCCAACUUGUCAACCCGUAUAAAUAAAUGGGUUGGUGGGUCAUAUAUAGGUUUAAGUUCCAAACCCGCCAACCCGUGACCUGUAUAUUUAAAUGGGUCGUCAUUGGGUUGGCAUAUUUUGACCCGCCAACCCGCCAACCCGCGACACGCCAACUCGAACACAACACGAUUGCCACGCCUAACGAACUUCAAGAAUUAUGUAAAGGUAUAGUUACAAUCUACUAAGCAUGUGAAUUUCAGUCCAAGCCCAACUAGCAUGUAAAUGGACCACAAAGGUCCAAUGACAUGUAAGAAGGUAAUUUAGACCCAAUAGGCAUGUAAGUGGACCACCAAGGCCCAACAAACAUGUAACCUAUAGCUCAGGCCCAAAUUAACAUGUAAAUGGGUCGCAAGGCCCAAUAAACAGGUCAUUGAAAAUAUUGGGCUCAAUAUAUACUUGAAUGGGCCCUUAAGGCCCAUUGGCCAUGUAAUGUGAAUAUUAGGUCCAAUAAAAUUAUUAUCGAUGUAUUUCGUCAAUUCGUUAUUAUUUCAUGGUUUGCUUUAGCUCGAUGUUUACCGAAUUAAAUAUAAAAGUCCCCUUUUUGUAUAAACGACGUUCUUGGCCAAUAAGACUAAAAUUUUGAAUUAAGGCCCAAAGUUUUGUAAAAAUUAACACUUUAGUCCAUAAUGUAUAAAAAUUUGUAAUUUUGCCCCAAAUGUUUAGAAAUUUACGGAUCUAGUCCAAAAAAUUAUAUUUUGACAUUUAUGGCCCAGUUUCGCAGAAUAUUACAUUUUCAGACCCUUGUUUGUAAAAAUGACACUUUUGACCCAGUUUUUAUAAAAGUUACAUUUUUGGUCCAAUUUAGAAAUAUAUGUUAUUUUUACCCCUAAAUUUGGUUUAUUUACAUUUAUGACUAAAACUUUGGUCAAAUAACAUUUUUAAUCCCAAAACUUCCAUUUUUUCGCAAAUUUGGCCCCAAAACCGUGAGGCCCAAAUAUUCAGCCCAUUAGGCUAAAAUUUACGUUUUUGGCCCUUUGGAAAGCAUGUUUAUCAUAAAAAUCCCUUUUUAUACAAACAGGACCUGUUUGGUCCUUUAAAAACCGUAAAUGUCACUUUUUUCCCUUAUCUUUUGUUUUCUUGACAGUUUUGACCCUUAACAAGGUUUUUGCUUUAAAUUUUUGUAUCUUAAACAUAUAAACACUUUUAACUUGAUAAUAUGAUGUAUAAGGUGUUUUAGUGUUGGAUUAAUGUCUAAGUUUAUAACUAUAAUUGGUAAGACUUGACCCGAUCCGGCAUGGUCCAUUUGGGUUGCAUGGCAUCAUGCACUUGGAUAGACUAUAAUGAGAGAAAUAAGACACUUAUGGUUAUUAAUAUAUUAUAAGUUCUAGUAUAUUAAUAAUAAGAAUAAUAAGAUUAUUUAAUUAGUAUUGAUCAAGAAUUAAUCUAGGAUUAAUUAAGUGAUCAAAAGAAGACUAAUUAAAUAUAUGGGUUGAUUGUGUAAAUCAUCCAUACUUAUAUAGUGGGCUAAUGCUCCAUGGAUAAUCAAGUUGGGCUAAAACCCAUAGGAUGGUCCAUGGAUGCUCCAUGGUGUAUUUGAACCCAUGGAUCCAAGGAAAUGGAAAGUCAUGACAAUUAGGGUUUACCCUAAUUGUAACACUAUAUAAAGAUCUUAUUAUUGACCAAAAUCGGCCACUAGAAUCAUUCUAGAGAAGGGCUAGCCGAUUUCAUGUAGUGUAGAUUUCUCUCAAGUUAUUCCAAGUGUAUUUGGUGUUGUGUGAACCAUUUGAGGUGUCACACUUGGGGCACUAGACACUCAAGCUUCAUGAAGACUUUCUACAUCAAAGAAGUAUGUAUUCUAUCUUGUUACAUUCAUUGUUUUGUAUGCUAGAUUAGGAUAAUACCUUGGAAGUUCUUAUUUGCAUGUAUAAUAGAGAAAACAUAGAUCCAAGGUAUUUAGGGUUGCAUGUACACUUAGGAGUGUUAGAAUGCUCAAAACCCAACAGUGGUAUCAGAGCCUAGGCUUGUUUUCUUGUUAUACUUGCAAAAGAAGCUGAAAAAUCGAGUUUUGAUGCUGUCUGCCCAGCAGACUCGCCGAGUCCAUGAAUGGACUCGCCGAGUCCAAGGCAAAAUGCAUCCAACUCGCCGAGUUGGUUCGUGCACUCGACGAGUUGGACCCCCAGACAGCAUAAAUUCGACUUUUUUGGCUGGAAUUGGACUAGGAACAUUACCCUAAGAUGUUUUUGGACUUAUAAACUUGUUUUUGAUGUGGUAAUGUUCAUGCUAAUCCAAUUUCAAAGAUAAUUGUCAAUAGAUUCAUGUUUUGUAUUAGUUUAAGGUUUAGACUAAUUACAUGAAAAAGUUUGAUUUGAAUUAUCUUGUUCUUAUGAGUUGCUUAGAUUAAUAGAAAAGUUGAGUGAAAUAGUUGUUUUCAAUCCAAAUUAAUCUAAGAGUUGAUUCUAAAAUGUGUUUUUGUAACUUGUCCUCAAGUUAUAUGAAAAGUCACAUUUAAGUUUCAUAAAACUCAUAAAAGUUGGCAAAGGUUACAAAAUGAAGAGUCUAGUUCUAAUUAAAUGGUUUUAUGACUCCAUAACUUGUCCUCAAGUUAUGGAGGACCAAGAGUCUCUUCAUUAAAUAAUAAAUAAAAAAAAAAAGUAACCUUAAUUAAUUCCAUAAGUUAUAAAAUAAAGAAAAGUUAAUUCUUUUAUUAGUUUAAAGUCUUCCAUAACUUGUCCUCAAGUUAUGGAACUUGAAGAGUUUUUGGAUUAAAACUACUUUAAACACAUAAGUUAUGGAAUUAAUUAGUUUUGAAUAGUUUCAAAACUUGCCCUCAAGUUUUGGAAUUUGAAAAGUUUUCACUUAUGAAUACUUUAAUUCCAAGUUAGCCCUUAGAAUUUUAAAAGUUAAAAUUCAACCCUUAUACUUUAUAAUAUUAUAAGUUAAUAAUAUAUAUAUGUAUAAGAGUAAAGUCAGUCUUACCGCUAGUACGCCUCAUUCACGAAGCCGGUCUAUAAGGUGGGUAUAAGGUUGUUGCCUAUAAAAUGGCAACUUAAUGGGUGUCCACUCUCACCCACCGCUUGCUUGACUGGUGGAGGGUCGUUAGCCGAACGGGUUUGACAGGACUAGAAUUCUCCCUUCAUUAAAAGUAUUAAUGAUAAUACUAAGUAACUAAACUCUUAAUAAUACCCAAUCUUAGUUACUUAGGAAAAAUGUGAAUAAGGUGCUAAUCCAUGAAAUUACACUUUGCACUUUGUUUAAGUCGGUUAGUGGAGCGUGUGUGGUUAACCGGCACACUAACUCGUAUUUAACAAGGUAGGCAAAGGGUAACUUAAUGUUUAUCAUAGUAUCGAUGGAGCGUGUGUGGUUAACCGGCACAUCGAUUGAGGGGUAAACACUUAAGGGUACCAAGUAAUUUGCAUGGUUACUUCACACCUUGUUUUGUGAUCCUCGGCAUCCCAGUCACAAAACCUGAAGGGCACACUCGAGAUUGAAACAUGCCAUUGAACAGUUCAAUGAAUCUCAAAGAUCUAGGAGUUUCAAAACCAAUUAAAACCUAAUAAUACAUUUCGUUUAUCUUGGUGGAAAUUGGUGAAUCGUCAUUCACCUACCUUCAAAUAUUUUAUAGCUUGGAUUACGGCAUACCUCUUCUAAGUUAUAAAAUAGUUUGUUGGGUCCUAGCCUUAAUAUUUCAUAUUGGGUGUCAUAUUAAGGACUUUAAAUCAACUAUCUUGAAUAUCUCCCAAAAGAUGUCUGGUUUAGACACCUAUGAUCUUCCCAAAUCUCUUGAAACAAGGUUUCCUAAUGAAGAUGAUGUCCCAUGGAUAUCAUACUUCUUCACCUCUUCAAAUUAUUCUCCCUAACCCACAAGUUCUUGAAAAGUUUAAGGUCACUCAGGCCCUAUUGGCAAGGCAAGGUCUAGGUGUGAUCACAUCUUGGAGAUGUAGUCACAUAUUGACAAGCCGGGAGAGUUGGGUGUCAAAGUCUUGAGAAAGUUGGUGGUUCAAUCACUUUCUAAGUCACAUAGUGAGUUCCUUUGGGACACCUAUGAAACAGACUAUGACAAGACCCUUAAUGAUCUUAUCUAUUUGAUAAGAUCAACUUCCUAAAACUUUAUGGACAUUGACAAUGAUAACAUUGGAUAUCUAGUAAAGCUCUCUCUUCCCAGUGGAAAGGGAUCAGCCAUAGUCAACUGGGUUGACCAAAAUGGUAAAGAGAAAAGCUAAGUCUGUGAUAGUCCCGUGUACCAUUAUCAAAGGGUCCAUAUGUUUAUAUUGCCAAAGGAAGGGGGAUUGGUUGCGAAGCUGCCAAAUUUACCUAAAGAUGUUAAAGUCAAUAAGUUUGACUCUACUUCAUGUAAAGUCCACUAUCUAACUCUGUUAAGUUUCUAUUCUGAGAUUCCUGAUACAUGAUGUGACUGGGUCACAUGGUGAUGUUUUAAGAAUCGGAGCAUAUCCUCGAGUGUCUGGAUGGUGCACUCACUCUGACCAUCCGUCUGUGGGUGGUAGGCAGUGCUCAUAUCUAGCUGUGUUCCCAUUGCCUUCUGAAGAUAUUGCCAGAAACUUGAAGUGAAUCUGCUAUAUCGAUUUGAGAUAAUAGAUAUUGGCACUCCAUGGAGUCUCACAACCUCCUUGAUGUAGAUUCGGGUCAGCUUUUCCAUCUUGUAAGAUUCUUUUAUUGGUAGGAAAUGAGCGGAUUUUGUUAAUCUAUCCACGAUUACCCAAAUAGCAUCCAAUCCGUCUGCUAUCUUUGGCAAUUUUGUCACAAAGUCCAUGGUAAUCCUCUCCGAUUUCCACUUGGGUAUCACUGGUUGUUGCAGUAGUCCCGAGGGCUUUUGGUAUUCCACUUUCACUUUGGCACAAGUAAAACACUUGCCCACGAAAGUGGCUAUCUCUGCCUUCAUAUUAGGCCACCAAUAUUGUUGCUUGAUAUCCAAAUACACCUUAUCUGACGCCGGAUGAAUAGAAUAUCGCGUCUUGUGGGCUUCAUGCAUGACUACUUCUUUGAAUCCCUUAAAUUUGGGAACCCAGAUUCUAUUCAUGAAGUAGUGAGUUCCAUCGUCUUUAACUUCGAGCACCUUCUCCAUUCCACGUAGUGAGUCACUAGCGACAUUCUCUGGCUUCAAUGGUUCCAAUUGGUCUUCCUUGAUCUGUGAGGCUAGAUGAGAUUGGAUGGUGAUUGAUAGAGUUUUCACACGACGACUUGAAUACUCCUUUUGGAUCAAGGCAUCGGCUACCACGUUAGCCUUGCCUGGAUGAUAUUUGAUCUCACACUCAUAAUCAUUUAACAGCUCAACCCAUCUCCACUGCCUCAUGUUUAGUUCCUUUUGAUUUAGAAUGUGCUGGAGGCUCUUGUGGUCUGUAAAGAUGGUGCACUUGGUACCAUAUAGGUAGUGCCUCCAAAUUUUCAAGGAGAAGACCACCUCCCCCAAUUCGAGAUGUUGAGUAGUAUAAUUUACUUCAUGUGUUUUCAAUUUUCUAGAUGCAUAUGCAAUUACCUUCCCGCGUUGCAUAAGGACACAACCUAAACCAUGAUUCGAAGCAUCAUAGUAAAUUAUGAAGUCUUUAAUUCCCUUCGGUAAGGAUAACAAUGGAGCACUACAGAGGGCUUGCUUCAAGGUUUGGAAGGCGAUCUCUUGCUUCUCAGUCCAGUUGAAAGGUACGCCUUUCUGUGUCAAUGUGGUGAGGGGUUUGGCUAUCUUAGAAAAGUUCUGAAUGAAUCUUCGGUAGUAGCCCACAAGACCCAAAAAUUGGCGAAUUUAUGUUGGCGUUGUUGGAAUUUCCCAGUUUUUGAUUGCUUUGAUCUUUGAAAGAUCCAUGUGUAUUCCUUCCUAACUAACUACAUGGCUUGGAAAGUUUACACUGCGGAGCCAGAACUCACACUUGGAGAGUUUCGUAUACAACUUUUCAGCUCGAAGGGUCUUCAAGAUCUGUUGGAGAUGUUGACUAUGCUCUUCUUUGCUUCGAGAGUAUAUGAGGAUAUCAUCGAUGAAAACGAUCAGGAAUUUGUCAAGGAAUGGGCGGAAGACUCGAUUCAUGAGGUCCAUAAAUGCAGUGGGGGCAUUUGUUAGACCGAAGGGCAUCACGACGAAUUCGUAAUAACCGUAACGGGUUUGGAAAGCAGACUUAGGAAUGUCCUCAUCUCGGACCUUGAGUUGAUGAUAACUGGAUCUUAGAUCUAUCUUUGAAAAGUAACUAGCCCCUUGAAGCUGGUCAAAUAGAUCAUCGAUUCGUGGAAGUGGAUACCGGUUUUUGAUGGUGAGCUUAUUUAGUUCCCUAUAAUCAAUGCACAUCCUGAAGGAUUCGUCUUUCUUUUUAACGAAAAGAAUCGGAGCUCCCCAUGGAGAGAAGCUUGGUCUUAUGAAUCCUUUAUUCAAGAGUUCACUUAGUUGGCUUGACAAUUCAUGCAUUUCAGCGGGAGCCAACCUAUAGGGUGAUUUGGCUAUUGAAGUGGCUCUAGGCACUAGGUCGAUUCAGAAUUCGAUUUGUCGUUCUGGGGGUAUUCCUGGAAGCUCUUCUAGAAACACAUCCGGGAAGUCACAUGCCACUGGGAUGUUUUGAAUGUUCGCUUCCUCUUUGGUAUUAUCCACCACAUGAGCAAGGAAUGUGUAGUUCUUCUUUUGUAGACACUUUUGUGCCUUGAUACACGAGAUAAGGUAAAGGUUUGCACCGGGUUUAUCUCCGUAGAUUAUUAGGGUUUCGUGAUUAGAAAGAUGAAAGUGAAUGACCUUCUCGUGACACAUAAUAUCGGCAUGAUGGGGGCUUAACCAAUCCAUGCCGAUGAUGACAUCAAAACUCCUAAUAUUUACUGGCAUCAAAUUUAUUUGGAAAAAGUGGUUGUUUAGUGUUAACGUACAUCCUAUAUAGAUAUCUUUGGUUGUUUCAGUGUUCCCAUUAUCCAUUUCCACCGUGAAGGAUUCGUUGAGCUUCUGGGGUUGUUGAUUUAGAAAGUAUUUGAAUUUAUUACUAACGAAACUUCGCUCCGCCCCACUAUCAAAUAAGAUGCAUGCAUACGAGUUGUUAAGUAGGAACGUACCGAUGAUAACAGCUGGGUCCUACACUGCUUCAUCCUAACCCAUUGUCAACACUCUCCCUGCUGCUCCUGCCCCUUGAUUGUUUGCGUUGGGGAAAUUUCUCCUGAAAUUCCCGGUUUUCCCACAUACGUAACAGGUAUAAUUGGCCCCAACAUUGGUGUUGUUGUUAUUGUUGUUGUUGUUGGUGUUGUUGUUGUUGUUGUUUUUUGGCAUCUGGUUUUGUUGAAGCUGAGUCCUGCAAUACUUUGUUGUAUGGCGUUUCUGGUUGAACCUUGCGCAAAUCAUCUCUCUGUAUUCCCCAUGAUGGUGGAAGUUGCAUUUGUUACACUUGGCGAGAUUUCCUGAAUACUGCUUUGGAGCAUUUGGCGUGGAUGAGGCUGGAGCAUGGGGUGUGGUGGUAGCUUGAGUUACAGCAUGGACAGUCACAGUUUGUUGCUUCUUAGAUGAUUCUGAGUUAUGUUUUCCAUUUCUCUUGUUGUUUAUCCCUUUCUUUCUCUCUUCUUCCUUCUUAACCUCCGCUUCCACUGUUUUGGCACGCUUCUUAUUUCCAUGAUCAUACGAUUUCUUGUCCAGUCUCUUGGCGCUAUCAAACAUCUCAGGGUUUUGCUGCAAUAACAUUCCCUUAGAUAGGUGCAGUCAAUCCCUAGAUAAACCUAUCAAUCUUUUUCCCUUCUAAGGUGAUCAUUCCGGGACACAAAAGAGAUAGCUCACUAAACCUAGAUAUGUAUGCGGUUAUAUUGGAGUUUUGAACUGUGAGGUUCCACAACUCUUGUUCCAUCUUCUGAAUUUCACCUCCAAGACAGUAUUCUGCCAACAUCAUUUCCUUAAGCUCUUCCCAGAGCAUCGCGUUCGCUACCGGGAGUGUCAUGGCCUCUACAUGCCCAUUCCACCAGGAGAUGGCUUGAUCAAUGAAUUUGCAGGUUGCGAACAUGACCUUACACUCAUCUGGGCACCCACAGAUUUCAAAAAUGGAUUCUACUUUCUCGAUCCAUCGCUUCAGGGCUAUUACGCCUCCUGUCCCAUUAAAGGUUCGAGGUUUGGCAUUGGUGAAGUCCUUGUAGGUGCAUGUUCGUGUGGCUCCAUGGAUUGUUCCUUGAUUUGUGCUUCCGUUUCCCUGUCGGUUGCCUUCUCUAUUGUUUCCAUUGCGAAUCUGCACAAGUGUUGUAGUGACCGCAACAGACAAUGUUGCCUGGAAUGCAACCGAGAUUAUUUUCGGCGGGUUUGGUGUUGCGUUGUUUCCACGAUUGGGCCUUUGAGGCAUCUUUCUGUCAUGGAACGGAAAGAUGUAGAGUGACUAUUGUUUUGCGAGUUUGGAAUCCCCUAGGCUAGGUGUAUCGAGUGUGUAUUUAAGUAAUUUCAUACAUUAACAUAAAAUAGGGAAGUAAAACACAUAGCAGAUGACAACAUCAUGAUAAAACGUAAAGCAUUUUCAUUAAUACUAAUUGUUUUGAUACAUGAACAUUUGCCAGAAGGCAUACAGUACAUAGGGAAAUAUAAAAUAUGGCAGCAUUACAACCCUAUGAGCAGUGUGAUCACUUAAACAUAGAGUCGAUAGUACAUAGCAUAGUACACAUAAGGGAAACCUAAUAGUAUUAAGAGAUACUACUGGUCCUGAUCAUACUGAGAAGUGCCUAAUGGUGGUGGUGAAAUCAUAUCCCAAAAUGUUAUGCUAAUAACUGAUCCAUCUCGGUCAUCUCUCCGAUGACCUCAUCUUUUUCCUACUCAGUUUGCAUGGCUCGUGCCUCCAUAGCAAAUAGUUGUUGUCGAAGUGUGGCAACCUCCGCUUCCAGAGACCGAUCCUCAUCAACGGGGUUCCCUAGUGGACCAGGGUGGUCCUGGUGUGCCUCAUUGGUAGGUGGUUCGACGGGGGCUUCAUUUUUGUCCCCAUCCUCCUCCAUGUCUUCGUCAGUCCUAUCAAACUCAUAGUCUGUAUUAGUGUACUCGUCGGGCCCAAUGGUAGGGGCUCCUCCUUGUUCCUCCUCGGGAUUCUCCUCAAGCAUCCCAUGUGCCACUAGGGAUUGAUAAAAAUGGACUCCUUGCUGAGCGUCGUCCAUGGUGACUGCAUGAGGGCGUAUGAAUAAGUCAUGUUUUGAUUAUUCCUAUAGUAUAUUUUACUUAUUUAGGUUUGGUUUCCCUAGAGUUGUUGGAGAGUGAGGUAGGCUUUUGGAUUCAUUUCCCGCUAUGAUUACUCCCAAACACAAUUUGGUCAUAUUCUGAAUAAAUAUAGUUGAUCAGGCUAUAUUUAUCCCUAAUAGGACUACAUAACUGCCCAUGUUUAAUUAUAAUGUUCAAUAUCCUCCAAAAGCUUUUAUUAAAUAUUGUUAGGUUAUUAUCCUAAUAUGCGCAUAUAAGUAUGAAAUUUUUGUUUUGUUCACAGUUAUUUAGUCCCAUUGUGUUUAUAGUUGCAUAUCAUGUAUGGUUAGAUAUGCUAGUUCACUAUAAACAUUGCUUUGAUACCAACCUGUCACACCCCCGACCCAGACGGUGGAAACGUCUAGGGGCUCCUGUGACUAACAAUUGAAUUAUCAUCACAAUGGAUAUACAUGAAACAUAACACAUUCAUCACUAACAUUACAUAUUACAACCAGCAUUGUUCACAUCAAGUACAUUGUUAAAGAUUACAUAAAUUCAAAGUAUUAAUAGUAAGAUAGGUGAUGUGACACAAAAUAAAUCCAUACACACUUGAAAAUCUUCCUGCUUAACAAUUACCUGAGAAUACAAGUUAUUUUGAAAAAUGGUCAACAUAUAUAAUGUUGGUGAGUUCAUAAGUAUGUUUGAAUAAAAGUCUUUGCAUCUUUUGUAAAAACCCAGAAAAUCCGAUAUUUUCUGUAAAAUGUCUGAAAAUGAUGUGAAAAUCAAGUAUAAAUUCAUGUGUGAAUUUCAUAGCAGUAACAUAUAUGAUUUCAGUUUAAAUUUCUUUGUAUUGUAAGUAAGUGAUAAUUGAAUAAUAGUCUUUACCCAGAAAAUCCGAUAUUUCCUGAUUUAUAAUAAUGUCAAGGUUCUUGUAUCAUUAAUUAAGUUGUUUCGUAUUGACAAAAUCGAAGGGUUAAUCUUCGAAAUGUUAAAUUGGUAUUGGAUCUCUAUAUGAGUUGUUAUAACCAUGCAUGAUAAUGACUAGGUUGGCUGUCUUGGCAUUUUCCAAACGCCUGUAUUUGCUCAAGGUUUUGUCACCCUAGACUGGCCUAGUCUAGUUGUAGCCAACAACUAAGGCGUGGGGGGUCACCCCAUAUAGAUCUAUACACAAACUCCCGCUCUCCCUCCAGGAAACUCUGGUUAUAACUACAGACUACGAUUGUACACUCAGAGGUGUCAACCGACAUGUCUCACUAGAUUCUCAACUUUUCAUACCAUGUUUAAUGUUUACGUGAAUGUUGUAUGUUUUCAAAUCCAAAGGUAUAUAUAUAAGUAUACGAACUUUAGGGCUGGCAAUUGUUGACACGAUACGCGACACGACAUGAAAUAAAUGGGUUUGGGUUGAGUUUUUCAACCCGCCAACCCGCUAACCCGUCAACCCACCAACCCGUUUAUUAAACGGGUCAUAUAUGGGUUUCUCAAAAAAUAAACGGGUUGACCCGCCAANUGUAAGUGGACCACCAAGGCCCAACAAACAUGUAACCUAUAGCUCAGGCCCAAAUUAACAUGUAAAUGGGUCGCAAGGCCCAAUAAACAGGUCAUGGAAAAUAUUGGGCUCAAUAUAUACUUGAAUGGGCCCUUAAGGCCCAUUGGCCAUGUAAUGUGAAUAUUAGGUCCAAUAAAAUUGCUAUCAAUGUAUUUCGUCAAUUCGUUAUUAUUUUGUGGUUUGCUUUAGCUCGAUGUUUACCGAAUUAAAUAUAAAAGUCCUCUUUUUGUAUAAACGACGUUCUUGGCCAAGAAGCCUAAAAUUUUGAAUUAAGGCCCAAAGUUUUGUAAAAAUUAACACUUUAGUCCAUAAUUUAUAAAAAUUUGUAAUUUCGCCCCAAAUGUUUAGAAAUUUACGGAUCUAGUCCAAAAAAUUAUAUUUUGAUAUUUAUGGCCCAGUUUCGUAGAAUAUUACACUUUCAGACUCUUGUUUGUAAAAAUGACACUUUUGACCCAAUUUUUAUAAAAGUUACAUUUUUGGUCCAAUUUAGAAAUAUAUGUUAUUUUUUCCCCUAAAUAUGGUUUAUUUACAUUUAUGACUCAAACUUUGGUCAAAUAACAUUUUUAAUCCCAAAACUUCCAUUUUUUUGCAAAUUUGGGCCCAAAACCGUGAGGCCCAAAUAUUCAGCCCAUUAAGCUAAAACUUACGUUUUUGGCCCUUUGGAAAGCAUGUUUAUCAUAAAAAUCCCUUUAUAUACAAGUAGAACCUGUUUGGUCCUUUAAAAACCACUUUUUGCCCUUAUCUUUUGUUUUCUUGACAAUUUUGACUCUUAACAACGUUUUUGCUUUAAAUUUUUGUAUCUUAAACAUAUAAACACUUUUAACUUGAUAAUAUGAUGUAUAAGGUGUCUUAGUUCAUGGGUUUUUUACUUAAUGUUGCUUAAGAUGUCGAGACAUGCUAAGAUCUAACAUAUUUUUUACAAAAUAGACUAAGAAAUCACACACGACAUGCAUAUAACACAUAGAUCUACACAUUUUACUUGUAUUCUCCCCCAAAACUAAUAUGAAAACCAAAAACAAGGGGGUAAGAACUCACCUUUGCUUCGAUGUUUCGGUUUUGAAGAAGAAAUGGAAGAAGUUGAUGUGAUUUUUUGCUCUAGCAAGCUCCUUGAGUAGAUUUCGAGCUUAAGAAGUUUCCAAGAGUCUGACCAUGGAAUAAAGCUAUGUAACAAGGAAUUUUUUGAUGUUAAAAUAAAAGGAGAUGUUUGUGUUUGAUAACAACUUACCAAAGAUUGAAAAUGCUUGAUGAAGAUCCUUAAAACUCAAGCAAAAUUUUGAGAUCCUUGGAGAAAGGAGGAUGAUCUUUGAGAGUGUUUGGAGAGGAUUUGAAAGAGUGUGUGUGUGUGUGUGUGUGUGGUUUGCCUCUCGGCCGUGAGUAGAAGAAGAAGGGGGAAAGAGAAGAUGUGAUGGAUACUUAGGAGUAUAAGCUUUGUAUUUGCUUAAUGGGUAAUUAGCUUGGAGAACCACCAUGUAAUUAUCAUGUGUCAAUGCAUGGUAAUUCUCUUAUUUUCCUUUUUUUACAUGUAUAUGAAUGUACAUAUCUAAUGGGCCGAGAAAAAGAAAGAAUGGAGGGGCUUUGGCCUCUUUUUGAUUUGGUUCGAGUUUAUGAGGCCCAUAGAAAGAGGCUUUCGGCCCAUUGGGCCUUUAGGUGUGUUCACGGCCCAUUUCGAAAGAAGAAAGGGUGUUUAUGGCCCAUUACGGCUAAUUAAUUCAUUAAUGGCCUAAUAAGGCCCAUUAAGGAUAAACCAAUUUAUUUUGGACCCAAAAUGGCCCAAAAUGCUAAGUUUCACGGAAGUGGGUCCAAUUAGUGCCCAUUUAAGGGUCCUAAGCCCAAAAUAGUUAAAUUGGAACCUCAUUGGUCCAUUAGGCCCAAUAAGGAAAUCCUAGUCCAAUAUGGACUUAAAUCGGGAUUCUUAGGGUUUUCAAACUCUUUGUUGAACAUGAGAGGUGAAUUUAAAUGAGCAUUGCGUGAUAUUUACUUAAAGUAUAUGUUUUACACUAGUUGAAUGAUUACACGAGAAUAGAGUUUUCUAGCAAAAAUGCUAGUUGUGACAUUAAUGAAAUCGUGAUUAUUUAUAGUAGGAGCAACAUUCCUCAUAGCAACCACACUUGAUUUACCAACUUCACCUAAAGUCAUCUGCAUAGGCAAGGUGCUUAAGUUUACAAACAAGGUAAAAUCAGUUGAUCGAGUUUUGUUCACGACAUCUAUCUCAUUAACAACACUGAUACUUGGAUGAUCCUAAAGUUUUGAUGAUGAACCUCUUCCACAAAUAUCCGUUUAUUGUUUUGAGUAUGAUCUUUGAGAUAAAACACUUGUUUAGCUUGUGUGGAUAAGAUGUAUUAUUGAUCAUCAUACCUUCUUUUAUUGACAUACCAUCCAUGACUGGUAUCUAUAACGACCAUAUUAUUUAUAGUCUUUAAACAUCCAUUACGUAAUGACACAUUGAACCAUUUACCACGACAGAGUAAAAUUGAGUUACCAUAUAAAUAAUGCGAAUCUAGGAUCUCCUCUAAUUGUCCAUAGAAUGGUCUACCAUCUUCUUGUUGGAUUAGUGUCUAAUUCCAUAACUAUAUUUGGUAUGUACUUGACCCAAUUGGCAUGGUCCAUUUGGGUUGCAUGACAUCAUGCAUUUGGAUAGACUAAAAUGAGAGAAUAACACUUAAGGUUUAUUAAUAUAUUAUAAGUUCUAAUAUAUUAAUAAGAUUAUUUAAUUAGUAUUGAUCAAGAAUUAAUUUGGAACUAAUUAAGUGAUCAAAUGGAGACUAAUUAAAUAUAUGGGUUGAUUGUGUAAAUCAUCCAUACUUGUAUAGUGGGCUAAUGCCCCAUGGAUUAUCAAGUUGGGCUAAAACCCAUAGGAUGCUCCAUGGUGUGUUUGUACCCAUGGAUCAUGGAAAUGAAAAGCCAUGAAAAUUAGGGUUUACAUGGUGUAACCCUAAUUGUGACACACUAUAUAAGUAUCUUAUUCUUCCCAAAAAAAGAGCUAUAAAGGAAUGGUGAGGGCUAGCCGAUUUCAUGAAGUGUCUAAUUUCUCUCAAGUUAUUCUAAGUGUAUUUGGUGUUGUGUGAACCAUCUGAGGUGUCACACUUGGGGAACUAGGCUCUUAAGCUCCGUGGAAUCAAGCUACACCAAAAGGAAUGUCUUCUAACUUGUAUUAUUCCUCAUGAAUCAAUAUUUUGUAUGCUAGUUAGGAUAAUACCUUGGAAUAUUAAUAUUUGCAUGUAUAAUAGAGAAAACAUAGAUCCAAGAUAUUUAGGGUUGCAUGUACACAUAGGAGUGUUAGAAUGCUCAAAACCAUUCACUUCUCCAAAUUUAACAACACCACUAUUUUUAGUAGUGUGUCAGAGAUCACGAAUACUCACAACAAAACGAACACCGACAAUAUGUAUUAUGUUGGUCAUAGACAAUUCUUGAAUAUGAACCAUAGAUGGAGGGAGAGUCUAUUGUUUGAUGGUCCACCCGAUACAAGACCGUAUCCUAGACGAUUUAGUAAUUUAACUAUAUUAAAGUAAUGUAACGUCUGUGUUUCUGGGCUUGCCAUUUUUAGCAAUGUANNNNNNNNNNNNNNNNNNNNNNNNNNNNNNNNNNNNNNNNNNNNNNNNNNNNNNNNNNNNNNNNNNNNNNNNNNNNNNNNNNNNNNNNNNNNNNNNNNNNGACGAAGGUGGACCGGUAUGCGAAGGGACUCCCAUGGGAGUAUGACGUGCCAGUACGUCAGGCACAUACUUUAGAGGCAGCUAUCUGGGCUACCAAGUCUGUUGAGAACAUGAUAAAGGGGAGAACCACCAACAAGGUUGAGGUUGGUGAGAAGAGGAAGUUUGAGGGAACAUCUGGUUCCGGUAAGAAAAGCAAAUUUUCGAAAUCUGAUUCGAAAAGGUUUGGUGGGGGUAAAGGAGGGGAAGCGAAGUGGUGUGAAAAGUGUAAGAAAAAGCAUUUCGGGAAAUGUAGCGAGGAUGUAACUUGCUACAAGUGUGGAAAGGUUGGACAUUUUGCCAAUGAAUGUCCGAACAACAAAAGGAUGUGUUUUGGUUGUAAUGAAGAGGGGCAUAUUUUGAAAGACUGUCCGAAGAAGAAGGAGGCAGCUAAGCCCAACAUUCCACCAAAGCCGAAGGCGAGAGCCUUCCAGAUGACACUUGAGGCUGCGAAAGAUGAAGCUGAUGUCGCUUCAGGUACCUUUCUCGUAAACGAAUUACCUGCUCAUAUAUUGUUUGAUUCUGGAGCCAACUACUCCUUUAUUUCGCAUGAGUUUGGUAGAAAGCUAGCUUUGCCUAUUGAUAGACUAGAUGAUGCUUUAUUAGUCGAAGUAGCUAGUGGCAAGUUUGUACCUGUUAGUCAUCGUAUGAAAAGCAUCUUAAUUGAUCUGAAUGGGAAUAAGUUUCACGAGGAAUUAUUGCCUAUCGAACUAAAUGGUUUCGACAUCGUGUUGGGAAUGGAUUGGCUUAGCGCCAAUGAUGCCGAAAUUUUGUGCAAGAAGAAGAUAGUUAAAGUAAACCCGCCUGGGAAAGAUUCGUUUAUGGUGUAUGGGGACAAACGCAGAGUGAAUUCUGGAAUCAUUUCUCUAAUGAAAGCCAGAAAGUGUUUGACCAAGGGAUGUACAUCAUAUUUAGCAUUCGUGAUUGAUGCUAAGAAGGAAAAGAAGGUGAUGCAGAGUAUUCCAGUGGUGUGUGAUUAUCCGGAAGUAUUUCCCGAGGAUCUUCCUGGAUUACCACCUGAUAGACAAGUGGAGUUCAGAAUAGACUUGUUACCAGGAACCACGCCAAUAGCAAAAGCACCUUAUCGAUUAGCACCGACGGAGAUGAAGGAGCUGAUGAUGCAACUUCAGGAGUUAUUGGACAAAGGUUUCAUUAGACCUAGUUCAUCGCCCUGGGGAGCUCCGGUGUUAUUUGUAAAGAAGAAAGAUGGAAGUAUGAGAAUGUGCAUCGAUUACAGAGAGCUGAACAAGGCAACAAUAAAGAAUAGAUAUCCGUUGCCGAGGAUUGAUGACCUGUUUGAUCAAUUGCAAGGUUCGAGCUAUUUCUCGAAGAUCGAUCUUAGGUCAGGAUAUCAUCAGCUGAAAGUAAGAGAGCAAGAUAUCGAGAAGACUGCAUUCAGAACUAGAUAUGGACACUACGAGUUCUUGGUUAUGUCGUUUGGACUAACCAAUGCUCCAGCAGCGUUCAUGGAUUUGAUGAAUAGGGUUUGUAAUCCUUUCCUUGAUAAAUCCGUGAUAGUGUUCAUAGACGACAUUCUGAUCUACUCGAAAAGCCAGGAGGAGCAUGGCAGACACUUGCGAGAAGUGUUAGAAGUUUUGAAGAAGGAGAAGCUUUAUGCGAAGUUCUCCAAAUGUGAUUUUUGGAUUCGUGAGGUCCAAUUCUUGGGUCACGUGGUCAACCAAGAAGGGAUAAUGGUUGAUCCAGCGAAGAUCGAAGCUGUGACGAAGUGGGAACAACCGAAAAGUCCCACGGAGAUUCGAAGCUUUUUAGGAUUAGCCGGAUAUUACCGAAGGUUUAUCCAAGGCUUUUCUUCGAUUGCUACUCCAUUAACAGCUUUGACCCACAAAGGAGCUACUUAUGCUUGGAGUGAGAAGCAUAAAGAAGCAUUCGAGAAGUUAAAGAAGAAGCUAUGCGAGGCACCGAUACUUUCUCUACCCGAUGGAGUUGAAGACUUCGCUGUUUAUAGCGAUGCGUCUGGUGUUGGAUUGGGUUGUGUUUUGACCCAAAGAGAAAAGGUGAUAGCAUAUGCGUCUCGACAGCUGAAAGAGCAUGAAAAGAAUUACCCGACUCAUGAUUUGGAGUUGGCAGCGGUAGUUUUCGCUCUGAAAAUAUGGAGGCAUUACCUCUAUGGCACGAAGUGCAAACUUUUCACUGAUCAUAAGAGUCUCCAAUACCUCUUUAAUCAGAAAGAAUUGAAUAUGAGGCAACGACGCUGGCUAGAAUUACUUAAAGACUACGACUGCGAGAUACUUUACCACCCCGGUAAAGCUAAUGUUGUUGCUGAUGCUCUCAGUCGGAAAGUCAAUCUUGAAAGGAAGAGGCCAAGAGCGUUGAGAAUUGAAGUUGUCUCGACUAUUGUGGAAAGUAUAAAGAAAGCUCAAGAGGAAGCUUCUGAGAAAAAUGACCGAAAGGAGGAACGUUUGGGUAAAACGUUGGUGUUUGGUACUAACGGUCAUGGACUGAAGGUAUUCCAAGAUCGUAUUUGGGUACCUAAGUCAGGAGGAAUUAGGGAUCUUCUGAUGGAAGAAGCUCACAAAACCAUGUACUCAAUUCAUCCGGGUAGCACUAAAAUGUAUAGGGACCUGAAACCCUACUACUGGUGGCCGACGAUGAAGCUUGAUGUUGCAAAGUAUGUGGCCGAGUGUGUGACUUGUGCGAGAGUCAAGACACAACAUCAGAAACCUUACGGGAGUUUAGAACCAUUGCCUGUGCCUAUGGGUAAGUGGGAAGACAUUGCUAUGGAUUUUGUCACUAAACUGCCCAGAACAAAGAAUGGUCACGACAUGAUUUGGGUGGUCGUUGAUCGAUUCACUAAGAGUGCGCAUUUCAUAGCGGCCAGGGAGAAAUGGUCUAUGGAAAAGCUUGCGAAUUCUUACGUGAAGGAAAUUGUGAGGCUUCACGGUGUUCCGUUAACGAUUGUAUCGGAUCGUGAUAGCCGUUUCACCUCAAGGUUUUGGAAAAGUCUACAAGAGGAAAUGGGUACCAAGUUAUGUUUAAGCACAGCUUACCAUCCGCAGACUGAUGGUCAGAGUGAAAGAACAAUACAAACACUUGAAGAUAUGCUGAGAGCAUGUACCUUGGAAUUCCUAGGUAAUUGGGAUGAACAUUUACCGUUGGUAGAAUUUUCCUAUAAUAAUAGUUUUCACUCGAGCAUUAAGAUGGCACCUUAUCAAGCUUUGUAUGGACAGAAGUGUCGUACGCCGUCUUGUUGGCUUGAGGCUGGGGAAAAGCAGUUUAUGGGACCGGAGAUGGUUCAUCAAACUGCUGAAAAGUUGAAAAUAAUUAGGGAAAGAAUGUUAGCAGCUCAAGAUCGUCAAAAGAGCUAUGCUGACAAGAAGCGAAGACCGAUGACUUUUGAGGUUGGAGAUUCGGUUUUGCUUAAAGUCUCGCCGUGGAAGGGACUUAUAAGAUUUGGUAAAAGGGGAAAGUUGAGUCCAAGGUUUAUUGGACCGUUUAAAGUCCUUCAGAGGAUUGGGAAUCAAGCUUACAAGCUCGAAUUACCCGAAGAACUGAAUGGAAUUCACAACACCUUUCAUGUGUGUUAUUUGAGGAAGUUCACGGGAGAAGUUCCCGAUAUAAUUCCAAUUUCUGAAUUGAGAAUUGAUGAGAACAAAAGGUUGAUUGAAGAACCAGAGGCAAUUGUUGACCGAAAGACUAAGAAGUUGCGACGCAAAAUGGUUGGGUUAGUGCUUGUCCGAUGGAAACACACGAAUGGGCCGAAUCUCACCUGGGAGACGGAGAGUGACAUGUUGAGUCGCUAUCCGCAUUUGUUUGUUGAUGUGUGAUUCCGGGGACGGAAUCAUUCUAAGGUGGAGAGAAUUGUAACGCCUGUGUUUCCGGGCUUGCCAUUUUUAGCAAUGUAAUAGUCUAGGUUAACCUUUGUAACCCGUUUUGAAAUAAUAAGAUUGUAUUAUUUGAGUAUUAUGUGUUUUGUGCUUAAUUGCUUAAUUAUGUGGUUUGAUUAAUUAAGAAUAAAAAUAAGCGUCAAAAUUUAAGUGUAAAAUAAACUUAAUAUCUUUGGUUAAUGUUGUAGUAGUUGAAACGAGGUUUCCGAAUAUAUAUAGAACGCCCAAAUCUGACUUCGUAUGAGGAAGUUAUGAUUUAUCGAAGUUCCGGCUUAGCGAUAUACAGCCUGUUUUACUCGAUUUGAGAUCGAGCGGUUGUUAGCCGAAGCAAUCUAAAUGAGAAUCGAAGAUCUCAUUGUUGGUAUUGAAACGAUAAAAAGUUAGGCGAGAACGGACGUCAAACGAAGAAGUUAUGAAUUUAUAACGAAAGUUUCUGUCCCGGCCUAUUAAAAAUAAUUAAUAAAAAUAAAGUCAAAAUUAGCCGACGGAGUCUAAACGAAAGUCGUAGAGCGUGGUCUCACCUUCGCGUGGAUAUAAAGAACGUCGAAAACGGAGUUCGUAUGAAGAAGUUAUGAAUUUCCGAAGUUUAUUAAUCAUUUUGUAUUUAUUUUUAAUUCAAAAUUCGGAAGCAUUAUCCGAAGGAGUCACCGAUCUGAUCCGAGGUACGCCCCGCGUACUCGAGUACGCCCCGCGUACUCCGAGGGAUGUCGACACUCGCACUCGAGCACUUCGGAUACGUAAGCAAUGACGUUUUGGGCAGUACGCCCCGCGUAACGCAGUACGCCCCGCGUACUCCGAGGCUCCAGCCUCCUAUAAAUAGGAUGCGAGGGUUCCGGGUAUUUUUGCCAAUUCCCUCUCGUUUUCGUGUCGAAGCUCUGUGCAAAAACCCCCGAAGCUACCCCGAAGUCCCGGUAUCAUACUCUAGCCCCGAGGCAAGUCCCGAGAUCCUGAAGAUCCCGAAAAGUGCGGUUCCCGAGUCGAAGCUCUGCCCGCGAGAAGUUCGAUUUUCGAGAAGAUCUUCCAGAUCUGCUGUGGAUUACUACUUCUAUAAGCCGUAGUGCUGUCCGAUCAUCUUCUGAUCAAGUGAGUGUGUAGUUAUUUCUUCUAAUACAAUAAUACGAAGUAUUUUAUAUAAAAAUACGUGCUAUGUGUAUAUAUUUUGUUGUUAUAUAUGUGAAUGUAUACCCACUCUCUUCUAUCUUAUAGAUCUGAUUAUUUCUCAAUGAAAUACGUGUUAUGUGUGUGUGCCUCAUCUGUUAUGUGAAAAAUGUUUUGAUUGAGCAUGCUAUACAGGUUUUGAAACUACGUAUAAAAAUGUAUAUUUUAUCUACUAAUAUGUUGGGUAGAAUAUGGGUAGAUAGUUGGUGUGUAAUAAACAGAUGAGAGGCCUCGAUGUUGUUUUGAUCCAGUCAUCUAGCGGAAUUUAGAUGACGACCACGGACUUUUCUAGACAGUCCAGUGGAACGCUAGCAGGCUCAUAACCUGUAGGUGUUAAUGAACUUGGGUGUUCAUUCGCUGUAUUCCAUCCCCCCCAUGGUUGCCUUAUUUGACUUAUAUUGCUGAGGAACCCCCGAAGCAUGUGUAGUCGCCCCGAUGAAAUAUUCUUUGACUAGGUCCCUUGUGUUAGUUAUUUUAGGGACAUAAAGUGAGAAUAACGGGAAUGGGUAACUGGGUUAUUGUUGGAUGAUAAUAAUUAAUUAAAUUAUUUAUUGUGGGUUGAAAACCCUAUAUGCUCACCAGGCUCCCAAGCCUGACCCACUCAGUUGAUUUAUUUUACAGGAAGUGGCGCAAGAGCUUAAGAUGGGCGAACAUCAAGUUGUUUUGUUUACAAGUCUGUAUAUGUAUAUAUUUGUUGAAAGACUUGUAAUGCUAUCGUUUAUGCUUUAUGAUCUGUAUCGGAACAUGACAUCCCGACUUUUGAUUAUGAAAUGAAAUCAUAUUUCUUUAUGAAAUGUUUUGAUAAAUAUCUAUUUUAUCAUGUUUUGUUUUUGGGAACAAAUUCCGCAUCUCUUUUAAAAAUUAAAAGGAUUUACUCUGAAAAUUAUUUUAAAAAGCAUAAAUGAAAUCGGUCUUUUCUGGCCGAGAUUUUGGGGAUGUCACAAGUAAGUAGCUCGUCUCUCUGAUAAUAUGUAUUAUGUUGGUCAUAGAUGAUUCUUGAAUAUGAACCAUAGCUAGAGGGAUAGCCUAUUGUUUGAUAGUCCACCUAACACAAGACCGCGUCUUAGACAAUUCAGUAAUGUAACUAUAUUAAAGUAAGUAGCUCGUCUCUCUGAUAAUAUUCCAGGGGAAUAUCCUAAUCAUGGGGCUAAAAAAGAAAGCAUGAACAUGAAAGCAAAAAGGCAGAGUUGAAUCGGAUGAAACAAAGUAUCUUAUUUGAGCUUGAGUAUUGGUCUUCCCUCCACCUAAAACAUAAUUUUGAUGUUCUACAUGUUUUGAAAAAUAUGAAUGAGAGUGUGUAUAAUACUACACUGAUGAACGAUAAAAGAAAAUACAUAAAAGAAGUAAGAAUUGACUUGAAAAAUACGGUCAUUCGACCAGAUCAAUGGCCAAAAGAGAAAGUCAAGAAGAAGAAGACAGUACACCAUUCUAUGGUCCCUUGGUUGAUGCAUCUCUCAUUUGGACUCCUUCAACCCAUAACAUUUUCAACUCAGCCACCAAAGGCCUCAAGUAAACAUCAAUGUCCUUUGUAGGUGAUCUAGGGCCAGGAAUCAACAAAGUUAGCAUGAAAGAAGAGUCCUUCAUACAUAUCCAUGGUGGUGUAUUGUAGUUAGUAAAUAUAACCAUCCAAAUAAUAUAAGUAUUAUUAAAGUUGUUGAACGGAUUAAAGCCAUCAGCAGCUGAACCUAGACGAAUAUUUCUAUAUUCUUUAGCAAACUCUCGAUAUCUCUUAUCAAAUUAUUUCCAUGACUUCUCGUCAACCGGAUGACGCAUCUUACCAUCCAUUGAGCAUCCAGUAUUAUGACAACUAAUAUAUUUACCAGUGAAUCUGGAACUAUACAUUCGUCGAAGCCUUGAGUCAAAGGAAACUACCACAAUGCUUUUUGUGGUACUCUCUUCCCAUUUUGUUGUUGUGUCCACCCAUUUGCUUGCAUUACAAAUUCGGGCAAUUUUACAUGGAAUCAUUCUCCUUCCAAAACGAAGCACAAUCAUAUUUACAAGUAUGGAUGGAUUGAUAUCAAACCCUAUCUUUCUCAACUUAUUCUUAGCUUCAUAGUGUGAAGUUGCUCUUCGGGAAUGAAACUCUUAGUAACUCUACAAGUUGGUUAAAAAAAAUAUUUGUCCAUUUAUUUAUCACUUUAGUAUGCAACAACUUUGCCAGAAAGUUUAUGUAACGUCCCAAAAAUUAAGACUAAAAGUUUUUAAUUUUAAAUUAAUUAAAACCAUUAUCCAAACAACAUCUUAGAAAUCAUAGUGCAUCAAAGUGUAUCAAUAACAUCCAUGUACAUCAGCAAGAUAUAAAAAUGCAGAACGACGUGGUGGGUGCAUUGCAAUCAUCCCGUGUAACGCCCGUAAACUCGGGCUAGUCAAUUUAGAGACAAUGUGCGUCAAAAAUGACUUUUUGAUGGGAGAUUGUUUACAAGAAACAAUCUUAACCAAGUUAUAUUAUAUGUCACAAAGGUUCCUUAUAUAUAAAGAACGCCAAAAUCCGAGUUAUAACGAAGAAGUUACGACCUUUCGAAGUUCUACGACAAAACCAACACGGCACCGUGUAACGUAAAAAGUGAAAUCUUGAUAAAUUACUUUUUAGCCUUAGGGAUCUAAAUGAAAGUUGUUUUAUACAUUAAAUUGAGAGCAUGCAUAAAAAGAACGUCAAAAUCUGACUUUGUAUGAGGAAGUGAUGAUUUUUCUAAGAUUUCGCACAGAGUAUACAACCUGGAAUUCGAAUGUCAGAUCGAGUGAUUUUUAGCCAACACAACCUAAAUUAUAAUUGAAUAUCUCAUUAAUAGGAGUUCAACGAUAAAAAGACAGUUAAAAACGGAGUCUGUAUGCAGAAGUUAUGAAUUUUACACGGUCGUUAACAAAAUAAUAUUUUCAUACUGUUAUAUUUAAAAUUGGUUGAGAAUUAGCCGAUUCAAUCUAAAGGAAAGUUGUAGAUCUUGUCAAUACCUAUGUGUGGAUAUAAAGAACGUAAAAAACGGAGCUCGUAUGCGAAAGUUAUGAAUUUUUUAAAAUUUGUUGUUUUACCUGCGUCCAGCGCCACGUGUCAGCACCAGGCGAAGCCUUAGUGCCUACACAAGGCCACGACGUGGAUUAUAAGUCUAUGAUGUUGAUUUCCCCAGAUAACCUAUAAAUAGAGGUGGAAAUAAUCCAUUUCCUUCACACCUUCACCCUUCUUUCUGUCUCAACACUCCCAAUCUCUCCCUCCUAAUCCCUAGCAACUUCUAAGUGCUAGAGGCGAGUCCCGGAGCGCCAAAAGGGUCCGAGAAGAAGAGUUUUCGUCUCAAAAUUUCCGCCCCCUCAGAGCCCGGUUCCUAGCCAAACCCCCAGGAAGUGAGUUAUGCUUACACUACUUUAAGUAUACUUAUGUUUAAGUUUAUUAUCGUUAUUAUGAACUUAUAAACAAGAUUUAUCAGUGAUUCCAAGUCGUUAUACUAAUUGAUCUACUUACGGGGAUGAUAUAUAGGUUGUGAUUUAGUGAGGUGUUUAAAGUGGGAUUUCAAAACAGUAUACUUCGUAUACGAAACGGAACUUACCUCCGAUAUGAUCCUACAUGGUUGUUCCUUACUUGAUAGAUCAUGAAAGUAGACUUUGAGUUAAUGAUGAAUCUAGACUAAUAAUUAGUCGUGCGUAAAGAUUAGACUAAAACUUAGCGAUAAUAAUGCUAGGUUUCAUCGAAGGAAAAUAGAAUCAUGAGAAGCAAAGUGCUUCCCGAGUUUGGAAUUAUCACUUUGAUAAGUGAGUGCAUAGUUACUUUCAUCUUACACAUAGAUAUGAAGUAUAUUAUAUAAAUUACAUGCUAUGUGUUCAUAUUAUAUGUUUACUUUAUAUCUAUGCUAGAUGAAUGAUCCUAUACAUGUUUUGAAUGAUUUAAACUGUAUAUAUAUUUUUUGUAUCUAUAAAAUCUAUUGGGUAAAACAUGGGUAGAUGAAUGAUAAGGGAUGAAAGUUGAUAUAGAGGAACAUUGGCAGUUAUAGACAUAGUGUCCUAUAGGUGAACAUUGACAACAAUGGACUUAGUGCCCUAUAGAUGAGCAUUGGCAGCCGUGCCACCACCUGUAGAUGUUUUGAUCUACGAUGUACUCUAAACAUCAUAGCAGCUGCGCUCAAAGGGUAGUAUCGGCAGCUGCGUGUAACGCAUGUGUUUCUAGGCUUGUCAUUAAUAUUGAUGUAAUAGUGUAGGUUAACCAUUGUAACCUGUUUCGAAAUAAUAGAAGUGUAUUAUUUGAGUAUUAUGUGUUUUGUACUUAAUUGUGUGUCUUAAUUAAAUUAAGUAUGAAAAUAAGCAUCAAAAUUAAAUGUUACAUAAAGCUGAUAUCUAUGGAUAAUUUUGUAGUAGUUGAAACGAGGUUUCUGAAUAUAUAUAGAAUGCUGAAAUCCGAGUUAUAACGAAGAAGUUAUGAUCUGUCGAAGUUUCGCGACAUAAAUCGGCACGACGAUGAAUGACGUAAAAAGUGAAUUUAUGUUAGAUUUAUCUUUAGUCCUAGUGAUCUAAACGAAAGUUGUAGAGUUCGUUAAACCGAUAGCGUGCAUAAAAAGAUCGACCAAAUCUGACUUCGUAUGAGUAAGUUAUGAUUUUCCGAAGUUUCGACUUAGCAGUGUGCAGCCCGAAUACUCGAUUUGAGAUCGAGCGGUUUUUAGUCGAAACAAUCUAAACGAGAAUCGAAGAUCUCGUCAAUGGUAGAGCAACGGUAAAAAGAUAAAUGAAAACGGACGUCAGAUGAAGAAGUUAUGAAUUUAUAACAGAGUUUUCCUAUCCCGGCCUACUAAAAAUAAAUAAUAAUAAAAUAAAUUCAAAAUCAGCCGACAGAGUCUAAACGAAAGUUGUAGAGUGUAGUCUCACCUACGCAUGGAUAUAAAGAACGUCGAAAACGGAAUUCAUAUGAAGAAGAUAUGAAUUUCUGAAGGAUUUAUAUGAUUAAUAUUUAUUAAUUAAUCUUUAAUUCGAAUGUAUAUCCGAAGGAGUCACCGACCUGAUCCACACUAUGCCCAGCGUACACCGAAGCGUGACCCACCUCGCACUCGAGUGCUCCGAUGACACAUGCAGUGACGAAUCCGAAGCGUACGCCCCGCGUACUGAGCAUUACGCCUAGCGUAAUGCGAGGCUUCAGCCACUAUAAAAGGGCAUGCGAGGGCAGCCAAUCCUUUUGCUCAAUUUCUUUUCUCUCUCUCUUGUUUUCCAUCGUUUUGCGUUCAACUUAUACCCCGAAUCCCCAGUAUCAUUCCCGAGCCCCGAAGCAAGUCCCGAAGCCCCGAAGAUCCCGAGGAGUAGAGUUCCCGAGCCGAAGCUCUACCCGCGAGAAGCCAAUUUUUGUGAAGAUCUUCCAGAUCUAUCAAAGAAUACUACUUCUACAAGUCGUAGUGCUAUCUGUUCAUCUUCUAAUCAAGUGAGUGUGUUGUUACUUUCUUCUAACGCAUAAUUACGAAGUAUUUUAUAUGAAAUACGUGUUAUGUCUAUAUUUUGUGUUGGAUAAGGUGUCUAAGUCCAUAACUAUUUCUGGUAUGUACUUGACCCGACCCGGCAUGGUCCAUUUGGGUUGCAUGGCAUCAUCCAUUUGGAUAGACUAUAUGAGAGAAUUAACACUUGUGGUUUAUUAAUAUAUUAUAAGUUCAAAUAUAUUAAUAGUAUUAUUUAAUUAGUAUUGAUCAAGAAUUAAUCUAGAAUUAAUUAAGUGAUCAAAUGGUGACUAAUUAAAUAUAUGAGUUGAUUAUGUAAAUCCUCCAUAACUUAUAUAGUGGACUAAAGGGCUCCAUUGAUAAUCAAGUUGGGUUUGUUGGAUUAUUGUCUAAGUCCAUAAACUAUUUUGGUAUGUACUUGACCCGAUGGUGUAUGGUCAUUUUGGGUUGCCUUCACCAAAGCAACUUGAUAGGAUGAAUUAUAAAGAGAAAGGAUUAAAUAUGAUUUAUUAAUAUAUUAUGAUAAUACUAUAUUAAAGGAGAAAUCAUAUUGUUUAAUUAAUAUUAGUCAAGAAUUAAUUGAUAAUUAAUUUUGUGACUAAAAGAGAUUAAUUAAACUUAAGGGACUAGAACUGUCAAUUGUAUGAUAGUUGAAUAUUGAGCUAAUGGACUCCAUAUUAAAGGAGUGGAUGAAUUCUAUGGGGAAACCCAUUAGAAAUCGUCCUAGGCCUUUAAGGAAGGAGCCCAUGGGUUACUUAGGGCUUAAGCAUCCAAAUUAGGGUUUCCUUGUUAGAUAACCCUAAUAGCCUCACUAUUUAAGGACCCUUUGGGCACCAAAAACGUAGGCAACUGAAUCCUAGGGGUUUCUACACGUUUUUGGGUGUUUCUUCUCUUCUCCUAUUCAUCCUCUUGCUCUUGGUGUUUGUGAACCAUUAGAGGAGUGACAUUUGUGACUCUAAGCUUUCUAAAGUCAUUACAAAGGAGGAUUUGAGAUUGUUAUUGCUACAUAACAAUCAAGGUAUGAUCUAAACCCUAAUUCAUAUCUUAUACUGAUUAUCAUAUACUAGAUCCAAGCAUUAGGGUUUGUAUGAGCACAUAGGAUGUUCUUAUAGCUAAAACCCAUCAGUGGUAUCAGAGCCUUGAUUGGUUUCUAUUGUAUUGAUGCCUUGUUAAUUUGUUCAUGCUUGAAAAAUUCGAUUUUGUGAGUCUGCCUAAUGAACUCGGCGAGUCCCAUUGUGGACUCGGCGAGUAGGCCCCUACUCGGCGGGUCCAUAGGGGUACUCGGCGAGUUCGAGCGUCAGAAAGAGGGGACUUCGAGAUUUCUUGCUGAUUUACUCAUGGAUACUUGCCUUAUCUGUUUUAGAUCAUUAAAAUCCGAUUUUAAACAUAUUUAUGAGUAUAUCCUUGAUUAAACAAAAGAUAAUUACCAAUUGAUUAGAUAAUAACUUCCUUAUAUGAUAAAGUUUGAUUAUUUGUAUUAAUUGGGUAACUUAUUUUGCAAGAAAUUGAAAUUAGGUCAAAUAUAGAUAAUGAUGAGAUUAAUUGUUUAAUUUAUAUUAUUUGUUAUUUGAUCCUUGUGUUAUGAAAAGUUUCAAUUUUCCCCUUUAGGUUUUAUAGUUUAAAUUUGAACUCAAAAGUUUNUAGGGUUUCAUGUACACCACAGGAACGAUGUUUCAUAAACUUGACGAGUUCCAUAGACUCGAUGAGUUAAGUGUCCUGGUGCCGGGAUUUUCGAUUUUCUGGCCAAAUUUUAAUGAGGAUAACUGUGAAAACUCGUUUUUCUUUCCUAAAUUCAAAUCUUUAAGAUCGGUAUGGAUAUCCUUAUCAGAUUUGGUGGAUUUAGUUAAAUAUGGAUGAUAUAGGAUUAUUUUGAUUCAAAUAUUUAACCUAGUAAGUUUGAAAAGUUUCAAAUUACACCCUUUAGGUUUUAUAGUUUAAAUUUGAACUUAAAAGUUUUAGUUUUGAAAUUUAAAUAGUUAAACCCUAAUAUUUUGAAAAGUUUUAAAAUUUGUCCUUAAAUUUUGGAAUUUAAAAUUUAAUUAAAAGGUAUUACUUUUGCAAUAUUAAUUUCUAAAACCCUAGUGUUUUGAAAAGUUCAUAUUACACCCUUAUGGUUUUAUUAAAUUAAUUAAGUGCUUAAUUAAGAGAGAGAAUUAAUAAAUCCAUAACAAUAUGGUUUAAGAUUAAUCAAAUUAAAAGUGUAAUUUAUUAAUAGAUUAAACCACCUAAUAUUUUUAAAGUGUAAAAUACACCAUUAUACUAUAUAUAAAAUUAAAAGUCUAAUAUAUUAUAUAUGUAUAAGUAAAGAGUCUGUCUUAUCGUUAGUAAGCCUUAUUCACGAAGUUGGUCUUUAAGGGGUGUUUAAGGAAGCGGCAUGUAAAAUGACCGUCAUUGGAUAUCCACUCUUACCCACCGCACCAUUAACUAGUGGAGGGUCAUUAGCCGAAUGGGUAGGAUAGGACAUAACCUUCCAUUAUAAGUAUAAUGAAAUACGAAGUAACUAAACGUUUAUAUAAAUUCUCAAAUCUUAGUUACUGUAGGAAAAAUGUGAAUUUGGUGCUAAUCCAUGAAAUUGCACAUUGCACCUUGUUGGUCGUUAGUGGAGCGUGUGUGGUUAACAGAACACUAAUAUGGGACCAAUGAAGGAUGGCAAUGGGUUUCUCGUAAUAUUAUCAUUGAUCAAUGGAGCGUGUGUGGUUAACCGGCACAUUGAUUGGGUGGUGAUCGACAUCGAGAGUAUCAAGCUAAUUUGCAUGGUUAUUCACACCUUGUUUGUGAUCCUCGGCGUCCCAGUCACAAACUUGAAAGGCAUAAUCGAGAUUAAACAUGCCAUUGAAAAGUUUAAUGAAUCUCAAAAGAUCUAGGGCUUUCAAUUCAUUAAUAACCUAAUUUUCAUUUUUGUUUUUCAUGGUGGAAAUUGGUAAAUCGUCAUUUACCUACCUUCAAAUAUUUUGCGACUGGAUUACGGCAUCCCUCUUCCGAAUUGUAGAAUAUUGUGUUGGAUCCUAGCCUUAAUAUUCCCUUUGGGUGUUAUAUUAAGGAUUGAAUCAACUAACUUGAACUUCUCCCAUUUUGUAGAUGUCUAAAUCUAACAACUAUGGUAUUCCACAAUCCUUUGGAAAAAGUCUUCCACAUGAAGAUGAUGUUCCACGAUUCGAUCGAGGAACAAGAGAUCAUGCUUCACUUCAUCCUCCUCCUCCCGUUGUUCUCCCUAACCCACAAGAUCGAAGAAUUGAAAGGUUCAAUGUCACUAAAGCCCUAUUGGAAAUGAAACAUGAAGAUAAUGUUGGGUGCGUCAUUCCCCGAUAAGUUGGCUGUGAACUGGGUUCUGCAGUCGCUCCCUGAAUCAUAUAAUGAGUUCAAGAGAAUGUAUUAUAUGAUGGAUCAUGACGAUAACCUCAUUGACCUAACUUACAUGCUCAUUGCUGCUGAAUCAGAAAUAAUUUGGCAAAGCAAUGGAGCGGUUUUGUUGGGAAAGUCAACCAACCAUGCUUUCGAGGACGUUCUAGGAGAACCGACCUGCGUUUGCUGCCAAGAGAAAGGGCGUUGGAUACAAGUUUGCCCUAAGAGCCUGAAGAAUCCAAAAGAUGGGAGAGUCAAAGAGUAUGGUUGUGCUUCAGGUAAAAAUCCACUAUCUAACUCCAUUAAGUUCUUAUUCGUUGAUUCUUAAUACAUGAUGUGAUAAGAUUGCAUUUGAAUGUUUUGCAGGAUCAGUGAAAAGAGAGGAAGCUUGAUGGAAAAGCAAGAUAAGUCUAAUCACAAAGAAAUGGAUCUCGAUCGCAUGGACUUGAAGAUUAGAUUUUGAGCUUAGAAAGUUAUGAUAGAGUUGUUAGGAAUAUUAGACUACAUAGUUUUUCAGUUAAUUUUGCAUUGUAAGGAAAAAUGUUUUCCGCUGCUUUUAUGAAUAAAAUAAAUUUUGAUUUGACUCAUUUAUUUAUUUAUUUCCUUGCAAUGAAAUCGUUAUGAAAAAUUGAUGUUUGCAUAUUUCUACAACGAAUGGAUGUGAUUCUUAAUUAUGUUAAUUAUGGAAAGGUCAAGAAUUUACCAAAUAGGAAAAGUUUCUCAUCGCCCAAGUUUCAAUUGGAUAGAGACUUGGGUCAUGCAACUUGGUUGCACGAUGAAUGAGAAAUUUCAUAUGUGGAAAUAAGACUAAUUCGUUGACAAAGUGUCAAGUGAAGAACUAGGAGAUCGAGUACACAAAGUUGUGUGUUGAUCAAGUCCACCGCAAGAGUAACGAAGAUAUUCGUCAUGAUUUACUAGAGGUUUAGUAAAAAUGAUUAUACUUAUAAGAUUAAGUGUAAUUCUGAAUUGAUUGAAAAAGGUUUAAAUCAAUAGCAUAACGAAUAAGAAGAAUCAAGUAGACAGAAAGAUAAAAGUCUCUCUAUUCUAAGAAGAAGGGAGAGUAUCUUUAUGCUUUAUGAUAUGUCUUAAUGAUUAAGAACCAUAUCUCAAUUGAUCCUCUAAGUAAGUCUUAGUACAAUUGUAUGUCUGAGAAGAGGAAUCAAGAAUUAAAGAAAUGGUUAAAAUCAAGAAGUCAAUCGUAUUUCGUUCCAAACAAGUCUUAGAGUUAAGAUUGUGACAUAGAGUGACAAGUAUUAGGAAGGUUUAUGACAAUCAUCAAAUGUAGAAUUUGGAAAAGGGUUUUCUUAUUCUUGCACAUUUGAAAUUCGUAAGUUGUGAUGUCUUGGAUUAGACAAAGACCAACGAGGACCAAUUUGUGAAGUGUUUUGUCUUGAUAAAAGCUACACUAACUCUUGAAUAUUUGGUUGUCGAGAAAUGUUUAUUGACAAGAGAAUCUUAUAUGUCAAGGAGUCAGUGGGAGUCUUAAUGGUCUUGAAAAGGUUUCAAUAACAAAUCAAAAUAAACCUUAUCAAUCAUCACUAGCACACGAGUUGAGGUUUACAACCUAUCGUGUUGACAUUAUCUUGUUUCUGUGCCGUUCCAAUCGAGUUAAUUAUGCAUGUGAGUUCUAUGAGUUCUCAUUUGAAUGCAUAAAAGGCAAGGACCUUGAUCAAUGGAAAGUACAUUGAUAGGAAAGGGUGAGCUGCUUAACUACUUGGAAGACAUGGUGGGCAGCCGUGUUACCAUAAGGCAAGAAAUCAAGAUUAAGAGUUCGGUCCAUAUAAGUUUGAAUUUGUCAUAAACUUUGGUUUUAACAAAUUCACAUGGAUAGGAACACAUACACUAUUAAAAUCUAAGUGUCAUAAGAUUCCCUCCUUCAUGGAAAUGACUGUGAGGUAAUGCUUUCACUAAAAGAGAUUUUAAGAAGAUAGUAAUUGUGAAAAUUGGAUUCUCGAAUUCGAUUAUGGUUACAGUAUCCCUUUCCAUGAUUCGAAUUGUAAGAUUUGGCAAUUAGUCUGAAUUGUUUAGACACACAUAUGAGCUAUCUAAGGGAAAGGUGUAUAAGCUUAGAUAAAGGAUUAUCAAAGCAUUAGUUAUUAGAAACAUGAACUUAAGAAAUUCAAUAGGUAUUGUUCUUCUGAAAGUUAAGUUGUUUCUAAAUACAUGUCAAAGCUAGUGGGAGCAUAAGUGUUAUGUUUAUAAUAAUCAUCAUGAUAGUGGGAGCAUAAAUGUUAUGAUUAUGUGAUUAUUAAGGCAAGUAUUGCAAGUUAGCAAUAUUAAUUAUAGAAAACAAGAGUUAUACUUUGCAAAGUCACAAUGGUUAAAAGGUUGUUUUGCUAUAAUUAAGGGAGAGAAUAUUAUGCUUCAUUUCAAAACUAAAGGCUUAGGUUGUGGAAUGUUAAUUAUUUUAGUCAAGGAUACAUAGUAUUCUUAAAUUUCGAUUAUGAUUACGACAUUUCUCUUCAUAGUUCGAAUUGUGAGAACAUAGCACAUAAAAUAUUAUGGCAGAAGACUGAUAAAGUAUCAAAUCUUUAUGCAUCGUGUCCCAUGCGCUUCGGGUAUAGGAUCGAUUGCAAAUGCUAUAAUAUUUGACCAUUCCAAAAUUUUCCAAAUGUCUAGCGCAUUUAGAGGGAAAAGGACAAGAAUAGGUUUUGACUAAGAUAAUUAAACAACUAUCAAAGGACAAUCCAAAGUUCGCCAAGGAUUGGUCACUUAUGAGUAGUUGGAAGUAUAGUAUUGAAUAGACCAUAUCGACAUUAUUAUGAAUAGAAAAGAUUCUAUUAAGAAUGAGUUGUCAUAUGGAAAAUAUGGAAACGUUUCCAUAUUGGGAGUCGGAUAUUGAGAAUCUAUGUCUAGAUUAGAAAUUUUAUGCAAAAGGAUGUUCAAAGGAAUGUCCUUUGAGUGAGAGACAUCACAUCUAAGGAAUUGUCUUGUAACAAUCUCCAAUAGACAGCUUUGUAAUUCAUUGGCAAUAGUCAUUGUGACUUUGGUGCAGUGACAUUAUGAAAGGAUGAUUGCAUAAAAUAUUAGAAUCUAACAUAUUCCAUAAGUGGCAAGAAUUUGAUAUUCUUUCACUUGUGAAAAGGAUUGGGAGUUAUGAAAUGAUUAUGAUUGGAAAUGUGUUCAUUUGAUCUAUUUCACAAAGUAAGAACCAUAGAUAAACACUGUGUGCAUGCUAAGAGCAUGGGACAAGUGUUGUAAUAAUUUAAGUAAGAAGUUUAUUACCCGAAACAAGAAAUAAUGAGUAAUCGAUAUGGUGAUAAUAAAAGGUGUUUUAUUUAUACUCAAGGUUUGAGGCCAUAUGGGACUAGUAUUAUUCUUGUGUUUCACUUUGCAUGUUUUGACUUCCUAAAUAAUUUAAAUUGGUUUAGAACAGUUAAAUUAUUCGAACGGGCCCUAGUCGUUCAUAUGUUGGAAGUAGGUAUGAAUGAAGACUGUCAUGAAUUGGUGUGUGGAUUGUCUAAAGAGCAUUAGACAUAAGCAAAUGUUUGCUGCAACGUUCAUGAGUGCUUAUAAAUAUGAUUUGAGCAUUGCAUUAAACCCACGCUCACUUGGAUCACUUCAUGGAUUUUAUCACGAGUGAUUGGUGAGACGAUAAUAUCUUAUAUUCUUGAAACCGAGAUGUGUGAGUUGUAUCUUGCGAGUUGGUUGCACAUUGAUAAUACGUAAACGCACCAGUAACUUGGUGUUAUAAAACAUAUUGUUGUGUGUGAUUCGGUGAGUAAGUGCAAUCGAACAUUGAGUCAAAGUUUAUCCGUUCCUUUUAUCAAAAGUAGGAUAAAAACGAUUUCUGUGGGCCCCUCGAUUAUUUAGUGAUGGCACCUAAGCGCUUGGCCAAGCCGGGACUAAAUUGAUGUGUUCAAUUGUAGUCUAUUGUUAGUCGUCAUAAAUCUGAAUUCGGGAAACAACACAUAGACAGAGAGAAUGUUUUAGAUCCAUGUCUCAGUCUAUACGAUAUCUAGAAUGGAGGAAUAUAUGAUCCCUUAUCUAAAGGAUACGCGAAUAUGAUAAGAUCAGAGUUGACAGCGGCUUUAGAAAGCUACGAUUGCAGAUCAGGAUCUGAAGUCAUACGCAUAAUAGUUAUUAGACUUAUCCAAGUGGGAGACUGUUGGAUUAGUGUCUAAGUCCAUAAACUAUUUUGGUAUGUACUUGACCCGAUGGUGUAUGGUCCUUUUGGGUUGUCUUCACCAAAGCAACUUGAUAGGAUGAAUUAUAGAGAGAAAGGAUUAAAUAUGAUUUAUUAAUAUAAUAUGAGAAUAAUAUAUUAAAGGAGAAAUCAUAUUGUUUCAUUAAUAUUAGUCAAGAAUUAAUUGAUAAUUAAUUUUAUGACUAAAAGAGAUUAAUUAAACUUAAGGGACUAGAACUGUCAAUUGUAUGAUAGGUGAAUAUUGAGCUAAUGGACUCCAUAUUAAAGGAGUAGACAAAUUCUAUGGGGAAACCCAUUAGAAAUCGUCCUAGGCCUUUAAGGAAGGAGCCCAUGGGUUGCUUAGGGCUUAAGCAUCCAAAUUAGGUUUUCCUUGUUAGAUAACCCUAAUAGCCUCACUAUUUAAGGACCCCUUGGGCACCAAAAACGUGGGCAACUGACUCCUAGGGGUUUCUACACAUUUUUGGGUGUUUCUUCUCUUCUCCUAUUCAUCCUCUUGCUCUUGGUGUUUGUGAACCAUUAGAGGAGUGACAUUUGUGACUCUAAGCUUUCUAAAGUCAUUAUAAAGGAGGAUUUGAGAUUGUUAUUGCUACAUAACAAUCAAGGUAUGAUGUAAACCCUAAUUCAUAUGUUAUAUUGAUUAUCAUAUACUAGAUAUAGGGUUUAUAGUCUUGGAUGAGUUGCAUGUACAAUAGAGAAACCUAGAUCCAAGCAUUAGGGUUUUUAUGAGCACAUAGGAUGUUUUUAUAGCUAAAACCCAUCAGGGUUAAACCCAUUGGAUGCUCCAUGGAGGCUCCAUGGGAGUUACAAACCCAUGGGUAAUGGAAAUGAAGAGUCAUGUCACAUUAGGGUUUACAUGGCGUAACCCUAGAUGUGACACACUAUAUAAAGAACAUCAUACUCCCUAAAAUCGGCUACACAUAGUGACAAGAGGGCUUGCCUGAUUUUUUGAGUGUUACACGUUCUCUCAAAGUUGUUCCAAAGCAUUUGGUGUUGUAUGAAGCAUUUGAGGAAUCACACUUAGGGUGCUAGGCUCUCAAGGUUUCAAGGAAUCAUAACAACAACAAGGUAUGUGUUUCUAGCUAUCUUUUAUAUUAUAAAGUUCCCCAUGUAUGCUAGAUAGGUUUAUGAACCUUGGAAAAAAGUAAUUUGCAUGUAUCUUAUACAAACAUAGAUCCAAGGUUCUCUAGGGUUGCAUGUACACUUAGGAGUGUUAGAAUUGCUCAAAACCCUUCGAUGGUAUCAGAGACUAGGCUUGCUUGUUUGAUAUUUGAUGCAAAAUAGUGAAAAAAGUCGAUUUUUUGUUGUCUGCCUGCUGAAAUCGCCAAGUCCAUGGGGGGACUUGCCGAGUUCAUGUGUAAAAUCAUCCUACUCGUCGAGUAGGUUCAUGCACUCGACGAGUAGGAGCCUCAGAAUGCAGUUUUUUGACUUUUGCUGCUGGAAAUGGACUAGAAACGUUACCCUAAACUGUUUGGGUGUUAUUAAACAUGUUUUAGAUGGUGUAAUGGUUGUUCUAAUCCAUUUAUAAUGACUAAUAUCAAAAUUCCAUGAUUUUAUGUUUUCUUGAAAAUUUGAUAUUCAUAUUCAUGUUCUUAUGAGUUUAGAUGAUCAUAGGAAUUAUGUGUAACUUCUUGAUAGUUUUAAUUCUUAAUCAUUAUGUGUUUUAAUGGAAUCCAUAAUUUGUCCUCAAGUUAUGAAUUACCAAAAGUUUUAUCUUUGAAUGUCCAUUGAAGAAACACAUAGGUUACAUAAAAUGAAGAUUUACUCAUUUUAAUGAACCAAUUAAUCUCAUAAGUUAUGGAUUGAAGAGUUUUGUUAAGUUACAAAACUUUCCCUCAAAUUUUGGAACUUGUAAAGUCACCUAAUUAACUUUAGUUCCAACCCCUAGAAUUUAAAAUGUUAAAAUUCAACACUUAUACUUUAUAAUAUUAUAAGUUUAAUAUAUAUAUAUAUAUAUAUAUAUAUNNNNNNNNNNNNNNNNNNNNNNNNNNNNNNNNNNNNNNNNNNNNNNNNNNNNNNNNNNNNNNNNNNNNNNNNNNNNNNNNNNNNNNNNNNNNNNNNNNNNNNNNNNNNNNNNNNNNNNNNNNNNNNNNNNNNNNNNNNNNNNNNNNNNNNNNNNNNNNNNNNNNNNNNNNNNNNNNNNNNNNNNNNNNNNNNNNNNNNNNNNNNNNNNNNNNNNNNNNNNNNNNNNNNNNNNNNNNNNNNNNNNNNNNNNNNNNNNNNNNNNNNNNNNNNNNNNNNNNNNNNNNNNNNNNNNNNNNNNNNNNNNNNNNNNNNNNNNNNNNNNNNNNNNNNNNNNNNNNNNNNNNNNNNNNNNNNNNNNNNNNNNNNNNNNNNNNNNNNNNNNNNNNNNNNNNNNNNNNNNNNNNNNNNNNNNNNNNNNNNNNNNNNNNNNNNNNNNNNNNNNNNNNNNNNNNNNNNNNNNNNNNNNNNNNNNNNNNNNNNNNNNNNNNNNNNNNNNNNNNNNNNNNNNNNNNNNNNNNNNNNNNNNNNNNNNNNNNNNNNNNNNNNNNNNNNNNNNNNNNNNNNNNNNNNNNNNNNNNNNNNNNNNNNNNNNNNNNNNNNNNNNNNNNNNNNNNNNNNNNNNNNNNNNNNNNNNNNNNNNNNNNNNNNNNNNNNNNNNNNNNNNNNNNNNNNNNNNNNNNNNNNNNNNNNNNNNNNNNNNNNNNNNNNNNNNNNNNNNNNNNNNNNNNNNNNNNNNNNNNNNNNNNNNNNNNNNNNNNNNNNNNNNNNNNNNNNNNNNNNNNNNNNNNNNNNNNNNNNNNNNNNNNNNNNNNNNNNNNNNNNNNNNNNNNNNNNNNNNNNNNNNNNNNNNNNNNNNNNNNNNNNNNNNNNNNNNNNNNNNNNNNNNNNNNNNNNNNNNNNNNNNNNNNNNNNNNNNNNNNNNNNNNNNNNNNNNNNNNNNNNNNNNNNNNNNNNNNNNNNNNNNNNNNNNNNNNNNNNNNNNNNNNNNNNNNNNNNNNNNNNNNNNNNNNNNNNNNNNNNNNNNNNNNNNNNNNNNNNNNCUCCUGGAAGAAUCGCGGGGCCACCCCGACUCAACUCGCCGAGUCUGAAGAACAACUCGACGAGUCCCAGUUAAUCUUCAAGCUACUCGCCGAGUCUGUUCAUCGGACUCGGCGAGUCCAUGCCAUGCAACCGCUCAAACUGCUUUCUAAGGUCAGAACUGCUCCGACCAUUCAUAGGUCUGGCCUUCCUAGACUGAUUCAUCACGUAAGGUCCUCAUUUCGGUGCUCAUAAUACACCCCAUGACUCAUAAUUUACAUUUUGACCUAAGGCAUAAGGAUUCCAAUCCAAAACCUCCAUUGAUUCCUGAAAUGCUCAGGCAUGGGACAUUCUGGACUUCCAAAGAUCUCAAUACAGGGUUCCAAUCGUUUGGGGGACUAAAGUAACACUCAAUCUAGCCACAAAAGGGUUCAAUAAAUCCUAAAUCCAUAUACACAUCAACAUAGAAGAAUGUAACUCGAAAUAUUACCUGAAUAACGUGCUCUCUGUGUCCCCAAUCCACAGAACGUGGCUCUUCCUGUUGUUCCCUUAACCAAGCCUCUUCUUCCUUGCAAAACCACACUUCCAAAAUCAACAAUGGUCUUCAACCUUGCUCCAGACGCUCACAAUCGAAUUAGGGUUUCUCUCAGAGGACUAGGGUGAACAAUGACGGCCAUAAAGUCCCUCAUAUACGUCCCAAACCUGAACGGUUAGGGUUUUCGCUAAAUAGCGCAGACUCGCCGAGUCCAUAUCCGGACUCGUCGAGUCCAGUCGCGAACCCGCAACCAGAUCCGCGAUCCUACUCGGCGAGUCUAGGCUCCAACUCGCCGAGUCCCCUCUUAAAACACCCAAAAUCAUAAAUAUAACAAUACCUGAAAUUCCAGGCUGUUACAGUAAUCGGGUUAUUGUUGGUUGGUAAAAGUAAAUACAAUUAUUUAUUGCGGGUUGAAAACACUAUAUGCUCACCAGGCUCCCAAGCCUGACCCACUCAGUUUAUUUGUAUUACAGGUAGUGGCGCGAGGGCAUAAGAUGGACGAAUCAUCAAGUUAUUUUGUUUAUUAGACCAGUUGUUAUAUGUAACUAUUGUAUGGUCUAUCUUUUGUUGUUUAUGCUUUUGUGUCUGUAUCGGAACAUGACAUCUCGAGUUUUGAUUUUAUAGUGAAAAUACAUUUCUUUAUGAAAUGCUUUGGUAAAUAUUAUUUUAUCAUACUUUGUUUUUGGGAACAAAUUUCGCAACUCUUUUAAAUCAAAAGGAUUUACUCUUAAAUUAUUUUAAAAAGCAUAAAUGAAACUGGUCUUUUAUGGCCGUGAUUUUGGGGAUGUCACAGUGGGUAUCAGAGCAUUAGUUUAAGCGAACUAGGAAUUUGUAAGAUUUCUAGACUUAAACUUAGAAUGCUAAGUGGAGAUUGUGAGAAGUGUGUCUGUUAUAUUAUGGACACGAGCACUAGUAUAUUUUAGGAAGUUGCCUAAAAUGCUCUUAGGUGCUAAAUGUUAUAUGUUGCCAUAUAUGAUAUUAUUUGUUUGGAUCUAUGGUCUGUUGCCGACCGGAUCAUGAAACCUUAUGUGUGUAGGAUUCUAAGCAUACGUCUACGACAUUAGAACUAGCAUGUAAACGUUUCGGAGUGAUAUGGAAGAUCGUAAUAUCUAUCAUGAAUAAAGAUCUAAAUUUCACCUUAUUCGGUGUAUUGAUCAAGAAUGGCAAGAACAAGAAGCAGUGAUGGAAAUGCAAACAAGAACAGGAAUCAACCGCCUCUAAUUGAACAAGUAAUUGUUGAAACUGCUGCACCAGAGCAAAUCACUCUGGCUGGGGUGCAAGCCAUGAUUCGGGCUAUGUUAGCCGAACAAAAGGAAGAAAUGCGACAGAUGUUGCAUGAAAAUAGGGACGAACCAAUCAUACCCAUUGAGGAACCCAAACUGAUUCCCGAACAAUCGGAGGAAGGAAACAAUAGUCGCGUUGUGAGUCAAGUUGGGAGUCAAGGAGAACGAAGGAACGACCCGGAAAGGGGAAACAAAAAGGAUGGGAGAAUGUAUAAGAAUUUCUUGGGCGCCAAGCCGCCAAGUCUUUCUGGGAACCUAAAGCCCAUUGAGAUUAUGGAUUAGAUCUCCGAAAUGAAGAUGGUAUUUGAAAGUUGCGACUGUAUCAACAAACAGAAGACUGUCUUUGCAGUUAGACAACUGAAGACCGGAGUCUUGAGCUGGUGGAAGUUGUUGGCAGAUAUUAUGUCAUGAGGAGAAGCCCUGAAAAUGUCAUGAGAGGAGUUCUUAGAACAACUAAGGGCGCAGUAGUGUUCAGAGAUAGAUCUGAUUGAUCUGAACAAUGAGUUCCAAAACUUAAAGAAGGGGAGGAUGAGCAUAAAUGACUAUGCUAUCGCAUUCACUGAUAAAAUGAGGUUAUUUCCAUACCUAGUGCGAAUGAAACUCUCCAAGAUUGAGAGGUUCGCUAAUGGACUACCUUCCGACUUUUGCCCGAUAGUCAAGAUGGCAACUACUCUAAAAAUAGUUGUUUGUGCGGCUAAGAAUGUGGAGACCCAGCAGAAGGAAAAGGGUCUGGAAAGAAUAGAGGUUGGUGAGAAAAGGAAGUUGGAUGGACCUUUAGGGUCCAACAAGAAAAUCAAGUUUUCGAAGUCUAGUUCGAGAGGAGGAGGAGGAAGAGAAGCCAAAUGGUACGACAAAUGUAAGAAGAAGCAUCAUGGAAAAUGUGAAGUAGUAGCCACAUGUUUUAAAUGUGGAAAGCCAGGGCACUAUGCCAAUGAAUGCACUCUCACCAAGAAAGUUUGUUAUGGCUAUGGUGAGGAGGGGCACAUCUCGAGAGAUUGUUCGAAGAAGAAGGAGGCAUCAAAACCCAAUAUUCCCCCAAAGCCGAAGGCGAGAGCAUUCCAGAUGACACUGGAAGCUGCAAAAUAUGAAGCUGAUGUCGCUUCAGGUACCUUUCUCGUAAACAAAUUGCAUGCCCAAAUUUUAUUUGAUUCUGGAGCCAACUACUCCUUUAUUUCGCAUGAAUUUGGUAGAAACUAGCUUCUCCUGUCGAUAGACUAGAUAAUGCUUUAUUAGUCGAAGUUGCUAGUAGCAAAUUUCUACCUAUUAGCCAUCGUAUGAAAAACAUCUUAAUUCACUUGAAUGGGAAUAAGUUCCAUGAGGAAUUAUUGCCUAUCGAACUAAACAAUUUCGACAUCGUGCUGGGAAUGGAUUGGCUUAGCGCCAAUGACGCCGAAAUAUUGUGCAAGAAGAAGAUUGUAAAGGUAAAUCCGCCAGGNGCAAGAAGAAGAUAGUAAAAGUAAACCCACCAGUGAAAGAGUCAUUUAUGGUGUAUGGGGACAAACGCAGAGUAAAUUCUAGAAUCAUUUAUCUAAUGAAAGCCAGAAAGUGUUUGGCCAAAGGAUGUACAUCAUAUUUGGCAUUUGUGAUAGAUUCUAAGAAGGAGAAAAAGGUGAUGCAAAGCAUUCCUAUCGUAUGUGAUUAUCGGGAAGUAUUUCCCAAAGAUCUUCCCGGAUUACCGCCUGAUAGAAAUUUGGAGUUCAUAAUAGACUUGUUACCAGGGACGACGCCUAUAGCAAAAGCACCUAAUCGAUUAGCACCAUCAGAGAUGAAGGAGCUAAUGAUGCAACUUCAGGAGUUAUUGGGCAAAGGUUUAAUUAGACCUAGUUUAUCACCCUGGGGAGCUCCGAUGUUAUUCGUGAAGAAGAAAGAUGGAAGUAUGAGAAUGUGCAUCGAUUAUAGAGAGCUGAACAAGGCAACAAUAAAGAAUAGAUAUCCGUUGCUGAGGAUUGAUGACUUGUUCGAUCAACUACAAGGUUCAAGUUAUUUUUCAAAGAUCGACCAAAGGUCAAGAUAUCAUCAGCUGAAGGUGAAAGAGCAGAUAUAGAGAAGACUGCAUUCAGAACACGAUAUGGACACUAAGAGUUUUUGGUUAUAUCAUUUGGACUAACCAAUGCUCCAGCAUCAUUCAUGGAUUUAAUGAUCAUGGUUUGUAAUCCGUUCCUAGAUAAAUCUGUGAUAGUGUUCAUAGAUGACAUUCUGAUUUAUUUGAAAAGCGAAGAGGAGCAUGGCAUACACUUGCGAGAAGUGUUAGAAGUCUUGAAGAAGGAGAAGUUGUAUACAAAUUUCUCCAAAUGUGAUUUCUGGAUUCGAGAAGUCCAAUUCUUGGGUCACGUGAUCAACUAAAAAGGGAUAAUGGUUGAUCCAGCAAAGAUUGAAGCUGUAAUGAAGUGGGAACAACCGAAAAGUCCCACGGAGAUCCGAAGCUUUUUAGGAUUAGCCAGAUAUUACCGAAGGUUUAUCCAAGGCUUUUCUACGAUCGCUACUCCAUUAACAGCGUUCACCCACAAAGGAGUUACUUAUGCUUGGAAUGAUAAGCAUAAAGAAGAAUUCGAGAGGCUAAAGAAGAAGCUAUAUGAGGCAGCGAUUCUUUCUCUACCCGAUGGAGUUGAAGACUUCGCUGUUUAUAGCAAUGCGUCUGGUGUUGGCUUGGGUUGUGUUUUAACCCAAAGGGAAAAGGUGAUCGCAUAUGCAUCUCGACAGUUGAAGGAGCAUGAAAAGAACUACCCGACUCAUGAUUUGGAGUUGGAAACGGUAGUUUUCGCUCUGAGAAUAUGGAGGCAUUACCUCUAUGGCACGAAGUGCAACUUUUCACUGAUCAUAAGAGUCUCCAAUAUCUCUUUAGUCAGAAAUAAUUAAAUAUGAGGCAAUGAAGUUGGCUUGAAUUACUUAAGGAUGUACGACUGCGAGAUACUUUACCACCCUGGUAAGGCUAAUGUUGUUGCUGAUGUUCUCAGUCGGGAAGUCAAUCUUGAAAGAAAAAGGCCAAGAGCGUUGAGAAUAGAAGUUGUCUCAACAAUUGUGGAGAGUAUAAAGAAAGCUAAAGAGGAAGCUUUUGUGAAGAAUGAUCGAAAAGAAGAACUUUAGGGAAAAAUGUUGGUGUUCGGUAUAAACAGUCAUGGACUGAAGGUGUUCCAAGAUCGGAUUUGGAUACCUAAGACAAGAGGAGUCAGAGAUCUUAUGAUGGAAGAAGCUCAUAAGUCCAUGUACUCAAUUCAUCCCGGUAGUACUAAAAUGUAUAGGGACCUAAAACCCUACUACUGGCGGCCGACGAUGAAGCUUGAUGUUGAAAAGUAUGUAGCCGUGUGUGUGACUUGUGUGAGAGUCAAGACACAACAUCAGAAACCGUAUGGGAGUUUAGAACCUUUGCCUGUGCCUAUGGGUAAGUGGGAAGACAUUGCUAUGGAUUUUAUCACUAAACUGCCCAGAACGAAAAGUGGUCACAACAUGAUUUGGGUGAUCGUUGAUCGAUUCACUAAGAGUGCGCAUUUCAUAGCAUCCAAUGAGAAAUGGUCUAUGGAAAAGCGUGCGAAUUCUUUUGUGAAGGAAGUUGUGAGGCUUCACGGUGUUCCGUUAACGAUUGUGUCAUAUCGUGAUAGCCAUUUCACCUCGCGAUUUUGGAGAAGUCUACAAGAGGAAUUGGGUAGCAAGUUGUGUUUGAGUACAUCUUACCAUCCACAGACUGAUGGUCAGAGCGAACGGACGAUACAAACACUUGAAGAUAUGCUGAGAGCAUCUACCCUAGAAUUCCAAGGUACUUGGGAUGAACAUUUACCUUUGAUGAAAUUUUCCUACAAUAAUAGUUUCCACUAGAGCCUAAAGAUGGCACCUUGUCAAGCUUUGUAUGGACAGAAGUUUCGUACGCCGUCUUAUUGGCUUGAGGCUGGAGAAAAGAAGUUUAUGGGACCCGAGAUGGUUCAUCAAAUUGCUGAAAACCUGAAAAUAAUUUAGGAAAGAAUGUUAGUAGCUCAGGAUCGUCAAAAGUGCUAUGCUGACAAAUAGCGAAGACCGAUGACUUUUGAAGUUGGAAAUUCGGUUUUGCUUAAAGUCUCGCCAUGGAAGGGACUUAUAAGAUUUUGUAAAUGGGCAAAGUUUAGUCCAAGGUUUAUUGGACCUUUUAAAGUUCUUGAGAGGAUUGAGAACCAAGCUUACAAGAAUGAAUUGCCAGAAGAACUGCAUGGUAUUCAUAACACUUUCCAUGUGUGUUAUUUGAGGAAGUUUACUAGAGAACUUCCCGACAUGAUUCCACUUUCGGAGUUGAGAAUCAAUGAGAACAAAAGGUUGAUUGAAGAACCAGAGGCAAUCGUUCACUGAAAGACUAAGAAGUUGGGACGCAAGAUGGUCGAGUUUGUGCUUGUCCGAUGGAAACACACGAAUAGGCCAAAUCUCACCUGGGAGACGGAGAGUGACAUGAUCAGUCACUACCCGCAUUUGUUUGUUGAUGUGUGAUUCCGAGGACGGAAUCAUUCUAAGGUGGAGAGAAAUGUAACACCUGUGUUUCUGGGCUUGUCAUUAAUAUUGAUGUAAUAGUCCAGGUUAACCAUUGUAACCCGUUUCGAAAUAAUAGAAGUGUAUUAUUUGAGUAUUAUGUGUUUUGUGCUUAAUUGUGUGUCUCAAUUGAGUUAAGUAUGAAAAUAAGCGUCAAAAUUAAAUGUUAGAUAAAGCCGAUAUUUAUGUAUAAUGCUCUAGUAGUUGAAACGAGGUUUCCGAAUAUACAUAGAAUGCCGAAAUCCGAGUUAUAAGGAAGAAGUUAUGAUAUGUCGAAGUUUCGCGACAGAAACCGGCACGACGCUGAAUGACGUAAAAAGUGAAUUUACGUUAGAGUGAUACUUAGCCCUAGUGAUCUAAACGAAUGUUGUAGAUUUCGUUAAAUUGAGAGCGUGCAUAAAAAAAUCGCCCAAAUCUGACUUCGUAUGAGGAAGUUAUGAUUUUCCGAAGUUUCAACUUAUCAGUGUGCAGCCCGAAUACUCGAUUUGAGAUCAAGCGGUUUUUAGCCGAAACAAUCUAAACGAGAAUUGAAGAUCUCGUUAAUGGUAGUGCAAUGGUAAAAAGACAGAUGAAAACGGACGUCGGAUGAAGAAGUUAUGAAUUUAUAACGGGGUUUUUCUGUCCCGGCCUACUAAAAAUAAAUAAUAAAAAAAUAAUAUCAAAAUCAGCCGACGGAGUCUAAACGAAAGUUGUAGAGCGUAGUCUCACCUACGCGUGGAUAUAAAGAAAGUCGAAACGGAGUUCAUAUGAAGAAGAUAUGAAUUUCCGAAGUUUUUAAAUGAUUAACAUUUAUUAAUUAAUCUUUAAUUCGGAUGUAUAUCCGAAGGAGACACCGAUCUAGUCCGCACUACGCCCAGCGUAGUUGAGUACGACCAGCGUACACCGAAGUGUGACCCGCCUUACACUCAAGAGCUCCGAUAACGCAUGCAGUGACGAAUCCGAAGUGUACACCCCGCGUACUGAGCAUUACGCCCAGCGUAAUGUGAGGCUUCAGCCUCUAUAAAAGGGCUUGCGAGGGCAGCCAAUGCUUUUGCUCAAUUUAUUUUCUCUCUCUCCCGUUUUGCAUCGUUUUGCAUACAAAUUAUACCCCGAAACCCCGAUAUCAUUCCCGAGCCCCGAAGCAUGUCCUGAAGCCCCGAAGAUCCCGAGGAGUAGUGUUCCCGAGCCGAAGCUCUGCCUGCAAGAAGCCAAUUUUUUUGAAGAUCUUCCAGAUCUACCGAAGAAUACUACUUCUACAAGUCGUAGUGUUGUCCGAUCAUCUUCUGAUCAAGUGAGUAUGUAGUUACUUUCAUCUAAUGCAUAAUUACGAAGUAUUUUAUACGAAAUACGUGUUAUGUGUAUAUUUGUUGUUAUAUGUGUGAAUGUAUAUUCACUUUCUUCUAUCUCGUACAUAUGACUAAUUCUCUAUGAAAUAUGUGUUAUGUGUAUCUGUCUCAUCUGUUGUUUGGAAUAUGUAUUGAAUGAGAAUGUUAUACAGGUUUUAAACUAAGUAUAAAAAUAUAUAUUUUUAUCUACUAAUAUGUUGGGUAGACCAUGGGUAGAUGGUUGAUGUGUGAUAAACAGAUGAGAGGCCUCGAUGUUGCUGUUGAUCUAGUUAUUCAGCGGACUAUGGAUAAUGACCACAGACUCUUUCGAGACAGUCAUGUGGAACGCUGUGACAUCCUCAAAAUCACGGCCAAAAAAGACCGUUUUAAUUUAUGCUUUUAAAAUAAUUUGAGAGUAAAUCCUUUGAUUUAAAAGAGUUGCGGAAUUUGUUCCCAAAACAAAAUAUGAUAAAAUAAAGUUUUUCAAAGCAUUUCAUCAAGAGAUGCAUCUUCAUUAUAUAACAAUAUUCGGGAUGUCAUGUUCCCAUAAACAGACCAAAAAUAUAAACAACAAAAGAUAGAUCAUACAACAGUUACAUAUAACAAUUGGUCUAGUAUCAAAAGAUCUUGAUAAGUCAUCCAACUUAUGCUCUCGCGCCACUACCUAUAAUACAAAUAAACUGAGUGGGUCAGGCUUGGGAGCCUGGUGAGCAUAUAGGGUUUUCAACCCGAAAUAAAUAAUUAUAUUUAAUUUCACCAACCAACAAUAACCCAAUUACCCAUUCCCGUUAUCCUCACUUUACGUCCCUAAAACAACAUCUAUCUCAAGGGAUCUAAUAUAGGAUUUUCAUCGGGACAGACACUGCACAGGGGUUACCUCAAUAGUAGAUGUCCUAAAGGCAACCAUGAGGGGGAUAGAGUACACCGGUGAACACAUCGUUCACAACACCUAGCUAGCGUUCCACAGGACUGUCUAGAAAGAGUCUGUGGUUGUUAUCCAUACUCCGCUGAAUAACUAGAUCAACAACAACAACAUCGAGGCCUCUCAUUUGUUUAUCACACAUCAACUAUCUACCCAUGUUCUACCCAACAUAUUAGUAGAUAAAAAUAUAUAUUUUUAUACAUAGUUUAAAACAUGUAUAGCAUUCUCAUUCAAUACAUAUUCCAAUCAACAGAUGAGACACAUACACAUAGCACGUAUUUCCUAGAGAAUAAAUUAUAUCUCUGAGAUAGAAGAAAGUGAAUAUACAUUCACACAUAUAACAAAAAAUAUACACAUAACACGUAUUUUGUAUAAAAUACUUCAUAAUUAUGCAUUAGAAGAAAGUAACUACACACUCACUUGAUCAGAAGAUGAUCGGACAACACUACAGCUCUAAGAGUAGUAUUCUUCGGUGAAACUGGGUUCACUUCACUCACCAGGCUUCUUGCGGGCAGAGCUUCAGCUCGGAAACUCUUUUCUUCGAGGGAUCUUCGAGCUUCAGGACUUGCUUCGGUUGUCGGGAUGAUACCGGGGCUUCGGGGGUACUUUUUCACGUAAAUCGAGGUAAUAUGAGUGAGAGAGAAGAGAUUUGGCAACCACAAACGGUUGCCCCUUCAAAUCUAUUUAUAGGGCUAUUUUCUCAUUUUCCACGUCGUGGGCACUUCUUCCACGUCGUGAGCUUGGUCGUCAUUGCAUGCGUCAUCGUCCACUUGCUCUGCCAGGCUCCAGAAGGCGUCAGAAGCCAUGCCACGUCGUGGUCUCUGACGGUUUUGGUGUUUCGCACCCCGAACUUCAGAAAUCCAUAACUUUCGCAUACUUACUCCGUUUUCGACGUUCUUUAUAUCGACGUGUAGGUAAAAACAAGAUCUACAACUUUCAUUUAGACUUUGUAUGCUAAUUUUGACUUUAUUUUUAAUAUAUUAAUAAUAUACUAUUGUUAGUAGGCCGGGACAGGAAAACCCCGUUAGAAAUUCAUAACUCCUUCAUCUGACGUCCAUUUUCGACUGUCUUUUCACCGUUGGAGUACAAUCGAUGAGAUCUUUGAUUCUCGUUUAGAUUGUUUCGUCUAAAUAUCGCUCGAUCUCGUAUUCGAACUUCGGGCUAUACACUGCUAAACAAAAACUUCGAAAAAUCAUAACUUCCUCAUACGAAGUCAGAUUUGGGCCUUCUUUUUAUGCACGCUCUCAGUUUAACGAACUCUACAACAUUACUUUAGAUCGCUAAGUCCAAAUAUUUUUCUAAUGUAAACUCACUAUUUACGUCUCGCUGUGUCGUACCGGUUCUGUCGCGAAACUUCGACAAGUCAUAACUUCUUCGUUAUAACUCGGAUUUCGGCAUUCUUUAUAUAUUCAGAAACCUCGUUUCAACUACUACAACAUUAUCCAUAGAUAUUGGGUUGAUCUAACAUUUCAUUUUGACGUUUAUUUUUAUUCUUAAUUAAAUUAAGACAUACAAUUAAGCACAAAAACACAUAAUACUCAAAUAAUACACUUCUAUUAUUUCAAAACGGGUUACAAAGGUUAACCUAGACUAUUAUAUCAACAUUAAUGACAACCCCAGAAACACCGUCAUUACAAUUCUCUCCACCUUAGAAUGAUUCCGUCCCCGGAAUCACACAUCAACAAACAAAUGUGGGUAGCGACUCAUCAUGUCACUCUCCGUCUCCCAAGUGAGAUUUGGCCCAUUCGUGUGUUUCCAUCGGACAAGCACAAACUCAACCACAUUGCGUCGCAACUUCUUAGUCUUUCGGUCAAAGAUUGCCUCUGGUUCUUCAAUCAAUCUUUUGUUCUCAUCGAUUCUCAACUCCAAAAGUGGAAUCAUGUCGGGAACUUCUCUCGUGAACUUCAUCAAAUAACACACAUGGAAAUUUUUAUGAAUUCCAUUCAGUUCUUCUGGUAGUUCGAGCUUGUAAGCUUGGUUCCCAAUCCUCUAAAGAACUUUAAACGGUCCAAUAAACCUUGGACUCAACCUUCCCCUUUUACCAAAUCUUAUAAGUCCCUUCGACGGCGAGACUUUAAGCAAAACCGAAUCUCCAACUUCAAAAGUCAUCGGUCUUCGCUUGUUGUCAGCAUAGCUCUUUUGACGAUCUUGAGCUGCUAACAUUCUCUCCCUAAUUAUUUUCAACUUUUCAGCAGUUUGAUGGACUAUCUCUAGUCCCAUAAACUGCUUUUCUCCAGCCUCAAGCCAACAAGACGGCGUACGACACUUCUUUCCAUACAAAGCUUGAUAAGGUGUCAUCUUUAUGCUCGAGUGGAAACUAUUAUUGUAGGAAAAUUCUACAAAAGGUAAAUGUUCAUUCCAAUUACCUUAGAAUUCCAGGGUACAUGCUCUCAUCAUAUCUUCAAGUGUUUGUAUUGUUCGUUCGCUCUGAGCAUCAGUCUGUGGAUGGUAAGUUGUACUCAAACACAACUUGGUACCCAAUUCCUCUUGUAGACUUCUCCAAAAUCGCGAGGUAAAGCGGCUGUCACGAUCUGACAAAAUCGUUAACGGAACACCGUGAAGCCUCACAACUUCCUUCACAUAAGAAUUCGCACGCUUUUCCAUAGACCAUUUCUCAUUGGAUGCUAUGAAAUACGCACUCUUAGUGAAUCGAUCAACGACCACCCAAAUCAUGUCGUGACCACUUUUCAUUUUGGGCAGUUUAGUGAUAAAAUCCAUAGCAAUGUCUUCCCAAAUACCCAUAGGCACAGGCAAAGGUUCUAAACUCCCGUAUGGUUUCUAAUGUUGUGUCUUGACUCUCGCACAAGUCACACACUUGGAAACAUACUUUGCAACAUUAAGCUUCAUCGUCGGCCAACAGUUGUAGGGUUUCAGGUCCCUAUACAUCUUAGUGUCGCCGGGAUGAAUUAAGUACAUGGUUUUGUAAGCUUCUUCCAUCAGAAUUUCUCUGACUCCUCUUGUCUUAGGUAUCUAAAUCCGAUCUUGGAACACCUUCAGUGCAUGACUGUUUACACCGAACACUAACGUUUUGCCCAAACAUUCUCCCUUUCGGUCAUUCUUCUCAGAAGCUUCCUCUUGAACUUUCUUUAUACUUUCCAUUAUUGUCGAGACAACUUCAAUUCUCAACGCUCUUGGCCUCUUCCUUUCAAGAUUGACUUUCCGACUGAGAGCAUUAGCAACAACAUUUGCUUUGCUGGGGUGGUAAAGUAUCUCACAGUCAUAGUCCUUAAGUAACUCUAGCCAGCGUCGUUGCCUCAUAUUCAAUUCCUUCUGAUUAAAGAGAUAUUGGAGACUCUUAUGAUCAGUGAAAAGUUGGCACUUCGUGCCAUAGAGGUAAUGUCUCCAUAUCUUUAGAGAGAAAACUACCGCCGCCAACUCCAAGUCAUGAGUCGGGUAGUUCUUUUCAUGCUCUUUCAACUGUCGAAAUGCAUAUGCGAACACCUUUUCCCUUUGGUUCAAAAUACAACCCAACCCAACACCUGACGCGUCGCUAUAAAAACAAAGUCUUCAACUCCAUCGAGUAGAGAAUGUAUCGGUGCCUCGCAUAGUUUCUUCUUUAGCUUCUCGAAUGCUUCUUUAUGCUUAUCACUCCAAGCAUAAGUAGCUCCUUUGUGGGUCAAAGCUGUUAAUGGAGUAGCGAUCAAAGAAAAGCCUUGGAUAAACCUUCGGUAAUAUCCGACUAAUCCCAAAAAGCUUCAGAUCUCCGUGGGACUUUUCAGUUGUUCCCAGUUCAUUACAGCUUCAAUCUUUGCUGGAUCAACCAUUAUUCCUUCUUGGUUGAUCACAUGACCCAAGAAUUGGACUUCUCGAAUCCAAAAAUCACAUUUGAAGAACUUAGCAUAUAGCUUCUCCUUAUUCUAGACUUCUAACACUUCUCGCAAGUAUCUACCAUGCGCCUCUUGGCUUUUCGAAUAAAUCAGAAUGUCAUCUACAAACACUAUCACUGAUUUAUCAAGGAACGGAUUAGAAACCCUGAUCGUUAAAUCUACGAAUGUUGUUGGAGAAUUGGUUAGUCCAAACGACAUAACCAAAAACUCAUAGUGUCCGUAUCGUGUUCUGAAUGCAGUCUUCUCUAUAUCCUGCUCUCUUACUUUCAGGUGAUGAUAUCCUGACCUAAGAUCGAUCUUUGAGAAAUAGCUCGAACCUUGUAGUUGAUCAAACAGGUCAUCAAUCCUCGGCAACAUAUAUCUAUUCUUUAUUGUUGCCUUUUUCAGAUCUCUGUAAACGAUGCACAUUCUCAUACUUCCAUCUUUCUUCUUUACGAAUAACACCGGAGCUCCCCAGGGUGAUGAACUAGGUCUAAUGAAACCUUUGUCCAAUAACUCCUGAAGUUGCAUCAUCAGCUCCUUCAUCUCCGUCGGUGCUAAUCGGUAAGGUGCUUUUGCNNNNNNNNNNNNNNNNNNNNNNNNNNNNNNNNNNNNNNNNNNNNNNNNNNNNNNNNNNNNNNNNNNNNNNNNNNNNNNNNNNNNNNNNNNNNNNNNNNNNNNNNNNNNNNNNNNNNNNNNNNNNNNNNNNNNNNNNNNNNNNNNNNNNNNNNNNNNNNNNNNNNNNNNNNNNNNNNNNNNNNNNNNNNNNNNNNNNNNNNNNNNNNNNNNNNNNNNNNNNNNNNNNNNNNNNNNNNNNNNNNNNNNNNNNNNNNNUCUUUCCCAGGUGGGUUUACUUUGACUAUCUUCUUCUUGCACAAUAUCUCAGCAUCAUUGGCGCUAAGCCAAUCCAUUCCAAGCACGAUGUCAAAACCUUUAAGUUCAAUAGGCAAUAAUUUCUCGUGAAACUUAUUCUCAUUCAAAUCAAUUAAGAUGUUUUUCAUACGAUGACUAACAGGUACAAACUUGCCACUAGCAACUUCGACUAAUAAAGCAUUAUCUAGUCUAUCGACAGGCAAAGCUAGUUUUCUACCAAAUUCAUGUGAAAUAAAGGAGUAGUUGGCUCAAGACUCAAAUAAAAUUUGGGCAGGCAAUUCGUUAACGAGAAAGGUACCUGAAGCGACAUCAGCUUCAUCUUUAGCAGCUUCCAGUGUCAUCUGGAAGGCUCUCGCCUUCGGCUUUGGCGGAAUGUUGGGUCUUGCUGCCUCCUUUUUGGGGCAGUCCCUAGACACGUGUCCCUCCUCACCACAACCAUAACAAACUUUCUUGGUGAGAGUGCAUUCGUUGGCAUAGUGCCCUGGCUUUCCACAUUUAAAACAUGUGGCCACUACCUCACAUUUUCCAUGAUGCUUCUUCUUACAUUUGUCGCACCAUUUUGCUUCGCCUCCUCCUCCUCUCGAACUAGACUUCGAGAACUUUUUUUUCUUGUUGGACCUGAAGGUCCUUCGAACUUCCUCUUUUCACCAACCUCUAUCCUUUCCAGACCCUUUUCCUUCUGUUGGGCCUCCACAUUCUUAGCUGCUCGAACAACUUUUUUCAGAGUGGUUGCCAUCUUGACUGUCGGACCUAAUUCGGUAGGUAGUCCAUUAGCAAACCUCUCAAUCUUGGAGAGUUCCGUUGGCACCAGGUACGAAAAUAACUUUAUUUUCUCAGUGAAUGCAGUAGGAUAGUCGUCUACGCUCAUUCUCCCCUUCUUCAAGUUUUGGAAAUCAUUGUUCAAAUCAAUCAGAUCUAUCUUUGAACAGUACUGCACCCUUAGUUGUUCCAAGAAAUCCUCCCAUGACAUUUUCAGGGCUUCUCCUCAUUGCAUAGUAUCUGCCAACAGCUUCCAAAAACUCAAGACACCAGUCUUCAGUUGUCUAAAUGCAAAGACAGUCUUCUUUUUGUUGCUACAGUCGCAACUUUCAAAUACCAUCUCCAUUUCGGAGAUCCAAUCCAUAAUCUCAACAGGCUUCAGGCUUCCAGAAAGACUUGGCGGCUUGGCGCCCAAGAAAUUCUUGUACAUUCGCCCAUCCUUGUUGUUUCUCCUUUCCGGGUCGUUCCUUCGUUCUCCUUGAGUCCCAACUUGACUCAUAAUGCGACUAUUGUUUCCGUCCUCCGAUUGUUUGGGAAUCAGUUCAGGUUCCUCAAUAGGUAUGAUUGGUUCAUCCCUAUUUUCAUGUAACAUUUGUUGCAUUUCUUCCCUUUAUUCGGCUAACAUAGCCUGAACCAUGGCUUGCACCCCAGCCAUUGUUAUUGGUUCUGGUGCUGCUGCUACAACAGGUAUUUGCUCAAUCACUGGUGGUUGAUUCCUGUUUUCAUCUGCAUUUCCAACGCCACUCCUGGUUCUUACCAUUUUUUAUCUACACACCGAAUAAGGUGAAAUUCGAUCCUCAUCCAUGAUAGAUAAUUAAAUCAUCCUUAUCACUCCGAAACAUUUACAUGUUAGUUCUAAUACCGACGUCAUACGCUUAGAAUCUUACACACAUAAGGUUUCAAGAUCCGGUCGGCAGUAUACCAUAGAUCCGAACAAAUAAUAUCAUAUAUGGCAACAUAUAACAUUUAGCACAUAAAAGCAUUUUAGGCAGCUUCCUAAAAUAUACUAGUGCUCGUGUCUAUAAUAUAAUAGACACACAUCUCACAAUCUCCACUUAGCAUUCUAAUUUUAAGUCUAGAAAUCCUACAAAUUCCUAGUUCGCUUAAACUAAUGCUCUGAUACCAACUGUGACAUCCCCAAAAUCACGGCCAGAAAAGACCGUCUUAAUUUAUGCUUUUACACUAAUUUCAGAGUAAAUCCUUUGAUUUAAAAGAGUUGCGGAAUUUGUUUCCAAAACAAAAUAUGAUAAAAUAAAGUUUAUCAAAGCAUUUCAUUAAGAGAUACAUUUUCAUUAUAUAACAAUGUUCGGGAUGUCAUGUUCAGAUAAACAGACCAAAAGCAUAAACAACAAAAGAUAGACCAUACAACAGUUACAUAUAACAAAUGGUCUAAUAUCAAAAGAUCUUGAUAUGUCAUCCAACUUAUGCUAUCACGCCAAUACCUGUAAUACAAAUAAACUGAGUGGGUCUGGCUUGGGAACCUGGUGAGCAUAUAGGGUUUUCAACCUGCAAUAAAUAAUUACAUUUAAUUUCACCAACCAACAAUAACCCGAUUACCCAUUCCCGUUAUCCUCACUUUACGUCCCUAAAACAAUAUCUAUCUCAAGGGACCUAAUCAAGGAUUUUCAGCGGGACGGACAUUACUGCAAAGGGGUUUCCUCAACAGUAGAUGUCCUAAAGGCAACCAUGAGGGGGAUAGAGUACACCGGUGAAUACAUCGUUCACAACACCUACAGGUUAUGAGCCUGCUAGCGUUCCACAGGACUGACUAGAAAGAGUCUGUGGUCGUUAUCCAUACUCCGCUGAAUAACUAGAUCAACAACAACAACAUCGAGGCCUCUCAUCUGUUUAUCACACAUCAACUAUCUACCCAUGUUCUACCCAACAUAUUAGCAUAUAAAAAUAUAUAUUUUUAUACAUAGUUUAAAAACUAUAUAGCAUUCUCAUUCAAUACAUAUUCCAAUCAAUAGAUGAGACAUAUACACAUCGCACGUAUUUCAUAGAGAAUAAAUCAUAUCUAAGAGAUAGAAGAAAGUGAAUAUACAUUCACACAUAUAACAACAAAAUAUACACAUAACACGUAUUCUGUAUAAAAUACUUCAGAAUUAUGCGUUAGAAGAAAGUAACUACACACUCACUUGAUCAGAAGAUGCUCGGACAGCACUACAGCUCUAAGAGUAGUAUUCUUCGGUGAAACUGGGUUCACUUCACUCAUCGGACUUCUUAUGGGCAGAGCUUCGGCUCGGAAACUCUUUUCUUCGCGGGAUCUUCGAGCUUCUGGACUUGCUGCGGGUGUCGGGAUGAUACCGGGGCUUCGGGGGUACUUCUUUGCAUGUAAAUUGAGGUAAGAUGAGUGAGAGAGAAGAGAUUUGGCAACCACAAACGGCUGCCCCUUCAAAUCUAUUUAUAGGGCUGUUUUCUCAUUUUCCAUGUCGUGGGCACUUCUNUUCACAUCGUUACAUCAUCGCAAGUUGGGUCUGGUAGACUCCAGGAGUCGUCAAAAGACAUGCCACGUCGUGACCACUGAUUUCACAUCGUGGUCUCUGACAGUCUUGGAGUUUCGCGCCCCGAACUUCAGAAAUUCAUAACUUUAACAUACGAACUCCGUUUUCGACGUUCUUUAUAUCGACGCGUAGGUAAAAACAAGGUCCACAACUGUUAUUUAGACUUUGUAGGCUUAUUUUGACUUUAUUUUUAAUAUAUUAAUAAUAUACUAUUUUUAGUAGGCCGGGACAGGAAAACUCCGUUAGAAAUUCAUAACUCCUUCAUCUGACGUCUGUUUUCGACUGUCUUUUCACCGUUGGACUACUAUCGAUGAGAUCUUCGAUUCUCGUUUAGGUUGUUUCGGCUAAAUAUCGCUCAAUUUCAUAUUCGAACUUCGGGCUGUACACUGCUAAACCGAAACUUCGAAAAAUCAUAACUUCCUCAUACGAAGUCAGAUUUGCACAUUCUUUUUAUGCAUGCUCUCGGUUUAACGAACUCUACAACAUUCCUUUAGAUCACUAAGUCCAAAUAUUGCUCUAAUGUAAACUCACUAUUUACGUCUCGCUGUUUCGUACCGGUUCUGUCGCGAAACUUUGACAUGUUAUAACUUCUUCUUUAUAACUUGUAUUUCGGCAUUCUUUAUAUAUUCGGAAACCUCGUUUAAACUUCUACAACAUUAUCCAUAGAUAUCGACUUUAUCUAACAUUUCAUUUUGACGCUUAUUUUUAUUCUUAAUUAAAUUAAGACACACAAUUAAGCACAAAACACAUAAUACUCAAAUAAUACACUUCUGUUAUUUCAAAACGGGUUACAAAGAUUAACCUAGACUAUUAUAUCAACAUUAAUGACAAGCCCAUAAACACAGUCAUUACAAACGCUAGCAGGCUCAUAACCUGUAGGUGUUGUGAACGAUGUGUUUACCGGUGUACUCUAUCCCCCUCAUGGUUGCUUUUAGGACAUCUACUGUUGAGGAAACCCUUAGCAGUAAUGUCCGUACCGAUGAAAAUCCUAGAUUAGGUCCCUUGAGAUAGAUGUUGUUUUAGGGACGUAAAGUGAGGAUAACGGGAAUGGGUAAUCGGGUUAUUGUUGGUUGGUAAAAGUAAAUAUAAUAAUUUAUUGCGAGUUGAAAACCCUAUAUGCUCACCAGGCUCCCAAGCCUGACCCACUCAGUUUAUUUGUAUUACUAGUAGUGUCGCGAGGGCAUAAGAUGGAUGAAUCAUCAAGUUAUUUUAUUUAUUAGACCAGUUAUUAUAUGUAACUGUUGUAUGGUCUAUCUUUUGUAGUUUAUGCUUUUGUGUCUGUAUCGGAACAUGACAUCCCGAGUUUUGAUUUUAUAAUGAAAAUACAUUUUGUUAUGAAAUGCUUUGGUAAAUAUUAUUUUAUCAUGCUUUUUUUGGAACAAAUUCUGCAACAAUUUAAAAUCAAAAGGAUUUACUCUGAAAUUAUUUAAAAAAACAUAAAUGAAACUGGUCUUUUCUGACUGUGAUUUUGGGGAUGUCACACUGCGCCUAAUCGAGAACAUCAUAAUCCUGGCAGCUACGCCCAAAGGACAAUAUUAGCACUUGCGCCUAAUAGAGAAUAUUAUAAUUCUGGUAGUUGCGUCUAAAUGAUAAUGUUGGUAGUUGUGCUUAAUAGAUAACGUUGACAACUGUGUCAUUAGGAAAACGGUGGACUGCGUGCCUAUUCCUUAGGAAAAUCCUUAGGAAUGAAUGAGUUAAUGAUAAAUGAUUCUUAGGAUACAUCCUUAAGAAAUAACGAAGAUAAUGGGGAUGGAUAAUUGGGUUAAUUUUUUAAUGAUUAAACAUAAUUAUAUUAUUGUGGGUUGAAAACCCUAUGUACUCACUAGGUUUCCCAAUAUGACCCACUCAAGUUUAUUUGGAUCACAGGUGUCUAUACGAAGCUACUUUACACUGAGAGAUUAAGGAGACGUAAAUCACUAGUGUAAAUGAAUGGAAGGUCUGUUUAUGCUUAUAUUUAUGUAUUAACGAUGACGUCCUAAAGUUUUAAAAAGAAAUGAAAUACAUUUCUUCGAAAAUGCUUUGAUAACACAUUUAUCAUGUUUUUCUGGGAACAAAUUCCGCAACAUUUUUAUAAAAAGGGUACUCUCAUUUUUAAAUAAAGCAUAAACAAAUCGGUCUUUUCUGGCUGUGAAAAUGGGGAUGUCACAAUUGGUAUCAGAGCAUUAGUUUAAGAGAACUAAGAAUAAGGGUUUAUUUCUAGACUUAAACUUAGAAUGCUAAGCGAUGAUUAUGAGUUGAGUGUGUGAUGUUGCGCAUAAAAAAACACAAAGAUAACCAAGAAUGAACCUGUUGAUUCUAAAAGAAUAGCCAGGACAAUCUCUUCAAAACCACGUUGAUUCUACGAAUACUGUGGGAUUGGCUUCAAAAACUGGGUUAACACGCACAAAAUUUGGGAGAAAACUGAAAGUUCAUAAAAUUGAUGAUCGACCAUCCAAAUUACAUAAAAAACAGUUAAAUAAAAAGCAUAAAUUAAAAUGAAACCCUAAAAGUCCAUGGGCGAAAUACAAACCCAAAAAUUAAGGAAAAAUAACAAAAUUGUUCAUAACUCCAUUUAGAAAGCGAUUUCUGGACUCAAAAUGGGUAAGUCCCUUUCGGGGACUUAUCUAGAUGUGCUCCUUGCUCCAAGCUUCGACUUGACUGGUCGUAGGCCCAAAACGGAGACUCGUAGCCAAAGUUAUGGCCAUUUCCGUGAAGCCCCUUUAAUCACACGAUCGUGGGCCUCUAGGAAUGCAAUGGCCCGAUCCUCCACACUAGGGCCCGCAUCUGUGUGUCUAAUAUAUUUUAGGUAGUACACCUGAAUAGACACAGCCACUAUCUUAUUUUGGGAGGAUGCCUAAAAUGCUUUUAUGUGCUAAAUGAUUUGUGAUACUUUAUGAUGCUAUUGUUCGAUCAGAUAUAUGGUAUGUUGCCCACCGGAUCCAGAAACUUUAUGUGUUUAGAUUUCAAAAUGUUUAAUUACAGUAUUAGAACUGGCAUGUAACUUUUCGGAGUGAUAAGAAGAUUUACAUGUGGAUCGUAAAUAAAACCUUUCCUAUCUUAAUUAUCAUCAUUACACAUCAAACGUCUGAUUUGGUGUAUAGAUCAACAUGUUGAGAACUCGAAGCGGAUUAGGAGACGCUAAUGGAAAUGUUGAUCAACGGCCUAUGAUUUAACGUGCACUAAAGGUAGCAGCUACACCAUAGCCAAUCACAAUGGCAAGAGUCCAAGCAAUGAUUCAGGCUAUGAUAGCCAAACAAAGGGAGGAGAUGAGGCAAAUGUUGCUUAAUAGGGAUGAACCUACCAUGCUCAUUGAAUAACUAGAACUAAAUGAUGAACAGUUAGAGAAGGGAAUUACAGUAGAACCGUUGGUCAAGCUGAACUGCCAGUGGUUAGGAGGAAUAACCAAGAGGAAGGGAUCAAGAGAAAUAGAUGCAAGUAUAAGGAUUUCACAACUUGCAAACCAUAGAUUUUCACUGGGAAAGAGGAUCCAAAUCGGAGUUACAGACCGGAUCUCGGAGAUGGAUUUGGCUUUCAUAACAUGUAGAUUCAAAGGAAAGCUAAAAACCAUAUAUGCAGUGCGUCAGUUGAUGGGUGGAGUUGUUCACUAGUGGAACACUUUGGGAAAGAUCAUGAGUCCUAAUGAGCUGCUGCAACUGACGUGGGCAGAGUUCCUAGUGCAUUUCAAACGAAAGUUUUGCUCGGCCCAAAAUCUGUUGGAGCUAGAGAACCAAUUCCUAACAUUGAAGAAGGGCAUCAUGCCUAUUGACGAAUACAGCAAUGCCUUCACCGACAAGAUGGAAUUUUCUUUGCGCAUCGUCCCUGGCGAACUAACUAAAGUCGAUAAGUAUACAAAGGGACUACCAUGGGAAUAUGUUGUGCUAGUACGCCAGGCACCUACCAUCGAGGCGACUAUCUGGGCUGCUAAGUCUGUUGAAGAAAUGAUCAAGAGUAGGGCCACCAACAACGUCGAAGUUGGUGAAAGAGAAAGUUUGAAGGAUCUUCAAUGUCCAAUGAGAGGAGAAAAUGCUCGAAGUCUGGUUCGAAGAAGUUUGAAGGAGGAGGAGGUGAAGCAAGAUGGUGUGAUAAGUGCAAGAAGAAACACUUUGGAAAAUAUGGCAAGAAGGUGACUUGUUUCAAGUGUGGAAAGUCUGGGCAUUAUGCCGAUGAGUGUAUAUUCAACAAAAGGGUGUAUUACGGAUGUAAUGAAGAAGGGAAUUCAAGCUGGACUGCCCAAAGAGGGAAGGAGCUACAAAGCAAAAUGCACCGCCAAAGCCGAAGGCAAAAACAUUCCAUAUGAUCCUUAAUGAAGCAGAUGAUAAUGCAAGGAAUCAAGAAUGAGGACUGAUACCCGAAGAUCAAGUUAUGAAGUAGCCAUGCAGAUAGUAUCAGGAGGUGUAGCCUAUUAGAGGCAUAUUAUAGGUUGAACUUUAACAUCCAUGUAAUCAUUUCAAGAAGUAAUAUAAGCCUUGGUUUUGUUAUCUGGUGCGUUAAGUUGUUAUGUGAUUUUCAAGUAUGGUGACUUGGAAAACUGCGAGACAAUACUUGGGACAAGUAUGAGUAUAUGUGAAUGGUAGUAGAGGCCUAUACUACCAGAAGCACAGGACUCGCACUUGGAUUAGGGAAAGUCACAAGGUUACCAAGGCACUAGUAAUUGAUUCUUUUUUGUUCAUGUUUGUCGUCACCAUCGUUUCGGUAAUGACUAAGAAGAUGAUUGUUAGUCCAACCCUAGUGGUCAUAUCAAAUCGAGUCCGACUAAGAUGAAUAUGUUGCGUGGUUCAAAAAACCAAGGUCGAUGUUGCAUCUGACUUAAGCCAGACGAUUGAAGUGAAAGAUAAUCGAACCGAUCAAUAGAAGUAUCGUAACCUUUGUUAAGGUAAGAAGCUUGUAGCUAGAAGUGCUACAUGCUAGAAUAUGAUUAUAUCACAUUAGAACAUGAAGGAAGGUAUAUUUUGUUCUAUAGUUUGACUCUAAAAGACCUAAGUCUAAGUGUUGCAUCAUACGAUAAGAGGUCAUUACAACAUGACCCAUCGGUUUAUUGUGGUAAUCAAAUAACUUCUCUUAAUAUAAGUAUGUUUAACAAGAAGUAGGAGUCUCUGAUUUGGAUCGAUUUUGUAACUCGAAGGUUACGAUUGGAAGUCCAACAUAGGAUAAAGAACGGGUGCAAGAUUGAGUACCUCCUGCGGUCAAGAAGUCCAAGAGUUUGAUACUCAUUCGAAGGAACAUAAAAGUUACGAUUAUUACCUAAUAUGAAGAGAUAACAUAAGGAUUCAUUAUACAAGCCCUAUUUUGUUGAUUAUUCUGGGACGUAAUCAUCCUAAGGAGGAGAUAACUGUAACGCCCGCAGAUUCAGGCUAGUCAAUUAGAGAUAUUGAGCGUCAAAAAUGACAUUUUUAUGGGAGUUUAUUUAGAAGAAAUAAUCUUAACCUAGUAAUAGUAUAUGUCACAAGGGUUCCGUACAUAUAAAGAACGCCGAAAUCCGAGUUAUAACGAAGAAGUUACGACCCGACGAAGUUCUACAGCAAAACCGGCACGACACCGCGUAACAUAAAAAGUGAAUUUUUGAUAAAUUACUUUUUAGCCUUAGAGAUAUAAAUGAAAGUUAUAAUAUAGGUUAAACCGAUAGCAUGCAUAAAAAGAACGUCAAUAUCUAACUUCGUAUGAGGAAGUUAUGAUUUUUCUAAGAUUUCGCAAAGUAGUAUACAACCCGGAAUUCGAAUUUCAGAUCGAGCGAUUUUUAGCCAACACAACCUAAAUGAAAAUUGAAUAUCUCAUUAAUAGGAGUUCAACGAUAAAAAGACAUUAAAAAUGGAGUUCGAAUGUACAAGUUAUGAAUUUUACACGGUCAUUAACAAUGUAAUCUUCUCAUACUAGUAAAUUUAAAAUCGGUCGAGAGUUAGCUGUUUGAGUCAAAAGGAGAGUUGUAGAUCAUGUCAAUACCUAUGCGUGGAUAUAAAUAAUGUCAAAAAUGGAGCUCGUAUGCAAAAGUUAUGAAUUUUUGAAAAUUGGUUGUUUUACCUGCGUCCAGCACCACGUGUCAGCACCAAGCGAAGCCAUGGUGCCUACGCAAGGCCACGACGUGGAUUGGCUCCAGAUAGCCUAUAAAUAGAGGCGGAAAUCAUCCGUUUUCUUCACACCUUCACCCUUCUUUCUCUCUCAACGCUCCUAAUCUCUCCCUCCCAAUCCCUAGCAACUUCUAAGUGCUCCGAGAAGAAGAUCUUUCGGCUCAGAAGUUCCACCCCCGCAUAGCCCGGUUCCUAGCCAAACCCACGGUAAGUUAGUUAUGAUUACCCUACUUUAAGUAUAACUUAUGUUUGAGUUUAUUAUCAUUAUUAUGAACUUAUAAACAAGAUUUAUCAAUGAUUCCAAGUAGUUAUAUUGAUUGAUCUACUUAUGGGGAUAAUGUCUAGGCUGUGAUUUUGUGAGGUGUUUAAAGUGGGGUUUCCAAAUAGUAUACUUCGUAUACCAAACGAACCCUACCUCUGAUAUGAUCCUACCUGGUUGCUCUUUACAUGAUAGAUCAUGAAAGUAGACUUUGAGUUAAUGAUGAAUCUAGACUAAUAAUUAGUUGCAAUAAAGAUUAGACUAAAACUUAGCGAUAAUAAUGUUAGGUUUCGUCGAAGGAAGAUAGAAUCGUUAGAAGUGAAGCGUUUCUCGACUUUGGAAUUAUCACUUUGAAAAGUGAGUGCAUAGUUACUUUCAUCUUACACAUUGAUAUGAAGUAUUUUAUAUAAAUUACGCGCUAUGUGUGCAUGUUAUCUGUUUACUUGAUAUAUAUGAUAAAUGAACGAUCUUAUACAUGUACUCUAAACAUCCUAGUAGCUGUGCUCAAAGUGUAGUAUCGGUAGCUGUGCCGUCACACCCCCAAACCAGAACGACGGAAACGUUCAGGGGCGGAGGACGUCAUGUAUAGUAUCAUAACAAUGCAUAAUAGUAAAACAAGCAACAACAUCAUCCAUUGAAUUAAUGAUAGAAUUUAUACAUGUGUGUUCUUUGUAAAGUUGUAAGACACCAAAAAUAUAUAAUCAAAAUAAAGACGAGUCUUGAAUACGCUCUGUCUCCUCAAAACCUGGUCAUCGAUACAUGUCUACUGGUGACCUAAGAAUACAAGUUAUUUUGAAAGAGUAGAUCAACAUUUAAGCUGGUGAGUUCAUAAGUAUAUUAGUGUCAAAAAUUUUCAUCUGUUUCAUGAAAAUGUUUGUAAGUAUUUAGAUGUAAAUGUUUGUAUGCUUCCAAGAAAAUCCUAUAUUUUCUACUAAAAUGAAAAGUAGUCUUCUUCCAAGACUCAACUGUUUUGUAUGUUUGUUUUCUCGUAAAAAUUGAUGUAAGAUGUAUGUUUGUACUUGUAAUAGUAUAAAUGUGGGUUUUCCAUAUUUUUUUAAAACUUUCUAUACACGAAAAAUAGUAUGCAUUUCUUACGUGAGAAUAUCACUGUGUGAAUAUGAUGGAAAAAUGACGAUAUUCAGUAGUGUUGUAUAAAAUAUCUACUGAAGCACUAACUACCUUAAAGCAAAUUGUUAAUUAAGGUAAAACGUGAUGAGGUUAUAACCAUGCUUGAUUGACUUGUAUAAAACACAACGAUCAAAAUACAUCGAAAUGGUAUGACAUUUGUCACUUGUAGACCUGUAGGUCCCAUUGUAGCUAGCAACAAGGUUUAGGAUGGUCAAUCCAGUAUAGAUCUAUACACAAACUCACGCUCUCCCUCCAAGAGACUCUGGUUACAAAGCGUGACACAACAAGUAUAUUGAUAUGCCAUGAAGUAGUGGCUCACAUUAAUGUUAUCUUGUUCUAGUUAUAGUAUGUAUGUUCCUUUCUGUUCUAGUUAUAGUAUGUAUGUUCCAAUCUGUUCUAGUUAUAGUAAGUAGUAAUACUCUAAACUAUACCUAUUAUAGUUUACUAGUAUGAUUGUUUGACUGUUACUAAUUUGCAGAAAAGUCUCAAUUACUCACAUAAGCAACUAACUUAAGUAUGUAACUUAAAAAUGGGUUUAAUAUUCAUAUAUGUAUUUAAUAAGCAUAACUAUGAUUUUGCUGACAUUCGAACUAGUGAUCCUACCCUAAGCCCACAACCAAACAAAGAAACAGGAGUUAAGGUAUCUCGCAGUAGUCCUAAGCCCGUUAAAGCAUACUUACACGUAAACAGAUAGACGAAUAUGAUUUGAUAUAAAAGAAGUUUAUAAAAGAUUUAAAAGAGUUUUAACAAGUUUUGAGUAUAAGAAAUCCCUUUGGAUGUUGUUUUCACAUGUAAAUGGUUAACAAAAUUUAAUUGUGUUCUACUUGUUAUCCCCCAUAAAAGCAUUUAAAAGGUAUUUAAAAGUGUAUUGUAGGGGUAUGAACUCAUAUGUAGUGAGUGAUUCGAAUGAAAGAUCGAUAUAGGAUGAUAAGUAUGCCAAGUGAAGUAUCGAGCACAAACGGGUCCUAUUAAGCAUAUAAUAACACAUAUAUGUAUACAAUUAGUAUAUAUAACAACUAAAAUGUAAGGGAAACAACCUUAGGAACUAGGAAACACUUUGAAUGAAGUGUUAGCAUCACAAAUGAUUGGCUGAAAGGUGUUCACGACUAAACAAGGGGUGUUCACGGCCUUAGGAGGGUACAUGUCCAUAGAACGCAUGAUGUGUUCACGGACCAAGGUUGAUCUUAUGAAGGUUUCACGGUCCUAUGAUGCAUCUAUGAAGGGUUCAUGGCCCUAUGAAGGGUUCACGGUCGUGAACUCUUGAAGAUCUUGCAAAUAAGUGUUUGUUUCAUGGGUGGAAUCAAGUGUUUCUAAGGGACAACAAGAUGAUGGAUGAGAUACUUAUGUUUUGGAAGCCUUUAGAAGUGUUCACAGUUGAAGAUAGUUGAGAGAGAAGUGGUGUUCACGGCUAGGGUUUAAAGAAAUGAAGAAAAAUGAGCCAACUCCUUAUAUAUAAGACUUGUUCACGGCCAAGGAUGGGUACACGGCCAUGAACCUAGAUGUGGCCGUGAACUCCUUUUGGUGGUGUUUCCGGCUCGAUUGCAACUCAAUGAACUCAAGCUAACACUUCCUAACUCACAAUCCUUGAGUGUACUAGGCUUAGAAAUUCUCAAACAUACCCUUAACACAACAUAAAGGUAACAGAAACAAGUCUGACUUUAGAUUGAAUUGAUUGACUUUACAAGAUAGAAAUUCCAGGUUGUCGCAUGUGCCUAAUAGAAAACAUCAUAACCCUGGCAGCUACGCCCAAAGGACAAUAUCGACUGUUGUGCCUAAUAGAAAAUAUCAUAAUUCUGGCAGCUGCUCCUAAAUGAUAAUAUUGGCAGCUAUGCUUAAUAGAUAAUGAUGAUAUAUGGUCCAUUAGCAUGGCCUAGACUGCUCUAGCGCGCCAUAUGAUGCGACAUCGGCUCCGACCACCUGCUCUAAGGAGAUGCUUCUGCACCAGAGAUAGAUCUGUGAGGUCACAACAAACAAGACCGUUAGAGCUGCCCCAAAGACUGUGCCCUGGGAGAGAGCUCCGACGGUCAAGUUAGAUCAUUUGGUAGAUCUGAGAUGGAUCUCUUUAGCUAGAGAGGAUCAUCCUUGUGUUGGUGGUGUUGUAUGGUGGUUGACGGCGGCGGGUGCCGGCUGAGCCACCCGGCCAAAGUAUAGGGCGGCGGCUGAGCCAAGGGGAAGAUCCUAAUGGUGGCAGAACCACCUAGGAAAGAGUCCUCCUUCAUGAAGGAGGCACUAUUCUAUUUAUAGGGGGACAACUAGGUCAAGGGGAAUUAGGUCAGGCCUUGGGCCAACCCAAUUCAGGCCCAGCUAGCAAGGAGCUGGGUAAGGCCGCCCGGAGGCGCCGCGCGGGACUUANUGACGGGCGCGUACCAGGAAAGGACGGCAAGGGUGCGCCAGGAAAGGGAGCGUCAGGUCGGGCCUGCAAGAGAUUCCCCAGCAAGGCUGGCAAGGGAGUCCCCAACAAGGUUGUCAAGGGAAUGCCAGGAGAGGCUGGCAGGAGCGCGCCAGGCCAAGAUGGCGCGCUAGAGCAGUGUAGGCCAUGCUAAUGGACCAUAUAUCAUUAGAUAACAUUGACAGCUGUGUCAGUAGGAAAAUGAUGGACUUUAUGCCUAUUCUUUAGGAAAAUCCUUAGGAAUGAAUGAGUGAAUGAUAAAUGAUUCUUAGGAUAGAUCCUUAAGAAAUAACGAAGAUAAUGGGGAUGGAUAAUUGGGUUGAUUGUUUAAUGACUAAACAUAAUUAUACUAUUGUGGGUUGAAAAACAUAUGUACUCACUAGGUUUCUGAACCUGACCCACUCAAGUUUAUUUGUGUGACAGGUGUCGAUACGAAGCUACUUUACACUGAGAGAUUAAGGAGAUGUAGAUCACUAGUUAAAAUGAAUGUAAGGUCUGUUUAUGCUUAUGUUUCUGUAUUGACGAUGACAUUCCAAAGUUUUAAAAGAAAUAAAAUACAUUUCUUCGGAAAUGAUUUGAUAACACAUUUAUCAUGUUUUUCUGGGAACAAAUUUCACAACAUUUUUCUGGCAUCGGGCCUCGCCCGGUAUACAAAUAACAUAUAAGCACAUGCAUAAAAAUCACUUAAACACAUGCAUAAAAAUCACAAUGAUAAAUAGCAUACAAUAUAAUCAUUACGCCCCGCCCGGUAAUCAUAUAAACACAUAACACAUGCAAGAGUAACACAUACAACUAGUAAGGAAACUCACCUCAAGCUGCAAAAUCACUCGGAUAAAAUCUCAAUCUGUUGGUCCGGAAGAUCCUCGCGCUAACCUCAUAAUAUAAAUAUCCAAUUAAUAAUUGGAUCUCGACCCAUAAUAACCAAUCUAAGUUCCUUUUCCAAUAUCCAGGGUAAAAGAUUGUUUUACCCUUUUUCUUACAUGGCCCAAAACCAAGGCCCAAUCCAUUGCUCAAAAGGGCUAAAUUCCAAAAUGGCAUCCAUAGGCCCAAUAAGGCCCAACUUCCAAAUUGGGCUGAAAAUCAUCAUGGACCUAAUCCCAUGAAAGUCCAUAGUCUAUCCAUGACCCAAAGUCAAAAUUCUAAUGACCUAACAAGGCCCAAAUCUUAAAAACCCAAAAUAUGGCCAAAACCCAGGGAAGUCAAACCAAAAGUCAACCUACUGUACGCUUAGCAUACUCCUUCCAGGGCAAGUAUGUGCAUCGUACCAACUGGGUAUGCCCAACGUACUCCCCAGAUUAUCAACCCAACCCAUUAAUAACUUAAUUGGUUAAGCCAACAUGCUAAACUCUCAGAUCUGGUUCUAAAUGGCGACUUACUAUGUAAAGUUGACAACUUUACACCCAUGCAUGAAUUAAUGGGGCCCAACACUAAAAAAGAAGCUUAAUAAGACUCUUAACACUUGCAUGGAAUAAUAUCUUACAUAAAGUUUGCAUUUUUAUGGGCAAAGGACCUCAAAUCAGCGAAGAUCUAACAUCCAUAGCUUCUGGAGUGGACCAUAACUUCAUAUAUGACUUAAAAGACCCAAAAACGCAUAAAUAUCACCAUAAAAUGGAUCUAGCACAAAGGACCAUCCAGAUGAGAGAUUUUUACCUCAAAAGGCUUGCUAAGGUGAAGAUAACUCUAGAUCUACAAGAUUAAGCUACUCCCAAGAAACCUCGAAGUGUUCCUCGUUUUCUUCUUCUUCACCACAAAACACCAACAAACUCACUUUCAAGCUCAAAUCUGACCAAAUACACUUAGGGUUUCGAUAUUGUGACAUAGGGUGAUGGAGGCUGAUCAAUAAAAUGUCCAAAGGUGGUUUAAGAUGUUUAAGUAGGCUGCAAACCCUAAAAAUUAGGGUUUGCCCCUGCUCUACGUAUGUCAUGCAUACUCUACGUACGCCCCACAUACGUGGGUGAAUCUUGCGUCCAGAAAAUAGAUAGUAUGAUAAGCGUACUCAUAGAGUAUGCCCUGUGUACUAGCUAUGGACCAAAAUGAUAAGGAUUUUGCAUUAAGGGGUUAGAAAGAAACUUACCAAAUUACGAAUGUUACAAUUCACUUUAAUCAGAAUUUGUCCUUGAAGUAUGCUGCUCCAAACAACUUUGGGUAGUGCUCUCUCAUCUCGUCCUCCGGCUCCCACGUCCAUUCUGAACCCUUUCGAUGCUGCCACUGAACUUUCACCAAUUCAACAACCUUGUACCUCAAGGCUUCGUCUUCCUGUCAAGAAUUGUUACCGGUCUCUCGAUAUAAUUCAUGCGAUCAUCCACUUAAAUAUCCUCUAAUAGAACCACCACGGAAUCAUCAAUUAAACAUUUUUGUAACUGAGAGACAUGAAAUAUGCUAUGGAUCAUACUAAGAUCCUCGGGAAGAUACAAGCGAUAAGCAACCCGAACCACCCGUGUGAUAAGUCCAUUUUAUGAAUGUACUAAAUUGUCAUAAAUCUGUUGAAUUGAUGUAUAAUUGUCCAAGAAUGGCACUACAUUGCUGAGUUAUUGAACUUCAUAUGCAGGUCAAUAUAUUGUACUAAAAGUGGGUGGAACCUACAAGUAAAACGGAUUGUUAAAGGAAUGAAGAAACGUUGCUGGGAAAAUUGACCAUUCUUCAAUGUUUUGGUCUAAUCUCAAGUUCUGGAGCUCCGAUUGACAUGAGUAUAGAAGUUCUGGAAACUAGACAAGAUUUUCUACAACUUUCGUGUUUUGUGCUUCUGCUAGUUAUGUCGUUUUGACUACCAAAACUUGCACAGAAGAUGAAGGACACCUCCAGACAUCUAAGACGUCCAGGUCAAACAGCCAACAUCUGGUCGUUAUUUCAGAGCAGAAAAGAAGGAAGAACCCCGUCAGCAUCUAACAUGGAAUCUAAGAUGUCCCCUAGGAUGUCUUGGCAUUUUAGGGACGUCCCGUGUUGGAACGGUGUGUUUAGGAAAGUUUAGAAAACAAGGCACGACGUCCUAGAACGCAUCUAAGACGUCUCCUAAGACGUUUGACGUUUUUGGCCAUUUUUUAGUAUAUUUCAAGGACGUACAAAGAUCGCUUGGGCGUUAUACACGACGUCUAAGAUGUCUCCUAGGACGUCCAACGUCCCACAUCGCCCAAUUUCAUUAUUUUUUAUCCCACACUAUAAAUAGGAGCCUAUUUCGUUGGUUAAAAUUCGGAUUCAAAGCAAGAUUCGAUUCAAUUCAUCAUCAAGCUAUAAGUGAAGAUCAUUUCAUUGGUUAAUUUUCAUCAAUUCUUUAUUUUCCAGAAUUAUUUCUUCUUCCCCAAGGUUUAUUUGUUCUACACUUCGAUAAUCAUUAGGCUACAUUUGUUUGAUGAUUCUACGUUUGUUUAUGAAUUCUAUAAUGGAUUUUAUUCAUUUUAAUCAAGUUAUUUGUCUUAUGAACUCAAUGGAAGGCUAAAUCAUUAGGGUUACUUCCGGGGAUGUUUAGGACUUUUUGAUGAACACACUUGAUUAUUACUUGAUUCUAGUUAAUUUCAAUUGUUGUUUUAUGCUUCAUGUGAUGAUCUUUUGGUAAUGAUAAUUGAAAUUGGGUUGUAUGAAUUGUUUGAUGUCAUAAUUAAGAUAGUCUAUUGUCAAUUCAUCAUUUGUUCCAAGUUCACAUAGUUUAGGAAUAAAGACAAGUGAUUGAAUCAACAUAUAUUAUUCCAACUUAUGAUAUUGAAUCUUAAUGCGGUAAUAGGUACUUGUAAGAUAUUUUAUUGCUAGUCCACUAAUUGUUCUUAAUCCAUUGAGGCAUAAAGGAGUAAGACAACUAGUUAAAUGAACAUUUAGUAUGCCCAAACUAUGUAUUACAAGUUAAUAAAUCCCAAUUGUAUCUAAGUAAUUGAAUUAGGAUUUAAGGGAAGAAAGUGUGUGAAUUUAAACUGUCCAUAACUGAACCGGGAGUACUCUAGUUUUCUCAUUGAGAUUUUCGUUGUAAUUAAUAAAUUUCCAUGCUUUUUGUUUGAUCUUUGCGUUAAAUUCUUUUUCGUGACAAUUGCUAGUAGCUUUUUUUCGUUGACUAUUUUAACACAAAGUUUGACAACAAACUCCCUGUAGAUUCGACCCUUACUUACCCUAGCUAUCUAGUGGUUUUGAGGUUAUUUUUGAUUGAUACAACGACAUCAAUCAUAAUUUGGCGCCUUUGUCGGGGAGAUUGUGCGCUUGAGCUAUUGUUUUUAAGUAGUUAUAGCCUUUUACUUUCAUUUUCAAUUCUCGUUUGUAGUUCACAUUUUGUUUUAUUUGUGUUGUGCAGGCACACUGGUGCAUGCAUACAAGACAUAGCAGACGCUCUUCACCGCUUGCAUUUGAUCCGGAAAUCGAACGAACAGCUCGCUCAAAUCGGGUCGCCAGAAGGAACAUCAACACUAUGAGUGUAGAUAAUGUUGUCGUGGAAGAUGUGGUUGAAGGGCAUGAGGAAGAAGCCAACAAUCCUCCACCACUAGUUCCACCACCAGCUCCUCAAUUCCCAAACAACAACAAUGGGAAUAACAACAAUGCCGGUGCACCAAUCAUCCAACCAGUGCAACCAUAACUGAAUAGAAACAACCGUGGCCAAAAUGGUGGAAACGGAGGAAAUUGGGCAUAGAAUAUGGGAGGCAAUGUAGGAAACCACACUGGUGGUAAUGUUAGAAAUCAUAACCAAAAUCCUAGAAAUGUUGGUCCUCAAUUCGGUAAUGGUGGUAAUGGUGGUAACGAGGAUGAUUGGGAUUUUGACGAUGGAAGUUACAACGGACUUGGUUGGAAUCAUAACCACAACGGUGGUAAUAGGCGGAAUCAAGGAAAUCGGGGUGGAAACGGGUACUAAAACAAUAACUGGAACAACCUGAAUUUCCCUAAUGGUGGCAACAAUUACUACAAUGAUGGGUUCGGAAAUCAAGGCUUUGGGAAUCAAUAUCGAAGGAAUCCAAAUGGUGGAUUCAACAAUGCGAAUGGAGGAUACUAAAAUGAAGGUAAUCAAUUCCCUCAUCUUUACUUUCUGCAGCCUAAUAGACAAUCUGUGGCGUCUCAUUUUCAGCCGAGAGAGUAUGAUGAUGCUUCACCCAUACUCUUCGCAGAAGUAAAUGAGCAUCAUGUAGAAGUAAGACCACAACUAAUUAGUGUCUUACCCGUCUUUAGAGGCCAUAAAACUAAUGAUCCAUACAAUCACCUCUAUGAGUUCCUUGCAAUUGCUAACGCGAAUACUCCGCGAGGAACUAAUAGAGAUUCAUUUAGACUUCUCUUAUUUCCGUUCACUUUAAAAGAAAAAGCUAAGUAUUGGUUCACUUCUCUUGCCCCCAUAGUAUCACUACUUGGGAGCAAUUAAAAACUAAAUUUUUGCAAGAGUUUUACCCAGCUAGUAAAACAACGGAAAUAAGAAAAGCCAUAGAAGAUUUUGCACAAAAACCCAAAGAAGAAUUUCAUGAUGCAUUUGAACGCCUCAAGGAAUUGUUCCGUUCAUGUCCCUAUCAUGAAUUUCCCCGUUGGCAACUGGUAGGUUUCUUUUAUGAUGGAGUCGAUACUGCCAAUCAAAGCAUGAUUAAUGCCUCGUCCGGCGGCAUUAUUAUGAUACAAGAUAGUGAAGACGCUUGGCGAUUCUUAGAGUAGUUGAGUCAUGGUUCAAAAACCAAUUACUCAGCUAAGAAACGGGACAAUCCAGUUUCAUCUGUUGCUUCAGUUGGACUAGACAAAAAACUGGAAAAAUGAAGUCAAAUCUGAUAUUAAUUCUUUAAAUAAAAUUUUUGACUUACUACUCUCUAGUCUAGGCAAAAAGAAAGGUGUGUUUUUUCGCAGGGACAGAAGAUAUGUGUAAGCUGUGGAGAUUCAUGACACAUUGCAGAUGAGUGCAUGAGAAUUCAAGAGGAAAUCAAUCAAGUGCAUGGUUAUGGUCAAUUCCAAAAUAAUCCACGAUCAUUCAAUCGGAACUACAUCCAAGGCGGGAACUACAACAACAUUGGGAUUUUCAACAACAACAACCGUCAAGGGAAUUACCAAAACCAAAAUCAGCCAAAACAGUUCCAGCAGUCCAACUUUAACCAAGGUGGAACAUCAAAGAAGGAGGAAAAUGAUGGCAACAAGUUGGACAAAAUCAUGGAGUUCAUAACCUAAACAUAUCAGAAAACCGACACUAACUCCAAGUCUAUAGCUGCUAUUGAGAAGCAAAUUGCUCAACUGGCGGAGCAAAUUGGGAAAAGAGAAGAUGGCAAGUUUCCAAGCACCACAACAGUGAACCCAUCUCAUACCCAGAGACCCCGAAAAGAGCAUCAAGUGAACGAGGUAAUUACCUUGUGUAGUGGAAAAAAGGUUGACAACAAGGUAAGUGCUUCUACAUUAGAUAAUGACAGUGACACUGAAGUCAUCUUUGAUGAAAAAGAAGAGUUUGAGAAAGAUUUUAAAUCCGAAAAACAAAAAGAAGAUAAGGUUAAAAAUGACUCUAAAGUUGGGGAGCAUGGUGUGGAGGUUAAUACCGCACCAUACCCUUCGGCUUUAGAGAAGCCGGCAUCCUUCCCUUUUGGGAAGCGAGGGCUAAAAAUGGAAGACAUGUGAGAUCUAUUUAGUCAAGUUAAAAUAAAUAUCCCAUUAGUCAAACUUAUUAAGGAGGUACCUUCUUAUGCUAAAUUUUUGAAGGAUUUGUGUGUUCAAAAACGCAAACUCCAAGCAUACCUCCCUAAAAAGAUUGAUUUAGUCAAGCAUGCGAGUUCGAUAAUAUCAAAUAAACUUCCACCCAAGCUUAAGGAUCAUGGAGCACCUUUAAUUUUUGUUACGCUAGGUAACAUUAAUAUAAAAAAGGCGCUCCUUGAUCUUGGAGCUAGUGUUAAUAUAAUCCCGGGAAAUUUUUUUGAUCAACAUGACUUAGGCACUUUGGAACAAACUGAUAUUAUUUUACGAUUGGCCGAUAAGUCAACAAAAAUUCCUUGGGGAAUAUUAUCAGAUGUUAUUAUUAAGGUGGGAGAUUUCUAUUACCCAGUUGAUUUUCUUAUGCUUGACACCGUGAGCACUUAUAAAGAAAGUCAACCUUCUAUUAUUUUAGGUCGUCCGUUAUUGACAGCAAUAAAUGCACAAAUUAAUUGUAGAACGGGUGCAAUGGAUAUCUCUUUUGGAAAUAGGAAACUUAGAAUUGAUAUUUUUAAUACGUUUCCUAACUCACCAUCAGAUUAUGAAUGUUAUCAUGUGGAUGUGGUUGAUGACUUAGUGCAUCAAUUCACUCUUAAAAUCUUACACCCUGAUCCAUUGGAGUUUUUUCUUUCUAAUGACAGGGACGAAGUUUUAGAGUUGGAUGACAUCAAGAUGGUUGAGGAGGCAUUUGAAAAUGUUAUUGAGCAAGAGAGGCCACCAUGGAGUUAUCAAGUUGAAAAAUUGCCAACAAGUUUUUCGGACCCACUUAAGCCAUCUUUGGAGGAGCCACCCAGUCUUGAACUCAAAACUCUUCCUUCACAUCAUAGAUACUCUUUUUUAGGAUCUAAGGAGAACUUACCAAUUACCAUAUCUUUUGAUUUGACAUGUCCACAGGAGGAAGCAUUACUGAAGGUGCUUUCGAAGUACAAGGGAGCAAUUGGAUGGACCAUAGCAGACUUGAAGGGAAUUAUUCCAGCCACAUGUAUGCAUUGAAUCAUCACUGAAGCUAGAGAAAAGCCAUCCCGAGAUGCACAACGAAGGCUCAACCCGAAUCUGCGAGAAGUUGUUAAAAAGGAGGUGUUGAAAUGGCUUGAUGCGGGUAUUAUCUACCCAAUAUUUGAUAGUGAUUGGGUGAGCCCGACACAGACAGUGCCAAAGAAGUCGGGCGUUACAGUGGUAGAUACAGAAGAUGGAGAGAAGAUCUCAACAAGAUCGGUCACCAGAUGGAGAGUUUGCAUCGACUAUCGCAAACUCAAUGCUGCAACAUCAAAUGACCAUUUCCCUCUCCCUUUUAUUGAUCAAAUAAUUGAGAAAUUGUAUGGUAAAAAGUUUUAUUGUUUUUUGGAUGGAUACUCGGGGUAUAAUCAAAUUGCCAUCCACCCCGAGUAUCAAUCCAAAAUGACAUUCACGUGUCCAUAUGGCACCUUUGCUUUCCGAAGGAUGCCAUUCGGCUUGUGUAAUGCCCCUGCCACAUUUUAAAGAUGUAUGAUGGCUAUUUUUUUAGACGUGGUGGGGGAUGCAUUAGAAAUUUUCAUGGAUGAUUUUUCUAUUUUUGGAUCAUCUUUUGAGACAUGCUUAGACCAAUUAGAAAAAGUUUUGAAACGUUGUAUUGACUCUAAUUUGGUUUUAAGUUGGGAGAAGAGUCAUUUCAUGAUAAAAUAGGGAAUUGUACUUGGCCAUGUUGUCUCCGAGCAUGGCUUUGAAGUCGACCGGGCCAUAGUACAAAUUAUUUCUACUCUUCUCCCACCAACUUCAGUAAAAGGCGCCCGUUCUUUUCUUGUACAUGCCGGCUUUUAUCGAAGAUUUAUCAAGGAUUUUAGUGCAAUGUCAAAACCUCUUUGUAAUUUACUUUUAAAAGAUGCACCAUUUUCCUUUGAUAAAGCAUGUCUUGAAUCUUUUACCACAUUAAAGAACAAACUUGUUGAAGCUCCUAUCUUGCAAUCACCCGAUUGGACUUUACAUUUUGAAAUUAUGUGUGAUCCAAGUGAUUACGCGGUAGGGGCAAUUUUGGGACAACGGGUGAAUAAAAAACCCAUUGCAAUUUGUUAUGCGAGCAAAAAAAUUUCGGAUGCACAAUUGAAUUACACUACUACCGAAAAAGAGUUGCUUGCGGUCGUGUUUGCACUUGAAAAUUUUAGAUCUUACAUAUGGGGAUCUAAAGUUGUAAUUUUUACCGACCAUAGUGCCAUUCACCACCUCUUGGAAAAGAAGGAUGCCAAACCACGUCUCAUAAGAUGGAUCCUUCUUCUUCAAGAGUUUAAUCUUGAAAUUCAGGACAAAAAGGGUUCUGAAAAUGUUGUGGUGGAUCAUUUAUAUAGAAUAACUAAUAAUGAUAACUCAACGAAAGUUAUUCAAGAAAACUUUCCAGAUGAGCAUAGUCUUGUUGUCAAAACUAUACCAUGGUUUGCUAAUUUAAUUAAUUACUUUGCGACAGGGGAAACUCCAUUGUAUUGGAAUGCUCAACAAAUGAGGUUCUUCCACUCUCAAACAAAAUACUACAUAUGGGAGGACCCAUAUAUUUUCAAAAUUGGAGCAGAUCAAGUGAAUAGGAGAUGUGUACCACAUACAGAGCAAGAAGACAUUCUUCGACACUGCCAUUCAUAUACAUGUGGAGGGCAUUUUAGUGCCAAAAGGCAGGGCAUCGGGUUCUACAAAGCGGUUUUUUCUGGCCCUCUAUUUUUAAAGAUGCACAUACAUUCGUUAAAGCUUGUAUUCGUUGCCAACAAGUUGGGGGGAUCUCAAGACGGGACAUGAUGCCAAUGACCCCAAUUUUAGUAGUUGAAAUCUUUGAUGUAUGGGGCAUUGAUUUCAUGGGUCUGUUCCCCACUUCUUUUGGCAAUCUAUACAUUCUUGUAGCCGUUGAUUAUGUAUCAAAAUGGCUCGAAACCGAGGAUACACACACGAAUGACCAUAGUGUUGUUUGUAAAUUUGUUAAAAAGAACAUAUUUUCUACACACGGAAUCCCUCGAACUAUUAUUAGUGAUGGGGGCUCCCAUUUUAAAAAUUGGCAUUUUGCAAAGUUACUUAAACACUAUAGUGUCACACAUAUGAUAGCUACUCCAUAUCACCCACAAACAAAUGGACAAGUAGAAGUGUCAAAUAGGGAAAUAAAACGAAUCUUGGAGAAGACUGUUCAUCCCGACCGAAAAGAUUGGUCAUUAAGAUUAGAUGAUGUGUUAUGGGCAUAUCGAACAACCUAUACGACGCCCAUUGGAAUGUCUCCGUAUCGGCUUGUUUAUGGAAAGCCAUGCCAUCUCCCGGUGGAGUUAGAACACCGUGCCAUGUGGGCCAUAAAAAAUGCUAACUUUGAAUUGAGUGAUGCAGGUAUAGAAAGGAAACUCCAAAUUGUUGAAUUGGAAGAGAUUCGAAAAGAAGCUUACGAAAGCUCAAGGAUCUAUAAAGAAAAGACGAAGGCAUUUCAUGACCGACAUAUUGUCCGAAAACAAUUCGUUAAAGAACAAUUGGUGUGGCUAUUCAACUCUCGUCUCAAACUCUUCCUCAGAAAGCUUCGGAGUAAAUGGAAUGGACCUUUUGUGGUGAAAAAUGUGGCGGAUCAUGGAUCUAUUGAAAUCAAGGACACGAAAGGCAGUGAACCAUUCAAGGUAAAUGGACAAAGACUCAAACCUUAUAUUCGAAUGGUAAAUGGUGAAACAACAUUCGUUGAGAAAACAACGCUCAAGGCAACACAAUAUUUAGAAACAACUUAGUCGAGGUAAACCGUCCGGCUGAAGACAUAAAACUUACCGCUUUUCGGGAGGCAACCCGUGGUUUGGUGUGUUUUUACUUCUAUUCUUCUUUUGGUGUGUUUUAAUUCUUUUCGUAUCGAGGACAAUCCAAGGUUUAAAGUUGGGGAGGGGGUAUUUAAUUUUUGUUUAAAAUUAAAUAAUAUUCGAAAAAUACUCAAAAAACAGCAAAAAAAAAUAGCCUCAGGCAUCCUAGGGGUGUCUUAGACGUUGUCUAAGACGCCGUCGGGCUGUCACUUCUUUUCCCCCCGAUGAAAACCCUUCGCGAAAAUUAAAAAAAUACCCUUAAUGUGUAUGACGUCCUAGGACGCGUCUAAGACGCCGGCUAGGACGUCGACGUGUUUUUCAACCGUUUUAUGCCGUUUUCUGCAUUAUUGUUGGUAUCUUUCUUCUCCAAACUGCCAUAGCCGAAAACCCACUUGUUCUUGCUUAUUUCCUUUGAUUUCUUGGCCAAAACUCAACCAAAAUUCGUGGUUUUUGUUGCAAUCUUCAAGAAAUCAAGUAAGAAACAUCACAUUGCAAGAUUUACACACUCUAAUCACUUAUUUGGGGCCGAUUUCAAAACCCACAAAAACUAGGGUUUCGAAAUUUUGACUUAUUUUGAGAUUUUACUUCAAGUUCUUGGUUCUUCUUCACUAGAAACACAAUUUCAACAAGGUAUAUGCUUCAAAACUCCAUCUUUUAGUUGAAUUUCAGAAUUUUUGCAUGUAUGUUCAUAUAUGUUUGAAAUUUUGAAAAAGAUGAAGAAUAUGAUAUAUAUUGGUAUGAAUUCUUGUGAAUUAGUGUUUGUAGUUGUUAGAAGUAUGUUCCAAACAAGUUGCAUGUGUUGAUUCGAGAAAUUUCUAAAAAUUGAAUUUUUGUUGUUAGUUGUUAAAAAAUAAUAAUAAUAAAUAAAAGCACAUAUAAUGUUGGAAAAUCAUUCUUAUGUUUAUAUUUGUGUUUGAAUUAAAAAUUCAAGUUUUUAGAAAAUUUCAGAAUGACACUGAAUUUUGACAUUGCAUUGUUAGUCUGAAUAUUUGCCUGUUACAGUUCUGUUCUGGUUUUAGUUAGAACUUGUCAGUUGAAGUUAACUUUUGGUUUAACUGUGUUUUUACUGAUUGGAUAAAUUUUUGAAAAAUAUUUAGUUACUAAAAACAUAACAGGACUUAAAACGGUUAUUUAUUUAGACUGGAUUUAUUUUAACUUUGUUUGGAACAACUUGCCAACUGAAUUAUUUGUUUUAUUUUUGUGACAUUUGAUAUGUUUAAUGGCAAGUUUUGUUUUGUGGUUUUGUGUAUGAAUUAUUUUGCAGAUGCCAGCAAAGAGAUCAAGGGUAGCAUCAUCAAGCAGUGCAUCUAGACAACCAGCUAGACAGUCGGAGCCAAAUGUACAUGUGGCUUUCAACCCACAGUAUCAGACAUUGCAUGAGCAUCUAGAUGACAUUCGUCCAACAGUUUAUGAGGCAACUCAUCCGAAUAUGGGUUUUAUUGUAGAGUACAUGGUGGAGCGACCGAGCUUCACUAGGUAUAAUAUUGUGGAGACGUUUGAUCGCUAUGGAUGGGGUGGAGUGCUAGACUUCAAUCCCACGCAGAUUUAUGUUGAUAUAGUGCAGGAAUGGAUGAGGAAACUUCGACGUGUCGAGGUGCCUGGUAGGCCGGAGGAGUUGCCGCUGAUUGGGACGGUCCGUACUCAUGAUAUAGUGAUAACUGUGCAGGGUAUUCGGGACAUGUUUCAUGUAGAUACUGGCUGUCAUUUUCAUUAUCUUGAGAAUCAUCUGACUGAGUAUAGAUGUAUUGACACGAGGGGGUAACCCUGGGGUUAGUAUGACUGAAGUAUACCGUAUAGUGUUCCAUGAGGGGACGAGGGCAUACGACAGAUUCCGCGAAUUGGUGCCUUUAGCAAAGGCAUUACAUAACAUUAUCACGAAAAAUGUGAACCCAAGGAAUAGUGAUCCUAGGGCGGUGAGGCCACAUGACUUAUAUGUAUUAUAUGGAUUGAUGAUAGGAUCUAUCUUUAUCUCUUAUGCAUAUAAUGCUAUGUGCAACAUAUGGUCCUGUUUUGAUAUCCAGCACAGAGUCACUACCCCCCAUGUUGCCCUGAUAUCGACAUAUGUUGCCUUGCUACUUCUUUUAGACACAUCUCAUUUCAUGUUGAAAAUGGGAGACAUAUUCUGAGGGAUUCUACCACAAAUCCGACAUACACGGCACCACUCGGAGUGGGGGAUGAGGAGCCAUUCGUUGGUGAUUUUUAGGGGGAUCAGUAGCAGCAAUAGGCAUAAGCAGCAGGUCGGGGAUAGAACAUGCAGGCAGCUUGGGAGGACUUUGUGGGGAGGCAGAACAUGCAUAACCAGGAGGUGCAGGCUUGGAUGGGGAGAACGGAUAUAUGGUUGAAGGGUGUCGAUACGACACUAGCUGAUAUUACUGAGCAGAUGCGACAGAUUGGCAUUACAUCUAGCAACACUUAUAGUGUUGCCACUCGUCAGUUGUACCAACAGGAGUACUAUGCAGAUGCUGCCUACACAUAGAGUCGUGUCCAGUAUGAACCGAUGGACAUUGAUCAACCACAGUAUCGAUACCGAGCUCCAGCUCCGUUCUUCUACCGAUCCGGGAAUCUGAGCAACUAUCCACCGCCAUCCGAGCAUGAGCAUUAUCAGCCACCACCAGCUACAGAGGACUCUACUCGCUUUGAGGAUUUAGUUGGAUCGAUCUUUGGGUAUCCUCCACCAUACCCACGUUAUCCUCCACAGUCGCCCCCACAUUGAACUUUGGUGAGAUCCUCUUUUGAUUUUUAUUUUUAUGGUUGUUUGAUGAAGACUUUUUUUAUUUUUAUUUUUAUUUUUCGUUUGCUUUUCAUGUCUUUAUUUGGGAUGAAUGUACUAUUAUUAAACUCAUUAUUAUUAUUACUCUCUCUUGGGUUGGUUCCAUUAAAUAUGUGAUGAGUUAGUAGCAUCUCUAUAUCUUGAACGUAACUCAUCAAAAUGGAAAAUGAUAGGAGUUUCGUAAAUUGAGUCAUAAUAUUUAUUUAAUAUUGAUUUUGUGGAUUGCUCAACCGAUUUGGGAAUAUUUAUAUUUAGUUAAAAAAUUGUUAUGUGAAAUACCCAAGUGUUUGAAAAAUGACGGUUUUUAGCUCGAGCCUACGAUCUUUCAAUUGAGGACCCAACCGAACAAUAUGUGUCAUCACGCUCUGAGUACUUGGUCUUACUUACUCUUGCGCCUUUGGGGUUGGGAGGGGACUAUUAUUGUUUUCACACAAUAAAAAAGCAUCAAAAGACAUUGAAGAACUUCCAAGUAUCUAUAUUCAAGCUCAAGUCAAAUACCAAAAUGAUCAAAUCCGAUGAAGCCAUCAAAGAACUUGAAGAAUGCAAAAUCAAGAUAAAUAUGAAGAAAAGUUCAAGUUGAAGACAUUGUGUGAAAUAAUGUGUGACCCCUCGAUAGCGGGAGCGUAUGGGUUGGUCCAUUAAGUGUUACCGACCGCGCUAACUAUGUUAGUGAACCUUGAAAAAAGGGACUUUGGCAAUGAGUUCAACUGAUUACUCAUGAGGGUGAUUAUUGGAAAGGGUUCAAAAAGUGGAGGGUUUCAAACAACAAAGUAAAAUAAGCAUAACAUGUGUUUUGAGUUUAAAAGUCUGGAUAAGAAAAUAAUAAUCCCCAUAAUCAAUAUAUUGUGCUAUUGGAAAUGUUGUGAUAAAAAGUACAGAAUUCAUGAUUCCAUUGAGUUUUUCUUAGGAUAAGAGAGUAAAGACUACGCUGAUUAUUUCAGGCCAAUCUCGGGACGAGUUUGGAAUAAAGUUGGGGAGGUUUGAUAAGUCCAUUUUAUGAAUGUACUAAAUUGUUAUAAAUCUGUUGAAUUGAUGUAUAAUUGUCCAAGAAUGGCACUACUUUGAUGAGUUGUUGAACUUCAUAUACAGGUCAAUAUAUUGUACUAAAAGUGGGCGGAACCUGCAAGUAAAACAGUGCUAAAGGAAUGAAGAAACGUUGCUGGGAAAACUGACCAUGCUUCAAUGUUUUGGUCAUAACUGAAGUUCCGCAGCUCUAAUUGACAUGAGUAAAGAAGUUCUGGAAACUAGACAAGAUUUUCUACAACUUUUGUGUUUUGUGUUUCUGCUAGUUAUGUCGUUUUGACCACCAAAACUUAAACGAAAGAUGAAGGAUGCCUCCAGGCGUCUAAGACAUCCCCUAGGACGUCCACAUCAAACGGUCAGCAUCUGGCCGUUAUUUCAAAGCAGAAAAGAAGGAAGAACCCCCGUCAGCGUCUUACAUGGCGUCAAAGAUGUCCCCUAGGACAUCUUGGCAUUUUGGGGAUGUCCCGUGUUGGAACGGUGUGUUUCGGAAAGUUUAGAAAACAAGGCAGGACGUCCUAGAACGUGUCUAAGACGUCUCCUAAUACGUUUGACGUUUUUGGCCAUUUUUUAGUGUAUUUCAAGGACGACAGAUGGCAUGCAAGGACGUACAAAGAACGCCUGGGCGUUAUACACGACAUCUAAGAUGUCUGCUAGGACGUCCAACAUCCCACAUCCCCCAAUUUCAUUAUUUUUUAUCUCACACUAUAAAUACGAGCCUAUGAAUUCGUUUUUAGGGUUACCACCUCCGAUUUUCAGAGUUUUUCAUGUGUUUUUGAGGCUUCUAAAACACUUGGAAACAUUUGAAAACACAAAUCCAUUCCAUUAAAAUCCGGAUUCAAAGCAAGACUCAAUUCAAUUCAUCAUCAAGCUAUAAGUGAAGAUCAUUUCAUUGGUUAAUCUUCAUCAAUUCUUUAUUUUCCAGAAUUAUUUCUUCUUCCCCAAGGUUUAUUUUUUCUAUAAUUUGAUAAUCAUUAGGCUACAUUUGUUUGAUGAUUCUACAUUUGUUUAUGAAUUCUAUUAUGCAUUUUAUUCAUUUCAAUCAAGUUAUUUGUUUUAUGAACUCAAUGGAAGGCUAAAUCAUUAGGGUUACUUCUGGGGAUGUUUAGGACUUUUUGAUGAACAUAAUUGAUUAUUACUUGAUUUUAGUUAAUUCAAUUGUUGUUUUAUGCUUCAUGUGAUGAUCUUUUAGUAAUGAUAAUUGAAAUUGGGUUGUAUGAAUUGUUUGAUGUCAUAAUUAAGAUAGUCUAUUGUCAAUUCAUCAUUUGUUCCAAGUUCACUUAGUUUAGGAAUAAAGACAAGUGACUGAAUCAACAUAUAUUAUUCCAACUUAUGAUAUUGAAUCUUAAUGCGGUAAUAGGUAGUUGUAUGAUAUUUUAUAGCUAGUCCACUAAUUGUUCUUAAUCCAUUUAGGCAUAAAGGAGUAAGACAACUAGUUAAAUGAAAAUUUAGUGUGCCCAAACUAUGUAUUACAAGUUAAUAAACCCCAAUUGUAUCUAAGUAAUUGAAUUAGGAUUUAAGGGAAGAAAGUGUGUGAAUUUAAACUAUCCAUAACUGAACCGGAAGUACUCUAGUUUUCUCAUUGAAAUUUUCGUUUUAAUUAAUAAAUUUCCAAGCUUUUUGUUUGAUCUUUGCUUUAAUUUUUUUUCGUGACAAUUUCUAGUAGUUUGUUUUUUUUCGUUGACUAUUUUAACACAAAAUUUGACGACAAACUCCUUGCGGAUUCGACCCUUACUUACCCUAGCUAUCUAGUGGUUUUGAGAUUAUUCUUGACUGAUACAACGACAUUGAUCAUCGUGCCAAAACCCUAAAGAGACCGAUGUGCCUGGGGCCCAAUUUGCUCUUCUUCCUGAAUCGGAUGACACCUUUCCAAUGUGACAAGUUCAGGGGGACCAUAUCCCUAACCUGAAACUCUAAAUCUGAUUGGUGCUUGUCGGCAUAGCUCUUCUUCCGGCUCUAAGCUGUCUGGAGCCUACUCCAAACUGCUGAAUCAACUUGGUAGUCUUGAGUACCGCUUUGGUACUCCCCAUUAGUAGCUGACCGUCCUCACCCCAACAUAUCAUGGUACUGCAUUUCUUUCUAUAGAGCAUCUCAAAAGGAGGUCGAUUAAUGUUGGCGUGAUUACUAUUGUUAUACAAAAACUAUUGGAUUAGGUGUCUAAGACCAUAACUAUUUUGGUAUGUACUUGACCCGAUUGUGAGCAUGGUCCUUUUGGGUUGCCUUCACCAUAGCAACUGAUGGGAUGAAUUAAGGAGAAAAAGGAUUAAUUAUGAUUUAUUAAUAUAUUAUAUGAAUAAUAUAUUAAAAGAGAAAUCAUAUUGUUUAAUUAAUAUUAGUCAAUAAUUCAUUUUGUGGCUAAAAGAGAUUAAUUAAAUAAAGGGGACUGAUAUUGCAAUUAUAUGAUAGUUGCAAAUUGGGCUAUGGAUUCCUAAUGGAAAUCGGAUUGGACAAAAUCUAUGGGAAGCCCAUAUGGAUUUCGUCCAAGGGCUUUCCAAGGGAACUCCAUGGGUUGCUUAAGGCGUAAGCAGUGAGAUUAGGGUUUCCUGAUUCAAAACCCUAAUAGCCUAAGUAUAAAAGGAACCCUUGGCAAGCCAAAAACGUCCCUAACCUUAUAAGAGAAACCCUAGGACGUUUUUGGUGCCUCCUCCCUCUCUCCUUGUUCAUCUUGUUACAUAUGGUGUUUGUGACUCCAUUAGAGGUGCAACAUUUGAGGCACUAGGCUUUCAGAAGUCAAUUACAAGAAGGAUUCGGAUUGUUAUUGCAACAUAACAAUCAAGGUAAGAUCUAAAAUCUAUCCUUUUGUCAAUUUUGAUUAUUGUAUACUAGAGUUAGGGUUUAUGAGCUUUGGAUGAUUAUUACGUAUAUCAGACAAACUAGAUCCAAAGCUUUAGGGUUUGCAUGUACACCAUAGGAUUGACGUAGUGCUCAAAACCCAUCAAAAACUACGCCAAAGGGAUAUAUGUAUCCCAACUCCCACCAAAAUCCAGAACACACGCCCGAAGCAUAUCCUCCAAGGUAUGAAUAGUCCUCUCGCUCUGACCAUCAGUAUGUGGGUGGAAAGUCGUACUGAAAUGCAGAUGAGUACCCAGCUCGUCGUGGAACCUCUUCCAAAAUCUGGAAGUAAACCGGACGUUCCUGUCUAAAACCACAAAACGGGCACACCAUGAAGUGCCACUACCUCCCUGAUGUAUACCUCAGCUAACUUCUCUGAGGAGAUACUAUCUUGAGUCGGAAUAAAAUGUGUGAACUUGGUCAAUCAAUCCACGAUGACCCAAAUCGAAUCCACUCUAUGUUCACUCUAAGGCAACAUCGUAAUGAAAUCCAUGGUAAUCUCCUCCCAUUUUCAAACAGUGAUAUCUAACGGUUACAUCUUGUCGUGAGGCCACUGAUGCUCGGCCUUGACUUUCCUUCAAGUCAAGCAUCUCUCCACGUACCAAGCUACAUCCCGCUUCAUACAGGGCCACCAAUAAUCAGGAUGAAGAUCAAUAUACAUCUUCGUCGUGGUGGGAUGAAUGGAGAAUCUCAAUUUGUGUGCCUCCUCCAUCAGAACUUGACGCACACCAGCCCAAUCGGAACCCACACUCUUCGAUGGAGAUUCAAUAACCCUUGGUUUUCAUAAUAAAAGGAAGCCACCUGACUCACUGUGCGCUCACUCUUCCCAUCACAACCUCAACCUGAGCCUCUCAAAUCUACUCUAAAAGUGGAGUGAUCACAGUCAUCCUGAAACAAAUAUCCUUGAACGGAGCCGCGAUCGCCUUGCUGCUAAGAGCAUCGGCCACCACAUUAUCCUUCCCCGUAUGGUAAAGGAUCUCACAAUCAUAAUCCUUCACCACAUCCAACCAUUGGCACUGCCUCAUGUUCAUAUUUGGCUGAUCCAUCAGAUACCUCAAGCUCUUGUGAUAUGUCUAUAUAGUACAGCGGGCCCCAUAGAGGUAAUGUCAUCAAAUCUUGAGGGCAAAAACCAUAGCCCCAACUCUAAAUCAUGCAUCGGAUAAUUCGUCUCAUGAUGCUUCACUUACCUUGAAGCGUAAGCGAUCACGUGACCCCUCUGCAUCAGAACUACACCUAAACCUGUGAUCGACGCAUCAUAAUAAACCAUGAAAUCUUCAACACCCUCCGGCAGGGUCAAAAUAGAUGCCUCACACAAUCUUUAUCUUAGGGUCUCAAAAGUUGCAUGUUGGUCGGGCGCCCAGCGAAAAGUGACAAUCUUCUUCGUCAACCGAUUUAGAGGAACCGCUAUCUUGGAGAAAUCCUAAAUGAACCUCCGAUAAUAGCCUUCCAACUAAGGAAACUCCAAAUCUUAGAUGGAGACCUCGGUACCUCCCACCUCAUCACGGCCUCGACCUUGGCCGGAUCGACCAGAAUACUGUUUUGGUUGACAAGGUGCCCUUGAAACUGCACCUCGUGCAACUAGAACUCGCACUUGGAGAACUUUGCAAAAAGUCUCUCCCUCCUCAAAGUUUCCAAUACCUCCCUGAAGUGCUCCUCAUGUAGCUCCUGGGUCUUGGAAUAGACCAGGAUAUCAUCAAUGAAUAGGGCAUUUUGUAUAAUCAAUUGUUGAUGUUAUUGAAAAUAAUGAUGUUAUUGAAACAUAUGCAUGGCAUGUAUUCCCAAUAAUUAUAUUUAAUUAAUUGGUUGUUGUGCAUGUUAUUAUAUUGGGAACAAAUUAGAAAGUGGUCCAUGUGGUAGUACAUGAUAUGUAUGGGGACCAUUUGUAGUUAAUAGUCAAUGGGUAUUUUUAUAAUGGAAAAAUGGGACCUUUGAACCCAUUAUAGAACCAUAUCCAUGACUAUAUAACAAAUUCACAUGCAUGCACAUUAUUCCAAAUUUUUCCAUGCAUAAAUAUUCAAACCCAUUGGUCAUGAGUUUACUUAAAAAGGCAACAUACUUUCAUAAGUGAGUAAAAUAUCAUUUCAUGUCAACAAUUUACUUACAAAGGCAACAUACAUUCAUUAGUGACCAAAAUACCCUUUUAUGUCAUGAGUUAACUUAAAAAAGCAUCACGCAUACAUAAAUGACUAAAAUACCCUUUUAUGUCAUGAGUGAACUUAAAAAGGCACCAUGCAUACAUAAAUGACCAAAAUACCCUUUUAUGUUAUGAGUGAACUUAAAAUGGCACCAUGCAUACAUAAAUGACCAAAAUACCCUUUUAUGUCAUGAGUUAACUUAAAAAGCCACCAUGCAUACAUAAAUGAUCACAUCACAUGUAUUCAAAUACACAUACUUUAAAUCCAAAUUACCAUCAUCCUAAUACACAAACUUAAAAUCCAAAUUACCAUCAUCCUAACACACAUACUUUAAAUCUAAAUAACACAAAGGAAAAAUCAACACUAAUAAAUUAGAAGAGCUUUUCCCUUAGAAUUUCCUGGAUCAUCAACACCACCAACUUUCUUGCCUAAUUUCAACUUGAAGAUUCUCUUUGACUUUCUUCUCCUUAUCCUGUUCAAAAUCUUGGAAAUUGGUCUAACCCUUACCUGUUGAACCUAGAUAAUAGGAGUAACCUCCUAAAUUUGAACAUUAUCAACAACUUGGACAUUAGGAAUAACCUCAUCAUCUUGAACAUUACCACCCUCCUCAACUUCCUCACCCAUAACACCCCCAUCACCUUCAUAACUUCUAGGUGGAAUAACUUGCAUAGACUGACUAAAAUCCCUUGCACUACUGGAUUCAACAUGAGUAGAAGUAACUUGCAUAUCAUUUUGAGUAUUAUCCAUCUCAAUUGGAGUCAUUUAACCUCUUCUUGUUGUUGUGGUUCACUUGUACUACCCUAUAUGGCAUGAUAUAAUUAUGUUAGUGGCAAAUCAUAUGUAAAUAAAUUUAAAUUUUAAAUGGUUUUACCUGUUCUGCAUUUUUCUUCACAUAAACUUUUUGUUUCUUCUGUUUCUUUACAUUUAACUUUUGGGGCCUUCUCUAUGGACAAGUGGCCUUACUGUGACACAUCUCCUUGCAUAUAAUACAUCUAAUUUUCUUUCCAUCCUUAGAAACCCUGUGUGUUCCUGUAUUCUUUGUAGUGGAUUUCUUCUUCUUAGUAGCUGGCCUACCAUGCAUCCGUCUACUAAUAAGAGGCAAUGGUGGAGUAUAAUUUGUCUCUGGCCACAUGUCACUGCCAUUCAUGGGGGAAAUUCUGUAAUUGUAUGCCUUCCGAAUUGUGGUGGUGUUAAACAUGUUGUCUACAUAGGCUUCUACAUCUCUAUUAAGAUUGGAUAUGGUAGCUACAGAAUGAGCAUAUCCAUAUCCAUUUAACCGCCACAACCUACAUGAACAUGUUUUCCUUUAUAAGUCCACCUCAUAUGCAUCUGUUUCUCCCUUACCUCGAACUGGUUUAAUCCACUAGGUAGUACCUGAUAAUGCCUCUGAAUUUUUUAAGCAAAUUCACCUUAUCCCUUAUCUCUGGACAAAUAUUAUUUCCCCAUUGUUGUCCCUUUAAUUUCAUGUUGUACAUUUUGUCCAUCAUGUAUAAUCUUAACUCCUCUAACAUGGUUAUUAUGGGCUUCUUCCUGGUAUCCACUAUUACAACAUUAAAACUUUCAGAGAAAUCAUUUUCAACUGCAUCACAACACCUUCCAGCUUGAAAGUAAGCUCUUGACCAUGUUUUAAGAUCUUUCUCCAUGAGAUAUUGAUGGGCAUCUGGGUUUAAUGUCUCAAUUUCCUUCAUCACAACUUUAAAAGCAUGCUCAUUUGUGGUUUUAGAUGCUCUCCAAAACAAGGUAUGAUAUAUGACACCAGUGAAUCUCUUCUGCAAAUUUUGAAAAAUAUGUCUAGCACACUGCCUGUGCAUAUGGAAGAAACUCUUUAACAGCCUCUAUCAAACCUUGUAUUAAUAAAAAGGUUUAAAUCAGAUAGUAUAAAAUAAAUAUAAAUGAAUUACUAUGUAAAAUACUAACCUUAUGUUGGUCUGACAUUAAACUGAAGCAAUUGCCUAAACUUAAGUUUAGAUUAUUAAUGAGAAGCUCUAAAAACCACUUUUAAUUCUACUUGUUCUCCACACUAACCAUUGCCCAAUCAAUAGGAUAUAUCUUGUUAUUUACAUCCCUCCCAAUAACACAAAGCAAUCCCCCCUUACAAACACCUUUAAGAAAACAUCCAUCAAGACCCAUUAUCCUUCUACACCCUUUAAUCCAACCUUGUUUAAUUCCUUGAAAACAAACAUAGAACUUGCUAGAAUAUUUCUUUCCAUCUGGACCAUCCUCCACAUCUAGUUUCACAGUUGACCUAGGAUUUGUCCUUAAAAUCUCAUCAACAUAUUACCAUAGCUUACCAUAAUGUUCAACAAGGCUACCUUCAACAAGAUUUAAUGCAUACUUCUUUGUUCUCCUACAUUAGCCCAUACUAACUUGGAUACUAAACUUGGUCAUUACCUUUACCCUAAGCUUCCUUACACUCAUUUUAUGACUUUGUACAAUCUCUUUGGUAUAGUGACUCCCAAUCCAUGCAUAUGUCACCAAUAAUCCAAACUUGAAGUUCCUAGCACAAUUAUGAUAAGCUUUUUGUGACUUGAUUUGGAAAGUCUCUCCAUCAUUCAUCCAAGAAGCCCAUAAUAUAAAUGUGCAAGCACCCUUGCUACAUCUCACCAAAAGUCUUUUCCUAUCAUAUUUUUUCAAAACACAAUUGAUAUCCAUUAGCCACAACAUAGUUGCACAACCUUGACUUUACUUGCCCUGGACCCUUAGAUCUCAUUCCUAGAAUUGGUUUUUGUUUUUUCCAGUGUAAUAGCUCAUUAAAUAUGGAAAUAGUUUGGAUGUUAGGUUCAACUUCUCUCCCAUUAUCAUCAUCUACAAUGUUGUUAUCCUCCUCAUCAUCAACACACAACUUACUCACGAAAGGAUCAUUUGAUGUCCUAUUCAUAUGCACUGCAUCCUUAUUAAAUUCAAAGACAACAUUCCUAAGUUCAUCUAUGUUAUCUUCAUCUAUGUUAGCGGCGCAGCUUUUUGCCCGUUUGCCUUCAAUCGAUAUGUAUUGAACAAAAAUGUUUGAAUGUCUAUCAAUACAAGGCUCAUGUUCAUCAUCAAACCACCCACCAACACCAACCCCAAUAUGAUCCACAUAAACCGAAAUUACACCAUCUGUUCCAUCAACAUCAAAAAUAAAAGCAGCAUAGUCCACAUCAUCUGAAAAUGGGAUUAAGCUCUUCCAUCAGGGAAUUGCCUGGUUUACAGUAGUAAAACUUUUUACACUCUUCAUGCAUGAAAUGUUCACAGAAGGUCACAAGCUCAGAAUAAGUCAUAGAAGAAAAGUCGACAUCAGUGAACAUGGUUUUCACACCACCAGUGUAAGAGAAAGGAUUUCGAUUAAAUACCCCUUGGUAGUUGAGUUCCACCAUCACAAACACUCCAUUAGGUUCCGAUUGUGCCAUUUUUGCGACUUCUUUGGCUCUUCAGCUCGAUCACAAAAAUGCUUCACAAAACCUAAAUCAAUUUCUUUUAAAACUAAAUAAUGAAGACGAGUGAAGUUCGAUAGCUGAAGACAAAAGGCUUAAAGCUUCGUAUAUCAUCUAUUGAUGUGGCAUAUCUCACAUGGCAUCAGAUUAGCUAAAAAAGAUAUAUUAAUUGACAUAUAUAAAAUGUCAACCAGGAAACCGUUUACAAGUAUGGAAAUGACUAAAUUAAUAAGUCAGAUACCAUUUUAAUGGUCUAAUGUACCCAAAAAACUUUAAUGACCAAAUUAGCCAAAUGUAAAAAGUUUCAUGUGCUACAGUGACAUUAUCCCUGAUGGGUUUUGAGCAUUCUAACACUCCUAUGGUGUACAUGCAACCCUAGAAACCUUGGAUCUAUGUUUGACUAAUAUACAUGCAAAUAAUUAUUUUCCAAGGUUCUUAUCCUAUCUAGCAUGGCAUGGGAACUUGAAUCAAAUAGAGCUAGUAGAAUUACUUACCUUGUAGUUGUUUAAAGCUUCGUAUAUCAUCUAUUGAUGUGGCAUAUCUCACGUGGCAUCGGAUUAGCUAAAAAAUAUAUAUUAAUUGACAUAUAUAAAAUGUCAACCAGGAAACCGUUUACAAGUAUGGAAAAUGACUAAAUUAAUAAGUCACAUACUAGUUUAAUGGUCUAAUGUACCAAAAAAACUUUAAUGACCAAAUUAGCCAAAUGUAAAAAGUUUCAUGUGCUACAGUGACAAUAUCCCUGAUGGGUUUUGAGCAUUCUAACACUCCUAUGGUGUACAUGCAACCCUAGAAACCUUGGAUCUAUGUUUGACUAAGAUACAUGCAAAUAAUUAUUUUUCCAAGGAUCUUAUCCUAUCUAGCAUGGCAUGGGGAACUUGAAUCAAAUAGAGCUAGUAGAAUUACUUACCUUGUAGUUGUAGUUGAUUGCUUGGAGUUUUAGAGCCUAGCACCAAUAGUGUGGAUGCCUCAAAUGUAAAUCACAAAUCACUACAAACUUGGAACUUUGAGAGAAUAGUAACCACCUUUCUUGAAAUCGGCCCUCUUACUUUACUCACCACAACUAGUAUGAUUUCAAGAACCAAAGCCUCCUUUAUAUAGUGUGGUGGAUUAGGGUUACAUCCAUGUAAACCCUAAUACCCAUGUCUUUUCAUUUCCAUGAGAUCCAUGGGUUAAAGCUCCAUGGAGUAUCCAUGGACUUUCCAAGCAAGCCUAGCCCAUUCCAAAUAAGCAUUAGCCCACACUAUAUAAAUAUAAGAGCCCAUAUUUAAUUAGUAAUACUUUUGAUCUCUAAAUUAAUUUUAGAUUAAUUAUAGAUCAAUACUAAUUAAAUAAUAUGGUUUUAUAUUAAUAUAUUAGAACUUAUAAUAUAUUAAUAAAUCAUAACUUAUACUAUUCUCAAAAGAUUAUCCAUAAAUUGUUCGGGUGAAGUGCAACCCAAAUGGACCAUGACGGGUCGGGUCAAGUACAUACCAAAUAUAGUUAUGGACUUAGACACUAUAUCCAACAAUCCCUACAUAAAGUCAUAUGUAGUCAAGGAUCAGAUAGAUAAUCGAACAUAUGACUCACCUAAGAGCGAACAAUCAGAAAAGAACAUCACAAUCAAGCCUUAGAUCAAGAGUUAUCAGUCUAUCCAACUUAAACUAGAUAGACCUAAGAUAUUAUUACCACCUAACCAUGUGACAUAAACAUUUAACAGAUACUAGCAUAUUUAUACACUUAGCAACUAUCCUUCCCUAGUUACCCUGUCAUUGAUCACUUCUCAAUCAAGUGAUCAUCUGGUCAGUCAUGCAUAAUCAUGAUAAUUGACCUACCCCAAUUUCCCUAACUAAACAUAACUCAUAACAAUAUCAUACAAUAAAUAGGAAAGACCUCACAAGAAUAGCAUACCCAGACACCAAGUGUUCUAAACUGCACAUGCAUAUCCUAGCCAACUAGCAUAUUUGUACUCUAACAGUAUCUCCAUCCUAUCAUGCACAGGAUAUAUAAUGAGAUAUGUGGCAUACUAUGAAACUCACCUGAACUGAAGAACCGGAGAAGCACAACAACACUCUUACACAUUUCACUACUCGAUCAUGUGAACCAAUUAACACCAAAAUAGAUAAAUCCUCAAUCAAUAAUCCAAAUCCUCCAAGUUUGACCCUAAGUCAAACUGGUCAAAAGUCAAUAGUCGAUGUAACGCCCAUGUUUCUUUCCAGACAUUAACUAAAUAAUUAGGGUCAACAAUCACCACAACGUGGUAACCUCUUGGCCACAUCCUGGGAAUUUCCAUACAAAAUAGUUACGAAGCUUAGGAUCACCAUGUCGUUGCAAGCCUAUUGCCACGUCGUGGAAAUUCACAGGAAGUCAUAUUCUUCAUUAUGAGCUUAAUGCUUACAGAUCUAAGCUCAAACUUUCAUAUUUGAUUCUUCUUGAUGAAUUAAUGGAUCUUAAACCAUAAGUCUAUUAAGUCUUUAAUAUGACCAAAACUAGAGCAUGGAGAAAAGGGAGCUAUGAAUUAACGCUUUUUCCAUCAAACAAGACCAAAAGAUGGUCACCAAACAAUUCUAAAGUUCUGGAGUUGGCCAAAACUCCAAGAAAAUGCCUUCAAGGGACUUCAAAGCAUGAUAUGAGAGAAAAGGAUGAUAAAGGUGGAAGCUUUAUACCUUCCCAAAAUCCACAAGACAUAGGAGAUGCAAGAUCUGAAGUAGAUACACCAUUCAAACUAGCAAACACACUGUCGUUUCCUUCCCAAAGUGCAACCCAAGGCUUCAAACUUCAAGAACUCCAAGAACUCAUCAAUAUCACUCAAAUAGGGCUAGGGUUUCGAAAUAGGAGGAUGGAGACUGAGGGAAAUGAGCUAACCCUAGAGUUAAGGCCAUUAAAUAUGGGAGAAAAUAUAAAAAAAAAAAUUAUGUGCUUGGGCUACAGCACUCACAACGUCGUGGCAACCCUCUAGUCAUGUCGUGGUGCUCUUCAAAAUGUGCGUUCCCGAAAAUAUGUGUCACGUCGUGGUCAUCCAUGCACCAUACCAAGGCAUAGAUUUUUCUCCUAAAACCCCAUCUUUGAUCCUAUUAGCUCUUUAGUUAAACUAUUAUAGAAAAUAGGUGUUAUAGCCACCAUUCCGAGUUCCUUCUGUGACUGCUAAAUUAGUGUUUGGCGGGUUGGGGAGCCCGACUUCUUUCUCUUAUAUCUUCACAUAUAUAUAUAUAUAUAUAUAUAUAUAUAUAUAUAUAACAUUUUUUUUUCAAAAGUGUAAUACUAUCAAGGGAAAUUGACUUAUCAGGGUAAUUACUGUUUUGUUUUGUUCACAUCGGGGUAACUCUUUUUUUAGUACACAUCUAGGUAACAAACUUUUUGUAAGUGUUCACAUGUGACCAUUAUAAUUGGUUGUAGCAAGUUACAACCGAACGUAAUUGUCAUAUAUGAACACUUCCAACAAGCUCGUUACCUCGAUGCAUACAAAAAAAUGAAGUUACACAUAUGUGAACAAAACGAAAAGGUAAUUACCCUGAUAAGCCAAUUUCCCUUUUUAUUAAGGUGGCAAAUCAUAAUGUUUGUAAUAUUAAUAUAUUCAUUUAAAUUUCUUUAAAACAACAUUUGUAACACCCGGAAUCUAGAAGAUUAAUUAUGGAAACAAAUUCCCUUACCUAAGUAAAAACACGAUGAGUUGAUGGUGGGAAACUCGAUGUGUUGGAGGUUUUUGGGACACACGUUUUUAUGAACCAACUCGGUGAGUUGGUGAAGGAAAAUCGGCGAGUUGGACACUGACUGAGAAACCCUAAUUUUUAGGGUGUUACACCCUAUUUAAAGACCUUAAGUUCUUUAGCUGGCCUCCUUACCGGCCUCCUCUAUCCAGAAACCCUAAAACUGAGCCUUGUCUUCCAUUUAUGAGUGUGAAAGCUUGGGGAGAGCCUUGAGAGUUCAUUUUUGGUGCUUUUUGAAGGAGCUAAGGAAUUAGGAGUUGCUUGGCUUGAAGAAGAAGUCUUGGAUCCAGAAUCUCUGCCUCAUUUGCCAAGUUUUUGAGGAAUCGUGUUCUUACCUUGCUUAUUUGUUGCUUAGAUCUCUUCUUGGGUUAGAGUUUAUGAUUUUUAGCCAUUUUGGGUGAAUGUUGGGGAUUAGGAGGUCCCAAGCAAUUAUUAUUUCAGAUAUAAGGGCUAGCGGCGCUGCUUGUUGCCCGUUCGCCUUCAAUCGAUAUGUAUUGAACUUUCAUUGGAGUAUAUUUUCUUAAUAUAAAUAUAUAAUAGAUAUAAGGUCUACAUGAGCUCUUUAGGCAUAAAGGUGCCAACUUUAUGGAUUUAAUGGCUUCAUGUAUUCAUUAAGUCUUUCAGUUAGCCCUUUUUGAGCUUUUGAUCACCUCCUAGUCAUGCUUAAGUGUAAAGUUGGAAACUUUACACGGCCAUCUAGCCUUAUGGGGACAGAUCUGCAUUAUGGGUUUUAUCUUUGAUGAUUAAGUGAUUAAUGAUUAAGCCUUCACUCUUUUAAGUUUAGGGUUUGGGUUUGGACCCAUUAGGUGAUUCCUAGGGGUAAAGUUGGAAAAUUUACCCUUCUUGAUCUCAUUUUGGUCGAGAGCAGAGCUUUGGAGCCUUUGGACUCGAUGAAGGUACCUUAAUGCAUUAAGAUGUUGGUUCUUGAGAGAACUCGGCGAGUUGACUUGGUUUCCCCGAUUUGUGUAGUUGAUGGAGAAACUCGACGAGUUGGGUUAACUUGGACCGUUGACUUUGACUUUCGAUUUAUGUCUUUGAACAAGUUUGUCCCAAUGGGUACUUGAGGUAAUCUGAAUUGUAAUUAAGGGAAUUAUGAGAUUAGGAUAAGGCCCAUAUGGGGUUGGUCCCAAUUUGGAAAAUUGGGCCAUUACUGGGCCUUUGCGGAUCUUUUGGUUUUGGACUUUUUGGUUAAUGGAAUUUGGGCCUCAGUUUUGGUUCAUGACGCGUUAGGGUUAAAAUGGUCAUUUUCCCCCAAGUAUGGAUGGAGGGCUUUAGAAUGGAACCCAAUUGCUAAUUAGGUGUUAUUUUGAUCUCAUAGCUCGGAGGUCUCAUCAGGGCAGCAGCUAGGGACUUCUUUCUGUGAGUUUCUGCGUUCGAGGUGAGUCUCCUUACUUUUCUAUGGUUUGAAGGCAAUAAUGACGGCCCAUUUGGUUUAUGUAUUAUAGGAAGACCUGGGGGAUAAACCUUGGCAGUUUGUAUGAAAGACCAGGAGGCGGCUCCUGGCAAACUGUAUGCAAGACCAGGGUCUGAACUCUAGCAGUUGACUAGUUAAGUAGUGUAGAUUUUAUACUAUUUGUCUUUGUGACACUUUCAUGGAAGACUCGAAGGUGGAUCCUGGCACUUGUCUGUAAGACCUAGGUUUUUGGCCCCCGGCCUGACAAGGAAGACCACAAGGCGGCUCAUGUCAUAAUGGCAAGACUAUGGAUGGCACAUAUCACCUUUACUAAUUGGGGUAUAUGUAUGCUAAGUAAGACUCAGUGAUAUUAAUGUUAUUUAUAGUUUUGAGUUGAGUUUUCUCCUGCGAUUGAGGUGCAACAGUUGGUGCGAGAGUUUCUGGAUCUCUGUCAGACUACUGAGACUGUGGCAGAUUGUGGAAGGGUGGAAGUGAUGUAAGACUGAGGGGUGGCCCGUAGCAUUCACUAGUUAGAAGUUGGUAUAAAAAUGUUGUAAGACUGUGGGGUGGCACGUAGCAUUCACUAGCGAUCAGAUAGUGUGGGAAGUGUUGUAAGACAGAGGGGUGGCCCGUAGCAUUCACCAGUCCCUAUACAGCGGUGAGAGUGUGGCAAAUUUGUGAUUUGCUCACGGUUUUCUUCGGAUGAUUUUGGCCAGGAUGGAUCAGUUCGCAAGGCUAUGGGAAGGACACAACAUGUUUGGAAUCAAGAUAUGGGAGGUCGUGGGAGACCGGGUUUGAGGUAAGACUAUAGUUGGUCUGUAACGUUCAACCUAGUAUCAGAUUAUUGACGAGACGGUUUGGGUAGUUAUUGCCAGUGAGGCUUUUUUUCAAAAGUUGCGAUGGGCGAUUGUGUGGAGUUUCAAAAGCAGCUACGAGGCAACAAGCUGUUUUGGGCAGUAUUAGUGAUUUUUGGGCAGUAUUUUCGGGUAGUACUAGUCAUUUGGAAUUUGUGUGUGAAUAUGUAAUUUUUCAAACAAUUUUUUUUUCAUUUAUAAAACUCAUAAAAACUCAUAUAUUUCAUUUCAUAAAAUCACAAGUGUCUCAAGUCAACAUAAAUCCACAAGAAAAAUCAAAUCCUAGAAUCCUCAACAUAAUCUCGAACAGGUGUGUACAAUCACGUCGGUGCCUUCCCGCGAUCCUCGGAGGUACUUGAAACACAUAUCACAUAGCACGGUAAGCAUAAAGCUUAGUGAGUUCCUCAAAAUACCAUGCACACACAUAAUUAGCCACUCGAGGCUAUCGCUCUGUAAGACCCUCCGGUUAAUGUGUCUUAGCGAGACCCACCAGUCCUACAAAUCGUCAGACCCUCCGGUCCGGUCUAAGUGAGAACCCUCCGGUCUCACUACUCGUUGGACCCUCCGGUCUAGUCUAAGUGAGGACCCUCCGGUCUCAUAGUUCGUUGGACCCUCCGGUCCGGUCUAAGUAUCUCAUAAUAUAGUACACAGUAUAUAUCACACAGAAAUACAUAACUCAAGCAAGCACAUAAGACCCUCUGGUCACACAUAAUGACCACACUAGGUAAGGUAUAAUGAGAAGACUCACCUCCUAAGAACUCGGAUAAUCUCAAACUCAAAUCACAGGUUUAGCCUCCGCCUAAUAUACACAAUAAUUAUCCCUAAUUAAUAACGGCUCUCACAAGGCUGAACUAACCCUUCCAUACACUCACAGAAGGGUAAAAGACCAUUUUACUCCUCCAUGGGCUUAAUAGACCACAUGUUGACCAAACCCUAAAAGUCAACCGAAAGCCAACAGCAAGGAGUACGCUGUGCGUACCAACUCCCUACGUUGGGCAUACUCGGCUGCCAUGCAGGCAUCGUGGAGACUCGACCUCUACGUUGUGCGUACUGGGAUUAUGCCCAGCGUACAUCCUAGUUUCACUCUCCUCACAAUUUUGGUCUUAAACAGUUAAUACAUUGGCUCAUAAUUCAGAUCUGGACUCCCUAAUGUCUCUUAAUCCAUAAAGUUGGUGACUUUAAGCCUUUGCGUGGCUAAAUAGGUCACAAACACUGAAAACUCCCAUCCCCUUUCCUCAUGAAACUCAUAACUCAUGCAUGGCUUACUCCUAAUGUCCAAGAUUAGAUUUUUAUGACUUUACUCCACAAAAUACACUGAAAAGGGAUAGAUCAAGGCCUCUAGAGUGCAUUAUCUCAUAAAGUCUCCAUCUUUUGGGAAAAAACCCUAAAGUAAUUCAUAUGAAUGCACCAAACAAACAAAUGAGAAAGCUUGAAGAUUUAUACCUUUAUGUGAAACCUUCUUCACAGCUAAGCUCAGAUCCAACUCCUGGGGCUCUCACUCCUUCUUCUCUAAAGCUUCCUCUCUACUUCAAGAACACAAGAUUACACCAACAAGCUCUCAAAUGCACUCUCCAGCUAUAAUGACGGAGAUUUAGGGUUAGGAGGGGUUGGUGUUUGGGAAUGGUGGCCAGGAAUGAGGCCAUCAUGUCCUUUAAAUAGUGAGCUCAUUAAAAUUUAGGGUUUCAUUAUGGGCCUAGCAUGCCCAGCGUACCCACUGGUACGUCGCGCGUACUAGGUGGCCUCCACAUCACUAACACGCAUUGGAGUAUGCUGAGCGUACACUCAAGUACGCCCCGAAUACUCGUUUACCACCUUUUCUCUAAUAAGGCCAAAAUGGACAAAUGCUCAAUAGAUCAAGGUUUACAAGGUAUACCUGGACUUGGGAUGUUACAUCGUGUGUGAGUCUCUUGUAGUUCGGGGAAUAUAAUAAGUUGCUUGUAGUGGAUUAAAUAAUCUCAGAGUGGUUGAUUUGAUUCUAUUGCGCAGUUCUCGUCUGAGUCUAACCAUUGCAGGGAUGAAUCUUCUACUCAAAGGAUUAUCUGAGCCUAUUGUCGAGUAUAAGUGUUCUGUAGCUGCAAAUGAUCUGUUUUUUGGUUCCUUUAAAAGCAUUAAGAUAUUGGUUUUAUAGUGGUUCAGAGAGGGGGAGGGGGUGAUCAGCCAGGAAGUCAAAUCAAAUUGAGAUUUCAGGUAUCAGGAAAGGUAAAGGUGGGUUUUUCUGCAAGGGAUUAAGGUUCGUUCUGCUAGGGUUGGUUUCAGUUGCUAUGGGAAGGUGGUAGUAUUAUGGGGUUGUGAAGAUGAGUCCUUAUGGGGACAGUGUUAUCUGGUGCUAUCUGUCAUGGAGUUCGGCAAUGUCCAGGGUUUUCCAGGUUCAAGUUUAAUGGUUAGGGAUCUUCUAUUUUGGAUUUGUCAUCGGUAUGGGUGGGCGGUUAUCUAAGCGGGGUGACUUCCUUAGUCUUUUGGGGUUCAAGGAGUUUAGUCAGGAUCAUCAGUUCGGUACACGAGAUUUUAGGGAAUGAUUUCGAGGAUGAAAUCUAAUUUAAGUGGGGGAGAGUUGUAACAUCUGGAAUUUACAAGAAUAAUUGUGGAAAUAAAUUCCCUUUCUAGGGACCAACACGGCGAGUUGAUCGUGGGAAACUCGACGUAUUGGAGGCUUUUGGGAUGAGCGUUUUUAUAAACCAAUUCAAUGAGUUGGUGAAGGGAACUCGGCGAGUUGGACGCUAAUCGAAAAACCCUAAUUUUUAGGUUGUUGUACCCUAUCUAAAGGCCUUAAGUUCUUUGGUUGGCCUCCUUACCAGCCUCCUCUGUCCAAAAACCCUAAAAUCGAGCCUUAUCUUCCAUUGUUGAGUGUGAAAGCUUGGGGAGAGCCUUGAGAGUUUAUUUUUGGUGCUAGUUGAAGGAGCUAAGGAAUUAGGAGUUCCUUUCCUUGAAGAAGAAAUCUUAGAUCCAGAAUCUCUGCCUCAUUUGCCAAGUUUUUGAGGUAUCAAGUUCUCACCUUGCCUGUUUGUUUCAUAGAUCUCUUCUUGGGUUAGAGUUAAUGCUUUUUAGCCAUGGUUGGGUGGAUUUUGGGGAUUAGGACAUCCCAAACGAUUAUUAUUUCAGAUCUAAGGUAUAUAUGAGCUCUUUUGGCAUAAAGGUGCCAACUUUAUUGAUUUAAGGGCUUCAUAGAGUCAUUAAUUCUUUCAUUUAGCCGUUUUUGAGAUUUUGUGCUCGUCCUAGUCAUGCUUAAGCGUAAAGUUGGAAACUUUACAUGGCCAUCUAGCCUUAUGGGUUCAGAUCUGCAUUAUGGGGUUUUGUCUUUGCUGAUUAAGUGCUUAAUGAUUAAGCUAUCACUCUUUUAAUUCUAAGGUUUGGGUUUGGACCCAUUUAGGUGGUUCCUAGGGGUAAAGUUGGAAACUUUAACCUUCGGGGUCUUAUUUUGGUCAAUAGCUGAGUUUGGAGCUCUUGGAUUCGAUGAAGGUAGCUUAACGCAUUAAGCUGUUGGACUUUUAGAGCUCAUAUCGUGAGUUCGAUCUUAUCCAUCCGCUGAAUCGACUUCUGACAGCCCGACUCUGGAACCCAUCCAUCACUGGCUCACGUCGUGAGCUUCAUGCUCACGUCAUGAGUCCUCUUAUAGUGUGGGGUUGAGUCUUUUACUCGAAGGAUUAUUUGAUCUUUGUUGCGUGUGGCUAUAUUAAUGAGGAAGCUAGUUGACAUUGGUGGGAUUCCUUUAGCAGUUGAGGGUUUGGUGAGGUCGGGAACCUAGGAAAGCCUAGGAUAUGCUUUAGUGGGUUAGUGGUACGGUUUAGUGAGUUUUGGUGCAUUGUGCUGAAGAAGUGACUUAGAGGAUUCGAGAGGAUUACUGAGGAAAGUAUGGAUAGGUGGGCUUUAGAAUGGAACCCAAUUGCUAGUUGGGUGUUAUUGUGAUCUGAUAGCUCGGAGGUGUCGUCAGGGCACUAAUGUCGGCCCAUUUGGUUUAUGUAUUAUAGGAAGACCCAGGGGAUAACCCUGGGCAGUUUGUAUGAAAGACCAGGAGGCGGCUCCUGGCAAACUGUAUGCAAAACCAGAAUCUGAACUGUGGUAGUUAACUAGUUAACUAGUGUAGAUUGUAUGCUAGUUGUCUUUGUGAUGCUUGCAUGGAAGACUCGGAGGUGGCUCAUGGCACUUUUUUGUAAGACCGCAGGUUUUGGCCCCCGCCCUGACAAGGAAGACCACGAGGCGGCUCGUGACAUAAUGGAAAGACUAUGGAUGACACAUAGCACCUUUACUGAUUGUAGUAUAUGUAUGCUAAGUAUGGCUUGUUGAUAUGAAUGUUAUUUAUGGUUCAAUCGGUAUGUUUGGUAUGUGGUAUUUGGGGAACUCAAGAAGCUAUGUGCUUACAUUUUGUGCUUUAUGGUUUCAUGUAAUUCCAUUUUGAAAGGAAAGGGUUCGGCUUAAUCGCAACGCAUACACCCAUGUUUUCCGCAAUGUGUGAUAUUUAGGAAUGAACUCUGAUAAUUGUUUUAUUUUGAAACUCUUCUAGAUGUCGGAUUAAAGGUUAAUGAAUGUUUUGGGCAUAAUAAAAACGAAAUUUUUACCCCUGAUUUUCGGGAUGUUACAACAUUUAUUACCAUUUAUUGACAUUUAAAUUGGCCACGACAUGUUUGAAACCAUUUGUGAUAGCAUAAUUAUCAAAUCAAAUAACUCUAUAUAUUGAGACAAGAGCAAUGUUAUCCAUGUGGAUAAAAUGUAUUUCUAUUUUUUGUAUUUUAAAUUCAUGUAAUACAUGGAACAAAAUUGAAGAUGAUAUUCUAUUUCAUGUUAUUGGUCUCAAUAUCUGACACUUUUAGUAUCUAGUAAAUUUUAAUUUUCAUAUGUAAUAUCUUAAACAAUAAAAUUCUAUAAAAUGACGAUGUAUUUUUUCCAUGUCAAAUGUGAUUUUUUUUUUGUAUCAAAGUAGUGUAUUUUAAAAAGAUAUUUACCAAGUUGGAUUGAGUGACAAGUGGAUUGAGUUAACUGAAAAAAAAAAUUAUUUUUCAUGGGUUAGAAAAGAUGAAAAAAAAAAGUUGAUAUAGAACUCACACCACAUGAAUGAUUUGACACCGUUCUACUCCUACGACCUUUACCCCCAACAUCGAAUUCAUUAUGAUUGUUAGCCUAUCUUACGAGACAGACAUGACCUCCUACUACCAUGUAUACUAAGUCCCACUAUUUAUAACUCUACCCUAUAAAACUCGACGGAGCGCUGGGGUGAAGGGUUACGGGAUCCUUUCCCGCUCACCGGAACANNNNNNNNNNNNNNNNNNNNNNNNNGGGGGGGGGGGGGGGGGAAGGCUGCUGCACUCUCUCUCUCUCUCUUCUUCCUAUUGGCUGGUUUUUUUCCCAAGCGAACUGUUUGAAAUAAAUAACAAAAUUAAUUUUUUUUUCAAUACAACUAUUGAAAAACAACAAUGAAUUUAUAUAUAUAUAAUUUUGUUUUUACCUCUAUAACAUCUAUAAAUAUACACAUACUUUAACCUUUCAAACUCACACCUCCUUCUAUGAAUUUCUCUGUACUUUCUUCAAAAAAAGGAAUCCAUACAACCAAACCCCAAACUUCGAUAGAAGGAAAAAAACCAAUGUUUCAAAUUUAAGCACCCCAACUCGAAACAUUUUUGAUAUCGAUUCAUCUCAAGGGGUUUAUCGUCCACAACUCGAUGCUCACAUUUAAUCUUCACUACAAUCACAAUACCAAAAUAUUAGACAAUUUUACCCGAUGCAAGUUCCAAAUGUUACUCCAAAUAUGCUAUUAAACUUUGUUGUUUUUCCUGAUCAACUUUCGCCAAAUCAACCCCAAACUCAAAUCCCACUCUUUCAAUCUCAAACCCAAACCCAACCUAAGCCCAAACACAAUAUCAACAACAAUACCAAAUCUUCGAUGAGUCGGAUGAAGAGAUUGUACGGGAAACUCAACCCACAACCCCCAACCCCACAAAGUAAAACAACAAGUGAGAGAGGGUUCCAUACAACCGGGACGACAGAAGCCGCAACCAUGGACUAAACGAGAAGAGAUAAUUGGGGUAAAAGCUUGGGUUGACAUUUCAGAUGAUUCAGCGACAGGAAAAUGCACAACCUGAGGAUCAUUUUUGGUUUCACAUUCUUGAGAGGUUUCAUAAGGAGAUGGGAAAAAGUGACGAGUAUCGUACCAAUCAUCAAUUGAAUUCAAAGUUUCGAGAAAUAGCGUGGGCCGUUUCAAAAAUGAGCGGGUGUACAACAACCUAAAAACCUAAUGGAAAAGCAGCCAAGGAGAUGAAGAAAUACUUCAGGAAGUUUUGCAUUUUUUCGAGAGGAAGUGGGAAAGUCAUUCAAGUGCCACGAUUGUUGGAAAAUAUUGAUUAAAAGUCGUAGGUGGAAAAAAUACGAGCAAGAGUUUAUACGUCGAGUACAACAAUCAAAACGAACAAAAAUGAGCUCUAGUGGUUACACAACUUCCUCCGAUGCUCGGGUCGGUCUAGAUUUAAAUGACGAGGACGCACUCGAGCUAGAAGAAAUUGUCCGACCGAUAGGUAGGGACAAAGCAAAAAUGAAGGGAAAUGAGACUUCUUGGGGUGAAUCGAAUUUCAGCAUGGACGCGGACCAAGUGCGAAAAAUGGUGGAGAUAUUUGAUCGAUAUAAUCUUAAUUUUGCUGAAAGUUUUGGCAUUCGACAAAGACAAAGAAGGAGAAAAAAAGAAGGAGAACGCAUAGAAACAAGAAAUGGAGGAGAUGAUGUUAUUGAUGAAAAAUACCGACCAUCUUUCGGGACUAGCUUCGGAGCUCGUUUUGAAAAAAAAAGGUGCGGAUUAUGCAAAAAUAUUUUCCCUAAGAGUGUUGUUUGUUUUUUUUUUCUAGUUAUUUAAAUCUUAGGUUUUUAUGUAAUUUUUAUUAUAAUUAACAAUGGCGGAGUUACUAUAUCAUUAUAAAUAAUAUUUUGUUUCUUAUAAUGAUAAUCUUUCCUAAUAAAUAAAGAACUUUUUGUCACAUGUCAAACUCUCAUUGAUUUGACCACAUGUCAUUUUGUGGUUAUUUUCAAUUAAUUUUUUUUUACACAUGUCAUUUUGGGGUUUUUUCAUUUUAUUAAUUUUCACAUAAUAUUUAAAUGUAAUAAUUACAAUAAAUAUAAUAAUAAAAUGCAUAUCAAUUUUAUUAAUUGACUUCCUUUUAAUUUUAAAAUUUCUAAAUUAAAGUUUCAUUAGUUUCCUUUAUUUAUUUAUCUAAAUUAUUUGUUUAAUUUAAAAGAAAAACAAACAAUUUAAUUUUAAUAAUUAAAUGUUUUUCUAUUGUUUUCUUAUAAAUUCAAACUUGUCAAAUGUUUAAAAUUUUAUAUGUUUUUCUUUAAAAUGAACUCAUGUAAUACAUGAGUGUUACACCUAGUGAUAGAUUAUAUCACGAGUACAAUUCAUUUAAUGAAACAUAUGUACGUAUAAUUAGAGAAAAUUUUUAAUAUUAGCAUGUUAAUCCUCUCUAAAAAAUAAAAAUAAUUUUGCCACAUAUCACUCUUUUAUUAAUUUGGACACAUGUCAUUUUUUGGUAUUUUUGAUUAAAUGUUUUUUCCAUUUGUCAAUUUUUUAUUUUUUAAUAUUUUCUUAAUUAACACAUCAUAUAUACACCUCAAUUAAUAAUUACCUUAAUUGAAAAUAACCAAUAAAUUACAAUAUUAAUAGUCAUAUAGUAUUUAAUAUGUUUCCUUUUAAAUUUAAAUUUUAAAAUUUUAAUUUCAAAUCUAAAAUUUCAAAUUUGAAUAAAAUUUGUUUGAACUUUUAUAUUUAAUUUUUGUUUUAUCAAACUCGUAUAACAUACGGGUCUCACACCUAAUGGAGAAUUAUAAAUCAACGUUUAUUGUCGGUCUAAACUUUUGAAAUGUCAUUUUUGCAAUGAUCGGUAUAACUUCUCCUUAAAGGAAUUUUUAUAGUCAUUUUCUCUUUCAAGAUUGUAGACUCUUUUACAUUAUUUUGAUAAAAGAUAUAUUUGAAUAUAUUUUUACGACGUCGGCUUUCCUUAUUCUUAAAUCCUGGCUCCGUUCCUUUUAAUUAAUGUAGUGGUUUUUAUUUUUAAUUAUAUAUAUAUAUAUAUAUAUUACUUAUUCAUUUAUAAAAUUAUAAAUCAUAAAAUCAAUUAUUUUUACUUAAAAAAGAGUGAUACACCUUUACAAAAUUAUAAACCAUAAAAAUCAAUUAUUUUUACUUAAAAAAUAGUGAAAAAACCUUCCCACAUACACCUUGGUUUCUAACUAAGAAAAAAAAUGUAGGAAAAAGGAUAAAAUGAUAAAGAAAAAUAAUAAAAAAAAAAAUAAAAACCUUCCCGUACCCACCCUCCGGCAUAAGAAGGUGCGUCCCUACGAGUACAAGAUACACAGGUGUAGAUACAUAUGUAAAAAGCUAGUAAUUAACCAACUAAUUAUUAAUUAUUAAAUAAAAUAGGGAUAUAAUAUUAAUGAUAAACACAUUAAAAUAUUCCAAAUGCUCAUGAAGUCAACAUGAGAAAUUAUAUUGCAAUAAAUUUCUUGUUGGGUGAGAAAUUCACAAGUAAAAUUUGUAUAGUAAAUAACAAACCGAAAGUUCCAGAAACAGGUCAAAACUUAAAACCCUAAAUGAGCUUACAAAUUUCCAUUGGCCACAUACCCCACCACAAAGGCACAAACAAUCAAUGAAACAAGUGUAGAUGUAGAGGCCUUUUUCACCACAAUCACCCUUCAUCGGCCAUUUCGAAGGCCACGUGAAAUGUCACUAACGUGGCCCUCUAAAUAUCCACUACUUUGUCUUUAACCCCUCCCCCCUCCCUUAUAAAACACUCCAUCCUCCUCCUUAAUCACCAUCACCAACAACCUUCUCUCCUUCCUCAAAAGUACCACCAUCUUUUCCGACAUGGCAGCUUCUUCAAUCUUCAUGGCAACUCCCAUCACACUCCUCAAAAAAACUCCCACCUUCUCCGUCAAAUGCAUGUCACAAACACCUCAAAGCGGUGAACCGGAGAUUUCAAAAUCAGCAACCACCCCAACACCACCACAGAUCAACAUUCCUCCUCCUCCGCCACCUGCUCCAAAGGUCAGCACGAAAUUCUCUGACGUGUUGGCGUUUAGUGGACCUGCACCGGAGAGGAUCAACGGAAGGUUGGCGAUGAUAGGGUUUGUGUCGGCGAUGGCUGUGGAAGUGAGCAGCGGUCAAGACGUGUUUACCCAGAUCGGCAACGGCGGAGUUGCGGUGUUUGUGGGGACUAGCGUCGUGUUGACGUU